CCUACGCCACCGCCUGGAUCCAGUUCCGGCCAAUCGAAUCCAUCUCCUCCUCCGCCGGCUAUGACUCCGCCUGAAUCUAGCUCAAAUCCACCUCCUUUUCAGCAAAUUCCGUCUCCGCCUCCACCUCUGGUUGCGGAAAUGAUCUCUCCGCCGUCUCCACCUAUGCAGGCGUCGCCAUCGCAGCCGCCGCCUAGCGGGCAAGCGAUAACGGGAGCUCCGCCGCCGUCGUCGUCAUCGUUCAAUCCGCCGAGUGGGGGGACGGCGUUAGCGACUCCAGGUCCUGUGCAUGCAUAAUUGAUCAGUGGAUUCACCAUCUAGGGUAUUCGAUUUGAUAAUUUUGUACAGUGGACUUGAGAUUGGAUUUCGAUACUGACUGCUGAGAUUUCCGUUGAUGCUGCUGUAGCUCUGGUUCAUAGGUUGCGAACUUUUCAAAUACUUAAUUUAUUUCUGUUUUCCCCGUUUGGUCCUCGAAGUUUGUGAGCUAUACACUUUGAUCCGUGAAAGUGAAAUGUUGACUUCCGUUGAUUGGAAGUUGAUCCCCGUGACAAACUAUGGUCCCGUUGGGUCAACUACCAAUGCCGAUUAGUUGAUGUUUGAAUGGUUUUAUUUUAAUAACGAUAGAAAUUCAACUCGGUUUGAGUAUAUUGGUUAGUAAGUUUCCGUUUGAACAGGACGGUCAACCAACUGAUAGUGAGAUAUCGAAAAUGUGACAUAUUAACUUGAUGGUGGAAAAUCAAGACUAUGGAGACGGUAGAUAGCCUCGAAGGCAUAUAGUCGUUCACUUUAGCAUGGACAAUAUAGGCGUUUACGUAUUUUCCAGUUAAGUUUGUUCGAACUCAACUUGAACUCAAUGUUAGGUGAUAAUUUGUAGUCCAUGCCAAUGUGACUACCCCAUAUUGCAUUACAAAAUAGAUGAAACGAAUAAUCGAUUCGAUUAUAAACCGACCAUCUGAAUCAAUCAUAUAUUGAUUGGGCUUUGUACCAAGAAAAUAACACAAACCAUGGGCUUUGAACUCAAUCAAAAUAACUUCCUAAGCCCAACAAAAAUUGAAGAUUUGAUUUUGGGUGUAUAGACCUACUCAAAUCAACUAGAUAGAGUUUGCGGACUUGAACAAUGUAUUGUCGAUAUUUCGAAAGUCAUAUUUAUUUCUAUUGUCAAGGAAGAUCAUGUUAUGUUGUUGUUGUUGUUGAUUUCAACGGUAUAUAUCGGCUUCGUACAUCAACAUCCACGUGGAUUAUAAGGCUGAUUUGUCGUGCACGAUUAAGCCUAUUUAUCGAGGAUUUGAACAGAAACCUAACCUAACGGAAGGGGUAGUUUAUUAGAAUAAUCAAAAUCCAGAGGGCUCCGUCGGUGAAAGUUUAGUACAGGUGAUAUAUAUUAACUCAAUUAUUAAAUAAUUAAUAAUUAAGACAAAAUCCAAAACUAAUAGGAUACGGAAUAGGAAUAAAGUAAUGAACCUUUAUAUAUCAAAACCCUAACUAACUCCGCCGUGCAACUUCUAAAGAUGGAGGCAUACAAUAGAACAAGCGACGGCGGCGGCGGCGAAGUAGACAGAAUCUCAGCUUUGCCGGACGACACCAUUCAUCAAAUCAUCGCUCUCUCAUAAGAAUCUCCAUUCAAACAAUGUGCUAAACUAUCCGUCCUAUCCAAGAGAUGGAAUCACAUCUGCCACUCCCAUCUGACCUUGAAAUUCAACAUAUCUUCCUUGAAAUUCUAGCAAGCCCAAGGCUUAGCUGCCGAUGAAGACUGUAAGAAGUUCUUCCAACGCCGCAGCAGGAACAGCAUCCCCACUGAAUCCAUCACAAUCCAAAAUACCGUCAAGUUGGACCCCUUAUCGGUCCGUUUCCUCAACAAAAUCUUGGACUACACUGCAAAGAUUUCACCUCGAGAGAUCGACUUAGACUUAUACUCUUUUCGCAUACACUACAUUAUCCCACGACGAUUCUUACCACUACGUCACGGCGAUGAUGAGUAUGAUGAUGAUAAUUACCCAUUCUUCCGCCACUUGUACAUCGUUAGUGUACUAUACUACCAACUUAACUAUCUUAAAAAAUUUUUGAUGCACCCCAUUUUCACCAAUAGACUCAUCGACCAAUAUAAAAUAAAGAAGUAAAUAUAUAUCACAUACGUAAAUUAUUGAAGGAUAUCAAAUUCGAAACCUCUAAUUUGUCAAUACACUACACUACCAACUCAACAACUAUCAUAAACGUGUCAUAUGUCCUUUUUCAUAUAAAUUGGUGCCAAAAAUUGGUUAAUUAUCACGUCGGUAAACAUAUCCAGCGGGGAAAGAAACCAACGGUUCUAAUUCAACAAGCCCCCAUCUCCAAUUUUUGAAAACAAGAAAAAUCGAAAUUGAAAUCAAAACCACUUAUUGCAUCAAGACAAACCAGUACCACCAUUGAAUCAUUGAUCAUCUUUCCACAUCUACGUACUGUCCAUAACCCAAAAAAACCCAUGAAUGAUUCAUCACCGCACAUGUUCUUCAAGCAAUACCCUUUUACCAAAAUCAGAACUUUUUCCCCCUUUUGAUUUUCGAGUUUUCUUUUGCAAUCUACCAUGUCCCCUGUUUUGCUGUCGGCCUGAAACAGAGCAUCACUCUGUUUUUUCUUAAUUUUUAAGUGGAAGAUGACGACGGUGAUGCAAUGUAAUAACAACCACCACCGUCAGAGCCAGUUUCCACCAGCAGCGGCGAAACGUGGGACUGGUUGGCUGAGUCAAGAGAAGGCUAGUGAUCGUGGGUUCAGGCAACGUCGUCGUCGGAUGAACGGUGUAAAUUAUUCGAGUGGUGGUGGAGCGGAUCAGGUUGUGUUAACGCGGGAGAUUACUUCCACUGCGGAAGUAGCAGAGGUGAGGUAAAUUUAUUACUGAUUUUUUUUUACUUAAGGGGUUAUUGGGGUUGAAUUGAUUAUCAACCUCUCGACAAACUCCAUUUAUUGAUCACCUUCGAUGGCGAUUGGCGACCAGUAUGUUACGACUUACAAUGUGUAAUGAAUGGUUGGAAGUAGUAGAUACGUGGGGGCCGAAAAUGGUUAAUUUGUGUAUCAUAUGCUUGUUAAUCAAGCUUAUAAGCUGCCAUACGGCCGAGUUGAGAUUCGGUUGAUAGGUGUUACGGAUUACGAGUUUAGUAGGUGUCGGGUUUAUAAACUUUCAAGUCACUAAUUCAUCGAGUGGUGGGUUUGUGGAUUUUGUUGAGAUUGUUUGUUGGACGGAUUAUGAUAUUUUUUUAAAUAAUUUUCUUUGAUUCGAAUUAUUAAUGGAAUUGAAUCGGAUUAAAACAGGCUAAGUCGGUUUGGCAACCGAUUUCUUCUCAUGUUAGAAAUGUCACCUUAAGUUAAUAAAUUUGACACUAUUUGUGUGAAAAUGUAGUAAUUGGAUGUACCAUUAACAAUGACCCCAUUGGGGCCACUAGCUAUAAUUUCUUGUACCAAGUUAUAUUUACUCUUCCAAAGGUAAAAGUUAAGUUGAAGGAAGUAAAAUCUAAUGAUUUUUUUUUUUUUUAUCUCGAUAAUCUAAUAUUAUAUAAUUCUCGGUACACAUUGGUAGAUUUAAGGGGCUCCCCUAAACUUCGACACAACUCAAUUUUAGAUUUUAAAAUAACGUCUAAAGUAAAAGUUACUUAUAGAAAUUCCGAUACAAUCUAUUUUUGAAUUUUAAAAUAACGUCUAAAACAAAAUUUAUUUACUCAUCAAUCUGAAAAGCCUUAUACUUCAAGGUUGCAAGUAAGAAAUUUUCACACAAACAAGCCAAAGAAAAAUCGAUCACCAAAAAUGUUCCAUUUUUCUCAUUUACUACUCAUCAAUAGAGUGCAAUACUUAGUUUCUAGGCUCUUCAUUGAUCUCCUAUAAAUAGACCCCAUCAAGCAAAGAGUUUGCAACAUCUUUGGGAGUAACUCUCUCUUCAAAAAACAUUCUUAGCAGUUCGAUCUCGAUUCGACUUCUAAUCGUUAUGCAGGCUCCGAGUUACGACGAACAGAUGCUAGCAAACUACGUCCCAACUUUCGUUAUGUUCCCUGUAAGUAACACAUAACAACUCACUAGCUAGCCGUCGAUUUCGCAACAAAUUGAUCCGAUAUGCCUAACAAAACCAUCUUGUUUUCUCCAGUUGGGAGUAGUGACGCCGGACAAUGUCUUCGAGAACAAGGACGUCGUGGAGAAGCAACUGAAGGAGCUGAAAUCGGCAGGGAUUGAUGGGAUCAUGAUCGACGUAUGGUGGGGGAUCAUCGAAGCCAAAGGGCCGAAACAGUACGACUGGAGUGGCUACAAGGAGCUUUUCGAGCUACUGAAAGCACUGGACUUAAAAAUCCAAGCUAUAAUGUCAUUUCACCAAUGUGGAGGCAAUGUUGGUGACAAUGUCUUCAUCCCUCUCCCUGAUUGGGUCCUCGAAGUCGGGGAGGUUGACCCCGAUGUCUUUUACACCAACAGGGCCGGUGUUCGGAACAAGGAGUAUCUGUCUCUUGGUGUUGACCGCCUCCCUCUUUUCGGCGGCCGCUCUCCUGUUCAGGUAUCUGUAACCAGUCUGUAAGUGUGUAACACUGUUCUCAUUUGUUAACCAAACAUUUCGUGUAGAUCUACGGAGACUACAUGAAGAGUUUCAGGGAGACCAUGGCGGAUUUCUUCGAUUCGGGACUGAUAAUUGACAUCGAAGUAGGGCUUGGACCGGCUGGGGAGCUUAGAUACCCAUCUUAUCCUGAGACUCAAGGAUGGGUUUUCCCUGGAAUUGGAGAGUUUCAGGUUUAUUACAAGCUUUAACCACUUCUCAUUUUCUCAUGAAUCCUUAUCACUUGCGGAUUCAUAAAUUUAAAGCCCUAAAAAAAUUGUUUCUUGUUGAACAAUCCAGUGCUAUGACAAGUACCUGGCAGCUGAGUUCAAAAAGGAAGCAAUAGAGGCAGGGCAUCCUGAGUGGGAAUUGCCUGAUGAUGCAGGAGAAUACAAUAAUACCCCUGAUCAAACAGGGUUCUUUAAAUCCAACGGCUCAUAUCUUUCUGAAAAGGGCAAGUUUUUCCUGAUGUGGUACUCCAACAAGUUGAUUAUCCAUGGAGAUGACAUCCUUGAUGAGGCCAACAAGGCCUUUUUGGGAUGCAAGGUCAAAUUGGCUGCCAAGGUAACUCAUUAGAAUCACUAACUAUUGAGAUCAAUUGUGUGACCUGCGAAAGGCUCUGAUACUAUGUUGUUGUGUCGGAAAAUGUGACAGGUCUCGGGAAUCCAUUGGUGGUACACGGAUCCGAGCCACGCAGCGGAGCUGACUGCAGGGUACUACAACUUGAAGGAACGAGACGGGUACCGACCGGUGGCGAGGAUGAUGUCGAGACACCAUGGGCUUGUGAACUUCACUUGCUUGGAAAUGAGGAACACUGAGCAGCCCGCCGCGGCCAAGAGUGCUCCCCAACAGCUUGUCCAACAGGUUAUAACCUCACAUAUGUAACAAAAUAAAAACUAUAUGUCAAAAAUUAAUCACAAUUGACAUCUUUGAUAGGUUUUGAGUGACGCGUGGACGGAAGGGAUCGAUGUGGCGGGAGAGAACGCGUUGGCAAGGUACGACGCCGAAGGAUACAACCAGAUUCUCCUGAACGCCAGACCUAACGGAGUCCGCCCACCAAAGGACGGGGAGAAGAAGUUACAGAUGUACGGAGUCACGAUCCUUCGACUGACGGAUGAUCUGUUGGAACAGAAGAACUUGGACGUGUUCAAGAAGUUCGUAAGGAGGAUGCAUGCCAACCAGGUAUGUACAUAGUAUUGAUUACACGUCCCAUUGACUCUAGUUGUUGGCCGAAGAUGAUGACAGCGACUUUAGUAAUGUGUAAUGUUUUUUCGUAUAGGACUAUUGUGGAGAUUCGAGCAAGUAUGGGCACGAAAUCGGAGUUUUGGAGAGAUCUAAGGGAAAAUUGGGGAUUGAAGAGCUUAUGGAGGCAACUAAGCCAAUAGAGCCGUUUCCAUGGGAUGAAGAAACUGAUAUGCCUGUUGAGCCUGUAGGUUUAUUUGGCAAACUCCUUCAGAAAUUAUUUUCUCUAUUUUUCAGAUGAUUAAUUGACUGAUUAAUCUGUUUAAUUAUAUAUUUACAGUGACCAUUAUUUGAUACAAGCAUAAUAAUUAACUAUAUAUGAAGAAAUUAAUUAGCAACAGCUAAUCAAGCCAAAAUUUGUUAUAUUUGUUCAAAUGUAUAUACAAAAUAAAUUUCUAAAAAAUUAUAGGAAAUUUUAGAGACUACGGAUGGAAUCAUAUAAUAGGUUCAUACUUUAUAUUAUCGAUUAUAAGCGAUUGAUAGUUUGGAUAAUAUGCUUCAUGUCGAAUAGUAAUAUCGUAAAACGUAAGCUUUCAUAUAUAUCUUUUCAAAAUUAAGCAUUCAUAUCUUUAAAUUAGUUAGAGCUCUACCGUACAUUUGCUAUGUUCGAGAUUAACCGUAAGCGACACAACAAGGCUAAUUACGUAUGACCUUGUAAUCUUAAAUAGCAAUUGACACCUUUAUGUUUUGUAAAGAUAUUUAUUUCAUAUUUUCUCUAAAUGUGUAAACAUAUAUGUACUUUCCUUUUUCUUACAGUGAUCUGUUUGAUCUAUCAAGCCGUUCUUCUUCAAAACGCAUGACAAGAUAUCGAGCAUGUUUGAUCGAAAUUCGUCGUUGUUAUAGAUCAUGUCUAAUAAAGUUGUGUACUGAGUUGUUGGAGCCUCUUUCUAUAAAUAAAAUAAAAUAACCAAAAGGCAUAUAGCCAUUUGGUGCCUCUCUUGUUAAUGAUCAGCUAGUUUAUGCCAACUUUUGUUAAACUACCAGUAAUCUCAAGAAGAACACAACCCAUCUCUGAGGUGGUGGAACCUCCUGAUAUCACGCAUCACAAUCUCCCGGCCCGUAACCUUCGAGAUAAGCUUCGUUCCCAGACCGGUUCUUCGUGAUCCUUACAAUGGUUCCCGGACCAGUUCACCAGAGCUGCACCCUGGCGGUUUCAUCAGCCCUUUACUUCUCACCACCGAUCUUACCCUUUCGACAUCUCCCCAUCGCUUCUCCGCUGCAUAGACGUUCGCAAGGGAGAUGUAGCUGCUCACAUUGUUAGGAUUCAGGGACACGAUCUCCCUCGCUGCGAUCUCAGCUAGCUCGAGAUUGUUGUGCAGGCGACAACCGUUGAGUAGAGCAGCCCAAACAUCAAUUGAGGGAUCGAUAGGCAUUGCUCGAAUCACCUCAUGAGCUUCGGUUAACCGACCGGAUCGGCUGAGGAGAUCUACAUAGCAUGAGUACUGAGCCAUUGUUUUGUAAUCUUUCUGCAUUCUGUUGAAAAUCUCUCUGCCUUCAUUUACCAAUCCACCAUGGCUACAAGCUGAUAACACCGAAGUGAGAACACCUUCAUCCGGUUCGAUACUAGUUUCAUCAUCCACCAUUCUAUUGAACAACUCAAUAGCCUCCCUUGCCUUCCCAUGAAUGCUGUAUCCAGAAAUCAUGGCACACCAAGAAACCAAAUUUCUCCGAUCAUGACGCAUUUCGUCAAAAAUGGAUCUCGAACAAGCUAGACUUCCGCAUUUUGCAUACAUGUCUAUGAGUGCAGUUCCCACCAUUGUACUUGCACCAGAAAACCCUAACUUGAUCACACGUGCAUGGAGAGACAUCCCAAAUUGUAAAGAUGUGAUCUUUUCACAUACUCCGAGCACAGUCACGUAAGUUACCUGAUCCGGCUCGAAGCCUUCCGAAACCAUUCUGUUAAAAGUCCUCAGGCUUUCGAAUGAGUCUUCUCUUCUUGCAUAGCCUGCAAUCAAAGAGUUCCAUGACACUGUAUCUUUAUUCCUAGCCAUUGUCUCAAACAAUUUUUUGGCAUAAUCCAUUGAACUACACUUGCAGUAGACUUCAAUUAGUGAAUUCUCCAGAAAGGUGUUGUAAAGUGAAUGACUUUUUCUUACAACAUAGCCAUGAACUUCUUUAACUUGCUUCAGCAUCAACAAUUCAGCACAGGAGGAGAGGCUACCGAGCAAAGUAGUGCCAUCCAAUGAAACUCCAACUUCAUUCAUCGUCCGGAACGUUCUCAAAGCUUCCCCUGCCAUGGAAUUCUUCACAUAACCUGAUAUCAUUGAGUUCCAAGAAGUCAAAUCUCUCACAUGCAUUUGAUCAAACACCUUCCGUGCAACUCCCAUACCCCCACACUUUGAGUACAUUGCUAUGAGAGAGUUUCCAACGUACACAUCCGAUUCAAACCCACAAACAACAACCUCCCCAUGAACUCUCCUUCCAAUCCUUACAUCCAACAAAUCGCCACAAGCUUUGACAACAAAUGGAAAAGUGAAAUUAUCGGCUUUCAACCCAAACCUCAACAUCUCUCUGUACAAAUCCAGAGCUUUCCUAGAAAUCCCGCUGCUGGCGUACCCUCUAAUCAUGAAGUUCCAAAGGAACGAGCUUUUGGAUUGGAUUCCGUCGAAGAUCACCUGGGCAGUAUCCAUGUCUCCGCCUCUUGCGUAGAAAGCGGAUAGUUUGGUGCUCAAGUAAGUGUUGUGAAUGAGACCGCCGUUGGUUGUUACGUGGGCGUGGAGCUUACGGCCUUCCAUGAGAGAUUUGGAGUUCGUGAGCGAUUGUAAGAUGGAUCCGCAUUGCAGCGACGGAAGAGGGAAUCGGAUAGAAGGAUGUGCGAUGGAACUGAAUCCAGAUUUCCAGAGGAAUAGUAUUGGUCGCUGGAAUUUGGCAUUGUUGAUCGUGAGCUUGCCAUUCAUGAAGAUGGCUGAUUCUCAAUGCUUUGGUAAGCUCCGCGUUGAAGUGAAAAAUGGGGACUGAGAAGAUAGGACGGCGGCGGGAACUGGCCGGAGAUUUAAGCAGCUCGAAAGAGAAAACUCGAAAGACACAGAGCACAGAAAAAUAGAAGAAAAAAUCAAAUAAAGUGGAGAUGCGGGGUAUCGAUCCCCGUACCUCUCGCAUGCUAAGCGAGCGCUCUACCAUCUGAGCUACAUCCCCAUUCGAUCAUAAUAAUUAUACUUUAUAAGUACUAAACAUGAUUCGGUUUCGAUUUGUUCUAUAUUGGCAAUAACACCCUAGAUAGCAUUUCAAUAGUAUAACAUGUAUAUCAUACACAUACUCGUUCCAUCUACUCUAUACUUAAGCAUAUUACAUUUUUGUUUAGUCUUAAAAUGUAAUUCGAUUCAAUUGCUAACCUACCUAAUGCGUACAAAUCCAGGUCAAAAUCGUCAACCCUUACAUAUUUUUUCUUCCUUACGAAUCCGAAUCAUGACAUUUUCAGUCACAUUUCCGAAACCGCCACCAUCGUAUCUCGCACAUAAAGUCGUUGACUAGUCGAGCCUAUUAAAACCCAAACGGAAAAUCCUGAUGCAAUUUAAUUAAGCCAGUCCAAAAGCACAGGCAAGCAAUUGUCAAAACAUACAGUUACUUACAUUCCAUGCACAGCAGUUGUUCACAAUUACAAACACCCCCCCCCCCCCCCAUACUCAGUUGUCUCAAUACACAGAAUCCAUACAUAUAUCAACCUUUCUCGAAAGAUCUGGCUGAGUCACGGACUAGGUCGAUAUUCUGUAUCGCCUAUGGCCCGUCGCAAGUUCUUCAUGAAGAAGAAGAAGAAGGUUAGCUCUUACUGUAAGCAGAGAGAUGGGAUGGUGAAGAAGGCCAAUGAGUUGUCUGAGCAAUGUGGGGUUGAUGUUGGCCUCAUCAUGUUCUCUCCCAAGGGAAAGCUGACGACUUUCGCCACCAAGGGGAGGAUCGAGGAUGUGUUCCUUCGUUACAUCGAACGAUCGGAUGAAAUCGAGAGUCAAGAAGAGAAUCUGUACCGUUCACUCAAGCAGCUGAGACAUGAAGGAGAAGUGCUGGAGAAGCUGGCUAGGAUUGAGGUAUAUGAUUAAUGUCCAUAAGAUUUUUACCGGUUUUAAUUGUUUUUUCUAGGUUCAAACAUGGCUUGAUUUGUCAUUUUUCUACUGUGUUUUUGUUUUUAAUUAGGCUCUUGAGGAGGAACUUCAGGAGCUGAACAAACAGCAGAGCCAAAAGGAAGAACAGCUCAAGUAAGUGGGGUUUAUUUCAGAUCAGGUCCCUGCUAGCUAGGGCUGGUUAAUAAUUGACCACAUUCGGUCGGUUAGUUAAGAUCGUAUACAAAAAAUCUCAAAGCUUUACCGUUCAACCAUAACUGAAUGUCCACCCCCUAGGUCCUGCCGGAGUAGUUCGAACCAGAAUCCGUAGCUAUAUCAAGUCCUUUUACGAGUAAUCAAGUGAAUUCGUUAACAUGACUCCAUCAAUUGAUCAAGUCAUAUUGAGAGUAGAUUUGAUCGUAAUACAUAUCGAACGAACGUGAUAUUCUCACCAAAAAGUACAUUUUACGACGAAUCUAGACUCGAAAAAGGAAUGAACACGCGACGAGAAACGACUGUAAUUCGGUUGUUUUGGUCAGGUGUUACAACUUGGAUGUGCAGAAGAUAGGUUCCAUCAGUGAGGCCUUACUACACCAGCAGUUCCUCACCAAUGCAAUCCAGAAUAUCCAACGGCUGAAAGUAAGUACUAAGAUGGGUUAGUUAACUUCACUUGGAUCAUAUCAUAUGAUCAAACCUGCUGUUGAUUACACAUCCUGCCACUUGUUUUUGUUCUUGAUUCAGCUGCAGCAGAACCUCAUCAACCAGAUAAAGCUUCGAAACCCGGCAAAUUUCGAGGUAACCGGAAAAUCGAGUUGAUCGAAAUGUUGCUUACAUUGUCCUUGUGACAUCUUUCUGUGUGUAUAUAUCCAGGUGGCUGGUUUGACGGCAAAGGAAUCCAUUGAGAAACAGAGGAAUCAAGCAGGGGAUUAUGGAGGAAGCAGUUCAGGAGGACCGCAUCUGAGCCUUGAGUUCUUGAAAAAGCAGCAGCACUGGAAUCUCAGAAUCAACCACUGAACUUGAAAACUUUGAAUGUUUGGUUUGUAAUUUUUGGUUUAAUAAUGAUUUCUCCGCUGCAUCUCGAUGGCGAUGGAGAACGGAGGACGAAACUCCGGGCAGGUUAAAAAUCGACCGAUGUUUUGGUAAAACGAAUGUGCGGUGUCGUUGCGGGCCUGGCCUGGCCUGAAAACGAUAAGCCGAAAUAGAGUCGGGUCGGCCUCAAAGCUGAACCGGCCACAAAAUCCGGUCCAAGCUGGCGGUUGCCAAAAGAACGUCUAAAAAUAACCAAAUGGACCCGUAUAAGCCCAAGUCCUAAUAGAAAUUCUCAGUUUAGUUUACACGUCAAAACUCCCUGCUUCUUCCCCUCCGAGAAAAGAUGAGCUCAACAAAAUCCAACGCCUCUGGCUAUAUUCAUCCUUUGCGUCUUUCCGUCGAAACUUUCGAACCCGGAUUUUCACUUUCCAUACAGAUUCAUGUACCCAUUGACGCUCCUUGCAAUUCAAAGCGCUCUCUCUCGCCUCUAUACAUUGCCAGUUCGCCACUCAAAACAAUCUGAAUGACAUCAGCUAUGUUGUAAUGCACAUAACCUGGAUGAAAUGCCGCAUUGAGGGAGGGAAACGUUGAUUGGAAAGUGGAGCAAUCUUUUUCCCCUUUGUGCGAACCAUUUCCGUUAUUGGGUCUGGCGUUAAAUUGGCGUUAAAGAAUUUUUACGUUAGAUUCGAUGAGAUGAGAAGGGUAGCUAGCGAAUGGAGGGGACCUUAUUGUGGCUUUAGAGGAAAAUGGGAUCAGGAAGAGCCUGUUACGUAACUGUCUGUUUGAUUCUGCUUUUUUUGGUGGCCGCCACUGGUGAUGAUUCUGGCAAUCAACGUCCUCAGGUGAAGGAAGAAAUGGUUAUGUGUUGUCCUUUUCACGCCUUAUCUUUGUUCUUUCACUUGGUUGCAGCUUUCAUUAACAUGGGAAACUGAAUGGGAAAUGAUAUCCCAGGCAGAACAAGCAUGGAUUUACUGCAGGAAAGGGGUUGGCAAAGAUACAUCGAAAGAUUGUGACUUGUUCUAUCUACUGGAAUCCGCCAGUGAAUUUGAUUCAUCCUUGUUAGCGAGCAGAAGAAUGCAGAAUGCUGUCAGAGUUCUACCCCUUGGAGUGAAGAAGGAAAUUCUGCAUUGCCUAAGAAAGAAACGUCUUUCUGGUGAUUUUUACAAUAAAGGCAGCUCGCGAAACUACUGGCUUAUUGACUGUUUACAGCUGGUUUUGGAUUGGCCUAUGACUGAUGCACAAUAUCUGACUGGUUACUAUGAUGUCCAAACUUCGCUGAAGCUUCAUCAGCGACGAGAGCUUGCCUCUGCGGAUGUUGAUGGCUCGUCGGAUUCUGAUUCGGACACUAGGGAGCAUAAGAAGCGUAAAAAGAACGAUGUUGAGAAGAAAACAAUUGUAGCCAUUGUUGUAACAACAGUAGCAACCUUGGUGAUCGUAGCAGUGCUGUUCUGCUGCUGGCUUCGGUUGAGGAAUAGCGAAUCGGAAAUGAAUUAUAUCGAAGGGAAAAGAGACGAGAGGCCUCUUGUCCACUUAAGUGAUUCUUGUGCGAGUAAGUAAGCCAUCUCUGUUUGUGUUCUGUAUUAUGCAUUGGCUAUGAAAUCUUACCUUCCUGUUUUGUUUGUAUUUAGACACCUCACUUGCUACUGCAAGUAUGGCAAGCUCGAGUACUAAGGAUCCGAAGUCUAGUGGUACUAUGACUGAAGCUCCUGUAAGCAACCAGCAGCCUAUUAUCAUGGAGGAAGGACAAUCGUCUGAAACGAAACAAGAUGCAGGAGAUGAGGAUGGUGAUGAUGAGAUUUCACCUCUAAAGCCUCCUCCGGGAAGGCCAGAGCCUCCACCACCGGCCACCCCUCCACCACCACCGCCACCUCGUGCUGCUGCUGCUCCGACACCACCCCAAAACCACUGGGACCAAAGCGAGGUGAUAACGAUGAUUCAAAUGAUGCAGAUGGUGAUGAAGAAUCUGAAGCUCCCAAGCCGAAGUUGAAACCUUUCUUUUGGGAUAAGGUUCCGGCCAGUCCUAAUCACUCCAUGGUCUGGCAUGAGAUUAACGAUGGAUCAUUCCAGUAAGUGUAUACGAAUCUUCAAAUUCAUCCUGGUUCUGUAUAAAAAUCUCAACUUUGGAUCAUUCUCAACUUUUCCAGGUUUGACGAGGAGAUGAUAGAGUCAUUAUUUGGGUACACAACGGCUAAUAAGAAUAAGAAUGAGCGUAGGAGAGAUUUGGCUGACGUUCAGUAUGUUCGCAUUAUCGAUCCUAGGAAGGCUCAAAAUUUGUCUAUACUUCUGAGAGCUCUGAAUGUGACUACUGAAGAAGUUCUCGAUGCUCUGCGAGAAGGUACCUUGCUGCAUCAUUUUGAUGAAUUGUCACUGAAUACAUCUUAAGAGUCCAUUGAAUGUGUAAAGUACCUUGCCGCUUGCUUACCUGUCCGUAAAAACGCUGUUACAGCUAACGAGCUUCCAGUGGAGCUUCUCCAAACUCUGCUGAAGAUGGCACCAACAACAGACGAGGAAUUGAAGCUGAGGUUGUUUGCUGGUGAAAUCACUCAGCUCGGGCCUGCAGAACGUUUCCUGAAAGCGUUAGUGGAAGUUCCAUUCGCCUUCAAGAGAAUCGAAUCGCUUCUGUUCAUGAGCUCCCUUCAGGAAGAAGUCACCACACUCAAAGAAGCCUUUACAACUCUUGAGGUGAGCGGGAUGAAUGAAAUAGUUCCAUUCUGUUAACUGAAUAUAAUUAGUUAUUUUUUUAGUGAUCGUUUUUCAACUCAUAUUAUACUCUCUGUUCAAAAUGCAAGAUCGCUAGCAACAAACUCAGAAACAGCAGGCUAUUCCUGAAACUAUUGGAAGCAGUUCUCAAAACCGGCAACCGGAUGAACGAUGGCACGUACCGCGGUGGCGCGUUAGCAUUCAAGCUCGACACGCUUUUAAAGCUCUCCGAUGUGAAGGGGACAGACGGUAAGACAACCCUACUGCACUUUGUUGUCUUAGAAAUCAUCCGUUCGGAAGGCAUACGCACUGUCCGAUCAGCAAAGGAAGACGCAACAGCACGAGCCAAGCGCUGCCUCCAGCGUAAUCUCAGACGAUUUCAGUGAAGACCCCGAUGAUCAUACAGCAGACGAGCACUACUGCAACCUCGGCCUCCAAGUGGUUUCGAGCUUAAGCAGCGAAUUCGAAGAAGUGAAAAACGCAGCACUGCUAGACGGUGACAUGCUGUCAUCCACACUGUCCAAACUCAGGCAGUCCUUCACAAAGGCCAAAGGCUUUGUAGAGUCCGACAUGAAGAGCGACAAAGAGAGCGAGUUCUACAACUCCCUCGUGGCGUUCAUGGACCGAGCAGACUCCGACAUCUCCUGGCUUUCAGAGGAAGAGAAGAGGAUAACAGCUCUGGUGAAGAGCACGGCGGAUUACUUCCAUGGCAAAUCAGGUAAAGAAGAAGGGCUUCGGCUCUUCAUCAUCGUGCGCAGCUUCUUGACGAUGCUGGACAAGGCCUGCAAAGAAGUUCAAGAUGCCAGAGCGAAGAAACAGAUUGCUCUGGUGAAAGUACCUGCAAAGAAAGAACACUACUCUCCAAGUGAAGCUUCGAGUAUGGCAGUAAAACAGCAGUUUCAGCAGCAGCCGGAGAAUCAUCAUUCUCUUAAGCGGUUGUUUCCAGCCAUUGCUGAAAGACAGGAUGAUUCCUUUAGCUCAGAUGAUGAAGAUUUAGUUGUCCCUCUCUGAUCAGCCUCUUCUUUGUUUAGCUUUUAACCAGAUAGAUGCAUAACUAUAUACUCAUUUGGUUGUAUAUUUAGCAAGUUAGAGGAGGAAAGAUCACAAUUUUGUUAGAUCCCAUUAUAGUUUUUAGACAAAAGAUUACAGCUUUGAAGUUUUCCCAACAAGAAAAUGUAUACUUGAUGAUGGAAUAAUAAUCCAACAUUAUGUUUUUUUCAGUAGGGUGGAUGUUUUGUGAACUGGUUCGUUCGGUUCGGAUCAGUUGAAUCGAUUCAAAUACUAACCCCAUUGAGAUUACUAAUUAGACCAGUUUUGUCUACUUGUCAUCAUCAUCACUAGCAGCAGCAGUGGCGGUGAUGUAAUAAGCAACAGAAAAGAGGGCAUGAACGAAGCACAAGAUCCCUCCAAUGGAGAAGAAAUGGUGUUUUGUGAAUCCACAGGAAGCUCUAGACUUGUUGUUUGACAGUGUCCCAAUCACCACCAUCGCCAGGGCCAUCGCCAAUACGAUCCUGACACGUCAUCAUUGAUCCAAAAUCGAUACAAUCAAUAACCCAAAUCUUGAAAAACCGAAUUCACGACAAUUAGAUGAUUACUAUCUCGAAUCGUUAGGGUAUAAAGUAUAAAAUAGUUGAACAUUUCAAUUGUGAACCGGAUAAUAAUAAUUUGUGAUUAGUAGUUAACCAGAUACCACAUUCUCGGUUAACAGUGUAAAGUGUAAUUGUCAUCAACGAAAUGUAAUAACCGGUUACCAACAAGCAGUGUAAUUAACAUCUAAACCAUUGUAAGCCAUAGGAGUAGAUAUUCGGUUAUAAUUGAUAGUUAAACCGAUCAACCAAUUGAUUUUGGUUGGUUAAACAAUAAAAUGUAAAAUAAUUAGGUCAGUCAAUAGAUUAACACUUUGAGAUAUUUUUUUAACCAACUCUUUUAAUGUUUAUAUCUAUUUUAAACCGAAAUCGACCUUAACCGAUUUAUUUUGAUCAAUUAAUUGAUGGUUAAUUAACGAUCAUCAUCAUGUCAAACGAUUAAUCGGUUAACAUUCCUAGUUAACCAACUUACUAAGCUAUUACUAGUUUAACCACAACUGCACCGAUUUCCAGGCGAACGAAACUCGAAAGAGAUUCAAGAAUGUGUACCAAGUAAGGAAGAAGCAAGCUACAGAUAGCUGCCUGUGAGGGGAAGCCCUGUGGAGUUCCUCUUGGGAGCAGAUGCAGAGGCAGCCACUUAGCAAGUUGGCUAUGGCAUGUGCAAGAACAAGGAGUCCGGCUGCCGCUAGCCCGAGCUCGAAUGCUGCGUUGCUCGGUUCCCGGCACUCGAAUAUCCACAUCCUCAAGUGCUUAACCUGGACACCACACCACAAAACAAGUAGUAUGCUCUCAUCACCACAAGUUAUAAUGUUCAUAUGUACAUAGGAAUGUGUUCAGUUGGCAUGAGUGGUUCCUUACCUUGUUCUGUGAUUCUUCAGCUUGGAAGGCUAGGAGUCCGGCCCCGAUGUCCAUUGCUACGAUCAAGAUGCAGAUGAAGAUGCCUAGUGUUUUCCCCAUUUUUUGUCAAUGGAAAAAGAGUGUUGCUUUUUUUACUAGAGGAAGGUGGAAGAAGACGGGGUAAUUUCACAAGUGGUGGGAGUAAAGUGAAAAAGAAAUGAGAGAAGAGAGAAAUAACUAUGGUGGUGGCCUGGUGAGGGUGAGGAGCUGAUAAUAGCUAGAAAAGUAUGUAGUAAAGAAACUUUAUGAUUUCUCUAUUUACAACAGUACAACUAAAAGUUAAGUUUAUGGUAAAUUUUAGGAAUAAUUUGAGUUUUGACAAUUUUGUAUAAAAGUUUGUCAAUUUAGAGUCAAAAGAUUCUGAAGAGUGAGUCGAAUUUGUCAUUAUCUGUUUGUAUCAUCUUUUCUACCCGUAAUAUUGCCACUCCACUUUCUAAUUUGUGUUUGUGGAUUAACUACCUUUUUAGUGUUUGGUUUUGUUCCCAUGGUUAAAAACUGUGCCGGACUCGAAUCAUGGAUUCUAGAGGUAUACGGUACAAUGCUUAAAACUGUUACAACACUGAUAGUUUCUUAAAUUUAUCGUGAUUGUACGAGACCAUGUUCAUGACUGGUUCACUAUGGAACCAAACCGGUUUCAAUCACUGAUCUCUGCAGCUAGCAGCAAGUCUGGUAAAGAGCUAGGGAAUCUGGGGAUGACCCCACAGUUGUGCCAAAUUUGUCAAAAGUUGGUCGGCAUCGUUCAGGAUCAUAAUAACCAAUGAUGACAGAGCCAAAAACCUGACAAUCUGUCCCUUACGAAGAAAAAUUGGUGGUAUGUUCCCACCGUGCACAUUGCAACAUUUCGGAGCUCGUGCAGCUUUUAGGCGUCAAUAGCAAUACCUUAAUCACUCAUCGAGAACGAGAAUGGUCUUUGUGUCCAGGAAACAUGGCCAGUUUGUCGCCUAAAAGUAAUGUAGAGUCCCAGUGUACGAGAAAAGUUUGAAUUUUUUUUGUCAGUGAAACAAUUUCCAUUAAUUUCGAAACCAUUGAAGUACAAAAACGGAAAAAUCAUAUCACAUCCUAAUUGAUGGUAACAUAGAAAUCCAAUUCUCAGACAGAGACCUUGCAGACGCAUUACGAGCAACCCAAUCCGCUUUGAAAUUCUCCUUACGAGGGAUGAACCCAAUCGAGAUGUGGGGAGAAGAGCGCAGAAUCCGCAAGUUCGAGUAUGUGUAAGCUGCAGCAUCUCAAUGAAAGUAUGCCGCCUCACCCUUGAGCAUCCGAACAAGCGAGAGGCAAUCAGACAUAAUAGAGACGGGGGAGCCCAUGGAGGAGGCAAAUUCCACUGCGACCAAAACUGCUUUUGCUUUGAUGGCAAAGGGAGAAGAACAGAUAAACAUGGCUGCCUUCUCAUCCACAACUUUCGAUAUCGUUGAAAAUGAUCACGUUGUAGGCUGCCAACUGGAAAUCACAGGGUGACUAUUCGGCAGGGGAGUCGUUAUGGCAUGGGGUGGGUGAGGCACUCCACCGGUCAUCGGCUUGGGGAGGAGACAACAAGCUUCCCACUCCAAACAUUCCUUGUUGCAGAGGCUAGGCUUAAAAAAGUUUGAAAAUUACUGCAUCUUUUUAUGAACGAUGAUGGCACACUAUAGUACAAUGAACUACUUUUUUAAUUCCAUUUCUGAAGCCUUCUACAAAAGUGCUGUAACAGAUUAAUUACUCUGAAUGAAUUACAAAGAACCGAACCUCAGAUAACCGAUUAUAACAAUUAGAAACCAGAGAGAUUUACAAACAGAGAAAAGCUAUACACAAGAAUCGAGAUUUUUGGAGAUUGAAGAAACCCAGAAAGCUGCUGCUGCUUCCUGCUGAUGCUGAUCAAGGGAAGGGACAGAACUUAUGUGCUUUCAUCUGGAAUGGAUCUGACUAAGUCCCUAAACUACAAAGGUUGGGUGGUGGGUAAGUAAGCUGACCGAACGAACCAUUCCAGAUAAAAAAUCGAAACAUGAACAAACUAACGUGAGACUCUAAGGGUUGGGCUUGCAGCUUUCUUUCUUUCCUUCUUUUUUCUCCAUGAUUGCCUAAGAAAAAGAUUAAUCACCUAUCCCACAUUGCCUGGAACACCGUCGGUCUGUGCUUCAGCCAAUGCAGCAUCUCCCUGUCUAGAUGCGUGUUGUUUACAAUGGCAUCGAACAUCGGGCUCCCCAAUGCUUUUGGGCUGCUCUCGAACGACCAUAUCUGGUCCCUCGGCCAUGGCUUCUGCGCGUACUUGUCCUGUAAAACAGAUGACGAUCAAAGAUGCAUCAGAUCAUUAAAUUUUGGAUGGCGUUAGGGAUGAAGGUAACAGAAUGUGUAAAGACUCACCAUCCGUUCGAGCAUUAAUUUGAGAUUCUUGGGGCCGUAGACGCGUUGCUGUUUUAGCUUCUGGGGCUUGGUGUAGAAGGAAGCUACGUCGGGUAAAGACAAGCAGCCCUUGGUUGCUUUAGCAAGGGUAGCAUCGGGGUCCGUAUUCGUCUGCACAUGCCAAAAAAUCAGCUGUCCUAUACAGUAGUUCUCGCCAUAGAUCUUACGAUACUCGUGGAUGCCAUCGCCCAACUUUGCAGCGCACUCGGGACCCAAAUCGAGCGGACUAAUGUGCACUGGAGGAGACGUAAAUGCAGCGUAUUCCUGAGGAGAGACGAAGGAAAUAGAUUAAAAACAAUAAUGAUACCAGAAAAUAGCUGAUUAUUAACUUUCAGAAUAGAAGAAGCUUACCCGAAUUCUGAAAAAGCACUUCGUAUAAGCAUAAAUGUGAAUCAAGUCGGCCGCAGCAUCAUGCCGACACCUAUAUGUACAUGGAAGAUUCCGAACCUCGUCUCUCAACCUAGACAAGGAAGAGCAAAGGUAAGUAUUAUCAGUUCCAAAAAUAUCAACAAAAAACCAGAGAUGAGGUAAGACAAGAAGUACAGAGAAAGGUAAAUUAUGCCCACCAUAACAAUGCUUUAUGAAGCUCUUUCCGCACAUUAGUGGAAUCUGAUGGAUCAUGCGCUCGAAUCUUGAUCUUGAGAUCAUUUAGCUUGUCGGAAUCCAUAUGGGGAGCCAUGCACUGAAGUAGUUCCUCGACAAGAGAUCCCUCUCCUUUCCAUAAGACAGAAACAGUUUCUUCUGGAGAAAGCCUCUCCAGUGGUGGUGGAGCUUUCUUUGGGUCACCAAAUAUGCAUCUCAUCACAUACCUCACCUUGUCGAGAGUGACCGCCAAAUUCUGAAGCCUCUGGUUGUAAACACCUUCGGCCUAAAUUCAGAAGAUAAAACAAGUGGAUGAGCAUUCAAUAAUUAAUAUAUAUAAGCAUAAGCACAAGGUCUUUAGCAAACAGUUCACGGAAUUACCUGAACUUCAGCAUCACUUCUCUCAACAUCCAGGCAGAUUUCUGAAGAGUAUUUCUUUUUCUCUUCCAGGUUAUGCUUUAGGAUUUCUUCAGGCAGCUUUGUCCUCUCAAGGUUUAUGAAUCUCACCUUUACAAAAGAACAAGAAGUGUCAAGAAAAAAGAACAACAUUUUACCACCAGCAAAGAAUAAAAAGUUAUCAAGGUCAGGAGACACACCAGACGAGCUGAAUAUGCAACCACCCAGUCCGGCAAUCCACCAAGCAGACAGCUACCCAAACCAGCCCUCCCCAAGUCGAGAUAAUCUUCCUCGGAUACAAAAUUCGCUUCACAAGCUUCCAGCAUCAAUUGAUGUCUAUCCAAUACUCCAUGCCACUGUUUCAGCACCUGCAGAAAUAAUACAGAGUCCGUUUAAAGGGGGAGAAAACGACAUAAGGGGUGCAGAAGGUACAGAGCUUUGCGGCAAUUGGAAAGAACACCAAUAAGAAAUGCCCUGCAAAUUCAUACCUUCUGGAAAGCCCCUUCGCCUGUCAGAUUUAAGUAGCUCCCACGGCAAACUUGACUUCCGCACAGACAAACUGAUGCUUCAUACUCUUCUUUACUCUGCCGUGCAAGAGAAUCAGUAAUGUUAUAACAUAUAUUAACUGCAUGUUAAGAGUAACAGAACUGUAAAACACAAUGCACGCACCUCUGUCACGGAAUUGUAAUCAAAUGUGAUUUCCUCGCCAUUUUGGAUUUCACGAACCGUGUAAAUACCAAUCUGAUACUUGCCAUCUACAGCUGUGACUCUGCAUUCAGGAAAUUACACAGGUAAAUACUAAAUACCACAGUCAUGGAACAAUGACAAGAAGGCAUAAAACAACCAGUCACAAGUACUAUUUCGUUUGCAAGCUCAAGUUUCGUGAAAGCUACAGCAGAAAUACAAGCGCAAUAACAAUGUACUCACUUUGCUUCACAGUUGGGUCUGCAAGAAUGACAUAUCCUGCUAGCAUAGUUCGCUUUAUGCAUGGCAUCGACAACCACCAGAUCAUACCCAUCUGCAUCACCCUGUAAAGUAACGAAAGAACAGUCCCAAUGUUCAAUAAUACAACAAGAAUAUCAUCCGACAAUGCAAUAGAAAAUAAGAAGUUUCACCAAGCUACCUUUGGCCUCUCAAGAUAGAUGUUGUAAAAUUCUGGAGCCGGAUCUUUACUGUCUUUCUGCAAAUUCCGAAUGCCAUCUUGCUUUUCGAACCAUUUCCAAGCAGGAUAAACCUGUUUCAUUGCAUAUGUUAAUACUUUGAAAAUUCAAAGAUGACUGAAUUCAACACUACUUAAAACAAAGGCAACACAGCUGCACGUGUUGUUUUUUCACAGAAUAUGAAAUUAACAAUCAUGGUAAAAUUCUACAAUAGGAAUACCUCUCCCAAGAAUUCAACAACAAAGUCCUCUUCUCCGAAGCCACCAUCUUUGUUGCAAACGACACCCAGCCCCUGGAAAACAUAAUUAUUAAUGGGGAUGGUUAUAGAGAAAAAGAUCAAGCAAGGCGCUUGUAUUUUCAAAAUCAUAAAAUAUACCAUACCUUUCUGUAAGCAACAUAUUUGUCGUCAGGACGACUAUCUAUGGCUUUCAUGAUGCACCGACACAUUCUCAUUGUUCGCAUGUUGCAGUCUUCGUCAGCAGACUUCAUAAUCUCUUCAAUAACAGGCUUCAAAGGGUAAAUCAUGGGAGUGUUCCCCGCACCAGUGAAGUGCCUGACUUGCUUAUUAAGGGUUUGGAGGAGCACAUCUUCAAUAAACACAUGCUUAUCCUGCAAAGACCGGUCCAUUUCCUCCGGCAUGGAAUCAAGAAUAAGAUUAUGAGUAUAGGGAUCUAUCCCAUAAACUUCUUGUUCGAUAACUUCAUCUCCAAGCUGUUUUCUAGGCUUAAAGUCCUUCACUUCAGGAAGCUCCAUGUCCAACUCCUCCUUACCACUUUUCUGAGCUUCAAGCUUCUCGGCAUAGUCAUCCGGCAAGGAGACACACAUCUUUCGUUGUACAUCAUCCUCAUCUGCGACGGUUACAUACCUAUCUAUGACUUCAUAUUUCCUGGUCACGGGAGGAACCAAACUAACUUUUGUCAUGCGAGCACCCCACUCGCGCUCAUCAACAACAGCAUAGGAACUCUCCUCUUCCAUGAAAAAUCCAGCUCUGAAAUUCCCAUCUCGGCCUCCUGACUGAAACUCCAGGUCACUUUCAGCAUCUGACGAAGUACUCUCACUGUAAUACUUGCCGUCACCAGAUGACUUAUCAAAUUCGUCAGAAGUUUCACUUCCAGAAUCCAUAGAUUUUCUGUUCAAUUUGGACAGCCGUCUCUUGAUUUCUCUAUCAGAUACAUAUUCCCCAUGGUUGAGACUGCCAUUUGCUGAAGGAGUCCCAUUACUCCUGCCAGCAUACUUUCUUUCAGUGAGCAACUGCUUCUUUUUGUUGUAUCCCGAGCUCAAACCAGCAGACAAGUCAUGUUUCCAUGAUUUCAUGAGCUCUUCUCGCUCAUAAGAGAACUUAGAAUUAUCCUCUAAACGUGAGGCAAGUUGAAGAAACAGAGUUAUGAUGCGAUUCAUAUUCCCAGCACCACGAUUCUUUGCCCUGCAUACACAAACAAAUUAAUUUAUUAUUAGUUUAAAUCUCACCGCAGAGUAUACAUGUCAAACGAGAAGCACAUGCAAGAGAGCAAUCUCACUGUCAUGUUAAUUACAGUGAGUGGGCAAUAUAAUUAAAGCAAUGUCAAAUGAAAGUCCAGGUGAGUAAAACACAGUUAAGGCCCUUUAGCAAUAGCAAAAGCAAGAGGGCCUUUGUUGUGAAUGAUUAGAGACCACAGUGCCAAAAGCCACAGUACUCAUAUGAACUUAUAUCAAAGCACCCAUUAAGGAUUAAUACUUACUUUAUAGCAUCCCUGCACAUUCGACUAAUAUCCUCCUUAACAGACUUCAAUCCACGUCCAAUGUAGUAACCAUUAUCCAUGCGAUCUUCAAUUUCUGCUACCUAAAUUUCAAAUGAGAGGGAGAAAAGCACAUAAGUAACAUGCAGAAAUAACUAGAGACGGAUAUCUCACCCAGGGAACUAUGGAGGUACCUUGGGAAUAAAGAAGUCAAAGGUAUUCUCCUUCAUGAUGUCCUUCAAGCCCACAGCAAUAAAGCCUUCCAUUCUCCUAUAGGAACUUUCAGAUUUCUUGAUGCCCCAUCUCCUCAUACGUGCAUCCCUAGAUGCUAUGGAUGAUGACCUUCUAGCAUCGAACACUUUGGAGCGUUUAUACAAACUACGAUGGAACAAUUGUGUGGCAGAAUCUCUCUUAGUCACACUGGCAAAAUAUUCCUUCAGUUCUCCAAAAUCAUCACCAUCACCACCCAAGCCCCUAGUUUUAUAUGAUGAUGAAGGUUUCUCACUGAUCGGUUUAUAACUCUUCACUUUAGAGUACAGCUCCUCAGAGGUUUUCAAGCCAGAUGGAUUUGGACUCUUGAUCCAGUUCACAUGUGGAAUCUGAAGAGCCAAGUCAGUGAGUUGACUACAGCCUCUAAUAUCUAUGUACAAUAAACAUGGAAAGCCUCGAAUAAUUUCCUCAAGAGCGCCACAAGUAAUAUUUGUGCAGCCAGCCAGCACCAACGAAUUCACCUUUUCCUUCUGGUAACCACUCUGAAACACACAAGAAAACACAUCUUCAGUAAGAACUGAAGGUAAGCAUCAAUGUCAACCAAAAAAACAGAGCUUACCACAAUAUUGCAGAUCACCGUAUCAGUGCAGUUGGGACCAAGAGACGACAGAUCGAUCUGUUUUGAUAUAUCCUUGUAGAAACUGACAGCAGAUCUCCAAUGCUUACAAGUUAAGGAAGCAAUGGCAAGAGACUUUAUGUCAGAUCUUAACAAGUGAAACAUUCGAGCCAAAAUAUGCCCAUCCAGUAAACCCCAGCCUCCUAUAUUUGUCUCGGAAGAAGCACUUCUUCCAGCAUCCAAAUUGAAAGUUGCAUCACCACACAUCUCCUCAAAAGUGCUUUGAUCCUUUGGAAUGGGCGUGUCUUCCUGACCAUAAUUAUCCUCAUCACUUCCAUCUAUCUGCAUCCUUGCUCUUUUCCCAGCACGUAUAUCUAUAUCUGCAGUAUUAAACAAAGUUAGACUUCACCAUUUCAAUAUUAUGAAAUAAUUCUUGUAACAGGAAAAGGUGAAUUCAUCAUCCAAUUCCCUGCAUCAAUUAUAACUUCAUCAUUGUAUAACUAACUUAAACUAAAGUAAUUAUAAACAUUUAUCAAGUGAAAGCAAAAUAUCACAGAAAAUACACAAGCAAAAUCCAUACCAGUGUUCCAGUUGAUAUGUUUGUCAAUCUCUUUCUUAGGCUGCUUUGCACUGAUCCAUGGAUCUAAAACCUCAUUUAUAGCAGCAGCAAACUCCCUACUCUUGAAUGAUUUCAUAACUAACUCGUGCAACUUCCCACGGGUAUAGCCAAUGAACUGCGGGUGUAAGCCAUGAAACAGACUGUGAUGUUUGCUGCUUUCAGAAUUUCCAUCACUAGGGAUAACAUCCAUUGUACUAUCAGCUUGUCCACUAUGCUUCACCUUUCCUCUGGCAUUAGCUUCAGAAAUCCUGCCAGCAGAGCUAACUGGAACCCACACCCUAUCAUACUUUCUGUACACACUGCUGUGCCUCGGUAUGAUCCCUUGAUCAGCCAAGGACUGAAGCUUUGAAAUUGAGAAUGGUCCUCGCUCAUGGCCAGCACCAUCAAGAUAGUACCAGUCCCCGAAUUUCAAUUGUAGAUCAUCCACUGUGCAAAUCUUGUCUUUUGGUCUGCAAAUGGAUGCAGUGGAUUUCCAAGAGCAGCGGGUAUCUUGUUCACUAACAGCUUUGGAUUGAGAAUCUGUGUCAGAAGUUGAAAUCCUUGACUCACUAGUUGUAGUUUGCAUCCUAGAAGACCUUGAAGGAUAUCUGUCUUUAGCUCUAGGUUUUUUGUGUUCAGAAACAAUUGAACCGUGAUCAUUAACUACACAUGCAUUAAUCCUGACCACAGGUAGGGCAGUUCCCGGCACUCCCCUUACAACAUGAGGCUUAGCAGGAUUUGGCCUGUUGGCACCAGCACUUUCAUUCUUCUCGUCUUGACUGGAAAACGCCCAAGGAGGAAGUUCAAGCUUUCUGCUAUGAGAUGGAUAAUACAGAUCAUCUUUUCUUUGCCAUCUAGGGUCCUCUAAAUCAGACCUUGGCAUCAGGCACAGUGGAAAGCCAUCAUUAAGAACCAUUUUUCUUCUAGAAAAUCUAUCAACACCCUCAUCAUUCCUAAUCCAGUCACCCCCCUUGCAAGACCAGCGUCCAGAAAACCAGUCAGCUGGGUCAGCAGAAGAUUCAAAACCGUUAUCUUUCUCGUGUAUAAAACUUGAUCUCAUUUCAACAGCUUCGAUCAGCUUCGUUUCUAAAGCUUGUGAUGUGUCAUCUCUUUGAUUAUGAGGAGAAGUUUCAUGCUGACUAUAACCUGCAAUAAAGCCAGAAGAAUGAAUGAUUUAAAAAAGAGACAAAAUCCAUGUAAUAUAUAAAAGAAAUCGAUUUAAUCAAGAAAGACAGGCAACGCCUAAAGAUUAUAGCAGAACAAACGCAUACCUUUUUCCCAUUCAUCCCACUGUACUUGCGCGAAUGUUGUAUGCAAAAUCUCUGAAGUUCAGAAAGAGAACAAAAGUGAAUGGAUAUAUUGAGUAAGAUAUUCUCUGAAAUGUGUAGAAGAAAUGCAAAGAAGAAAGAUAGACAAAAUACCUCCAAUAGUCUCAAGUUCCCUGCCUGGAAUAAGGGAAACACCGUCCACCAAGUUCUUCACCCUCUCAUCAAUAUGGAGAUCAGAUGAAUAGACAUCGGGGCAUUUCUGCGGCUCUGCUAAAUUUAUGGGCACUUCUUCACCAUCACGAGAAACAGAAAGUCCAUCCCCACCAUCCGUCAAAACAUUACCAGGUGCUUCAGGAGGACUAACAAGCUGAGUAAUUGACUCAGACACAAUGGAAGUGGAAUUGGCUGUUUACAUAUAUCCAUAUCCUCCUCCAUAGACUGCAGUUCUUCUAAGAGUGGUGCUUCAGCCAAAGGAGAGUCUUUGCUAUCUAUUUUAGGACACUCGAGCUUCUCUGCUUUUCGGGUCUCACAAUCUGCAUUUUUCAGACCUAGUCCAUCAGAUAUUAGUGUACUGCUUCUUUCUUCAUCCUCUUUGGCUGUGAACUGUGUAUCUCUUACAUUUGCAUCCUUUUGGCAGAGUCUAUCCUCCUGCCCUUUGUCCCCAGAAUUUCGUUUGUCACUUCCUCCGCUUUUCCGACUCGUUUCCUUGGGGGUAUUAAGCUUACCUCGACUGAGCGGAGACUUCUCCAGGCGGUUUGGUGUUCGAUCCCUGCGCUCAUGGUUGCGAGAUCUAUCUUGAGGGGACCGCUCUGUAUAACUAGGGGUCCUGCUUCGGCGUUCAUGAUGGCGGCUGCGCUCAUGUGGGGAUUUCUCGCAUAAAUUCUGAGAUCUCUCACGUACAAAAGGGGACUUCUCACGAGCAUGAGGAGAUCUUUCUCGUCCAUAAGAAGAUCUAUCACGUCCAUGGGAAACCCUUUCUCUGCCAUGCGGAGAUUGGUCACGGUGCGCUGGACUCCGUUCUCUGUUGUGCUCAUAACGGCUUCUAUCUCGUGGGGACCUCUCAGGCUGCUGUCUUUCAAAUACUACUUUGGAUGACAGAGUAGGCUCAUGAUACCUUGCGGAAUACUUGUUUGCUGAUGAAGGAGUUCUAACAUAUCUCUCCGCAGAGUGACGAGAAUGGUGAUCAGAAUUAGAAGAACGAGAACUGUCGUCAGAAAGCCUCCUGCUUUUUGAACCAGCGUAAUCCCCAUAAUCUGCAUGAUGCUUCCUGACAUUAUUAUCAGAAUCUGUGCCAUGCCUCUUCAACCUGUUAGCAGAAGUGGGGUGCUCUCUCACGUGACUAUUCUUACCAUUAAUAUACUCGCCACUUUUAUAAGAGCCUUCGUCAUCCACAAUCUUUGAGCUGAUCCUUAUACCUCCCUUCUCUUGACCAUUCUCCCACCUCAAAGAACCUUUGGCAUGCUGCUGAGAAUUCCCGCCUCGACAUCCAUCUUUCCGAACGUAACUUUCUUCAGCUGGAUACCUUACAGAAGGCGGCGUCCGAUCUUUAGAAGAAGAAUCAUAUUUCCCGCGGGACUUGCUAUAACUGUAUUCUUCCUUACCCUGAUGCCACCUGUNNNNNNNNNNNNNNNNNNNNNNNNNNNNNNNNNNNNNNNNNNNNNNNNNNNNNNNNNNNNNNNNNNNNNNNNNNNNNNNNNNNNNNNNNNNNNNNNNNNNNNNNNNNNNNNNNNNNNNNNNNNNNNNNNNNNNNNNNNNNNNNNNNNNNNNNNNNNNNNNNNNNNNNNNNNNNNNNNNNNNNNNNNNNNNNNNNNNNNNNNNNNNNNNNNNNNNNNNNNNNNNNNNNNNNNNNNNNNNNNNNNNNNNNNNNNNNNNNNNNNNNNNNNNNNNNNNNNNNNNNNNNNNNNNNNNNNNNNNNNNNNNNNNNNNNNNNNNNNNNNNNNNNNNNNNNNNNNNNNNNNNNNNNNNNNNNNNNNNNNNNNNNNNNNNNNNNNNNNNNNNNNNNCUACGGUGUGUUACGUGUUGUUUUCCUAUUACUGACAGUUGUCAACGUUGUGGCGGUAGCACUAGCAGCGACCACGUCCUUCUUCUCAUCAAUGGUACCCGUUGGCGUCAUUGUACCAUUGCUGACUAGUUUGCUCUCGUUGGUGACUAAAGUAGCAGUAGAAUCAGAAAUAGAGGUAGAAGUAGAAGUAGAACUCGUUGUAGUAGUAGUAGUAUUGUUAACUCCAGUGCAAUGCGUGUUCUCCUGAACUGGAAACCUCUCCAUGAUGAUGCUGUUACUAUGCUGCUGAAAUGGCAUGCAUGCGACACCUCCAUCGCCCAUGGAAAUCCCACCUGAAGAACAAUUCGCUCCAAACCCUAAUUCCCCCUUCUCCCGGGGCUGUCGAUGCUCAUGCUGCACAAAUUCCCUUCCCAAAUCCCGUUCCGUCCCUUCCUUCCUUCUCCACCAGAAAUUCAACGCUCCUUCCCCUCUCGACAAAUCUGCAAACACACACGAAGAAGAAGAAGAAUAAGCCAAACAAAUCAAUACAAAACACAAUGUUAAACUGUCUCGGAAGAGCGGAAACUGGAUAACAACAACCCAAUUAAAAACCAAGCUGUAAUCAGUCCAGCUCUCUACCGCAAACCUCUAGGGUUUCCGAAUGAGAGAAAAAGAAAGUACACAACAGAGAGGGAUGGAGAAAUUAAAUUACCAGGAGGAAUCCUCGAGAGCUUGGAAAAGCACGGCAGAUCGGAAACCCUCGUUGAGAGUUCUUAUUGAAUUCGCAGAGAGAAAGAGAGAGACUUGUGUUUGAAACACAGAUCGAACUCUGAGAAAACUGAAAGCCCAAAUUUUUUUCCCUCUUCUUCCCUUUGUUAAAUAGUUUGUUUGUUGAGCUUAUUAAUACCUCUUGUUCUUCUUCUUCAUCUUCGUUGUGGCUCUCUGAAACGAAAACCUUCGCUUUGUAAUUUUCUUUUUUACUUUUCUUUUUUGAGUUUAAUCCUAUCCUUUUUUCCGUGGGGGAUUUUCACUUUUCCUUUUAAUUAAAUUUUGAUGGGUCCAGGGAAGAGGUGGAAUGACUAGAUUACCCCCCCCCUGCCUUUUGGUUUCGGCUGGGUUCUCCCGCCCGCGCCCUAAACUUGAGCGGGAGGAACGGAGGAUUCCUAGUUUGGCGCAUUAUUACAAACAUCAUUCGAUCUAUCGAUUUAUAUUUUCGUUUUAUGACAUAUUCAUUAAUAUAACGUCUCCUAAUAUUUAUAGUCAUUUAAAUAUAUAUUUAUAUGUGUUAUAGAUCAUCUCGUUAAAGACAAAUUUAUUAUCAUAGUUAAUCUUAUUGUGAUUUACUGAUCGCAUAAAUUAAGUAGUCUGCUUGUUAAGUAUGUGCAAGGAUGUCUAGUGUGAGUCUUGUUAUGAUUGUGCAUUCGAUCAAGUUUAUAAACAUUUCAUCUCAAAAUAUGAUCACUCGUAUUGAUUGAUCGAUCUAUAUUAUCGUCUUAUGAUAUACUCAUUAAUGAUACGUUUGUCAGUAUUUAUAAUGACUUAAAAACAUAUUUACACGUGUGUUAUGUACAAAUUGUUUGCCCUAUCUCAUUAAUAAUAAAUUAUUAUCAUAAAACAUCUCAUUGAGAUCUACCGACAACAUAAAAAUAAUCGGCUUGUUAUAUAUAUGUAAGGAUGUCAAGUGUAACAGUUGCUAUGAUUAUACAUUUGAUAUGAAAACUGGCAAAGUUAGAUAAAACACAAGUUUAUGAUACAUCUUAUCUCAAAAUAUGAUCACUCAUAUUGAUUCAUCGAUUUAUACUGUCGUCUUGUAAUAUGCUUGUUAAUAUCAUGUCUGCCAAUAUUUAUAGUGACUUAAAUGCAUAUUCACACGCAUGACAUAUACAAAUUGUUUAUACUAUCUUAUUAAAGAUAAAAUUUAGACCAUCUUAAUGAGAAAGAGUAGGCAGCUUGUAAAGUAUGUGUAAUGAUGUCAAGUGUAACUGUUGUUAUGAUAUCUAUUUGAUAUGAUCACUUGCCAAAUUGAGCAAGACAAAAGUUAUAAACAACCCAUCUCAAAAUACGAUCACUCAUAUUGAUUUAUUGAGUUAUGUUGUCAUCUUGCAAUAUAUUCAUUAAAACCACGUCAAUGAAUAUUUACAUCGACUUAAAUGCAUAUUCACACAUAUAUGUAUGUCAUGUCAUAUACAGUCGUUUACCUAAUCAUUAAAGAUGAAUUUAUUAUCAUAGAUCCUCUCACGAUAAUUUACUGACAGCAUAUAUAGAGUAAUUGGCUUGCUAAGCAUGUGUAAUGAUGGCAAGUGUUACGGUCGUUCUGAUCUAAAAACUGGUCAAAUAGGGUAAAAGACAAAUUUAGUGGAUAUUUUGAAGAUACGAGUAAAUAUGUAAACCGUGAAAUUAUACGAUGGGUCAAAUGAAUGAGAAACAAAUAUCAACCAUUCGAGUUUGAAUGUGGGUCGGGCUAAUUUGGAAAAAACAAGCCCAAGUCUCAACGUACCAUUACGUGAUGGGCCCAACUUUGGAUCACCGGCCAACUCCAAUGACAAUCCAAACCGAACGUUAGAAGAAUUCACCACGAUUUCCGAUACGCCGUCGUUUUAUAUCAACAAAAAACUUCUCAAAAUUACUCUCUCUCUCUUGCCGUUCUCCCUCUUUAACCAAAGCAUAACGCAAUCAGCUUCGGUCGAGAGAGAAGAGGAGAGGGAGAAGAAGCAAUUCGUGUCUGCCGAGUAGGAGAAUCACAGAACCGAUUGCAGCAUCGGGCUACCGGAUUCCGGUCACCGGAAGGAGGCUUCACAAUGUCGAAGAAGAAAGUUUCCUCGACUAUGUCCUUGAAGGACUUCCACGGCGGCUCGAUUCCUUCUGAUCUUCCUUUGCCCUCUGCUCCCGGAGUGUAAGUUCUCCCCCACCAACUCUCCUCUCUCUCUUUUCUGUCUACAUCGUAUUUUCAAAUUUCAGCUCUGAAUGCUUUCCACGAUUCGAUAGCUUGGAUCAGAUUAAGGGAAAAUAGUGUUAGGUUUCAGCUGUUCGAGGCGUUCGUGUUGCAUCGGACUAGCAAUCGCGUUGUAUUGAUAAUUGGUGUGAAAUUCAUUACUGUAUUUGCAAUACUUUUGGUCAUAGAAAUCUGUAACUAGAUCUUUAGGGCAAACGGGAUACGGUGUACUUUGACUCUUUAUGCCUUGGUAGAUUUGAAUUUUCAAAUUAUAUUUGAUCUUUCUGCUUUGUGCUUAUCUGUGUUGUCGUGGUGGUCGAUAGCUUUAGAGUUUAAUCUCUUCAUUUUCUCAGUGUUUGUGGAAUUAGUGUAUUAAAAAUGUGGCAAGCUGUAAUUGCCUUGCUGAUUGGAUUGACUAUGUGCAGCGUGGCAAGACCUGGUUCAGAACGUAAUCCGACGACCAACUGGGGAAACAAUUUGAUGAGGACGGAUCUCCGACCGAGGCCAAAGUCGUCUGGUGCAUCUCGUGGAUUCGACGAGAAAGCGUUGCUUCUCUCUCACCCUUCUCCUAUAGGCAGAAACUUUGACGAGGAUGAGCGUAAGCCAUUAGACGGAUCAUCUGGUCCACGGCGAACCAUUAGUGACGAGAGUAUUCAGAGGUCUGCCGUAGUUCAGCUGGAAGUGAAGCUGGACUAUGCUUCUUCCGUGAGGCUACAGGAUCGACCCUUGUCAAGUCCAGGGAUCCAGUCUUCUAGUUUGCGAACUGGUCCGACUGCAUUAAGAACCGGGGCUGGAUCUUCUGGUAAUGGUCAGGGUGUCAAUAAUUUAAAGGCUUCAAGUGUUUACAGUAGCCAGGAAGUGAACAACAAUCCGCCGAAUGCCUGGGGUCUGAAAAAAGAUGUCAAUGUCAAUGCCAAUGCCAAUGAGUUCGGUGCUCCAUCACCGUUGGGGUCAAGUCCUGUCUCCAAAAUAGCUCAAGCAAGUGCCAUUGACAAGGUAUCUUCUGGAAUGUGGCAGUCAAAGAAUCCUGCCAACCUCUUACCUCCUCUGCUGUAUUCAAAGGAUAACGUCGUAACACAUAAUGGGGGUCUGAGUGGUCAGAUAGAGAGGGGCGGUUAUGAUGCUUCCCAUGCAUUUGUAACUGAAACUGUUCCGCUGAACGAAGAAAGAAGCCGAGGAUUGGGAAGGGAAUUUCCCACCUAUGGAAUAGAUCAUCAGUCUCAAAGGCCUAGAGAAGAUGUGCUUCAGCUGCCACAAACUAUACUUCCUGGUGUCUCGGAACAGCUUAAACCAAAGCUAUACCAAAGAUCGUUAUCUUUGGAAACAUCAAACAUGGAAUACAGACAGGUGGGACUUAAAAGUAAUUGCUGAUGAGUUUUGGAAGCUCUCUAGUACUUCCUUUUUUAACUGUUGAUUCUGGUUUGAUUAGGGAUACCAGCAUGUUACACAGACGGGUCAGGUUGAAUCUGUUUAUGGAUUGCAUGGAGAAGCAAUUUCCCCAAAACAAGGGCCAGCUGGUGGUAUGGCUAACAACAAACCAGCUGAUAAGCCAGUUGAGCGUCCGAAACUGAACCUGAAGCCCCGAUCCCAACCUCUUGAGAAAUCUGACGGAAAUGCAGUGAAAGAAAGGUAUAUGUUCAUUGCUCCAGUUGCUCAUCUAAUUCUAGUCCAUAUCUGGAAAUGAUGACUUUGCUGUAACCUCCUUCUUUCUAAUGAGGAAUAUACACUAUCCAUAAAUUGCUUUUAGUACCACCAUUGUUCCUUUCUGCUUGCUGAACUUCAUCAGUUAAUGGGUAGCUUGUGUUCUUAUGUUAAUCCUUGUUCCGAUACAGGUCAUUGUUUGGUGGUGCUCGGCCGCGGGAGCUGGUAUAUAUUCAUCCAACUCAUUCGCCAUUAAGUUUGUACUUCAGAAUUUUUUCGGGUUACAUCGUCUGGAACACGUUACUGUUCAUCAUGCAUUUCAAAUUCUUAUUCCUUGUCAAGUUAUCAGUUUUCUAAUUUGUUUGUCAGUCUUUUGCCAUUAUUGAACUGAACUUCACUCCAGCAUCAUACUUUUGUAUCAUAUCCUGCUCAGGUUCUCAAGGAAAGAGGCAUAGAUGAAAUCGAAAUCAACAAGCUCGAACUCAGCCCUUCCCCUAAGAGGUACUUGAAAUCCCUAGCAUCCACUCAUUUCUAUCUACCCCUUUCUAUCGGUUAUUCGUACUUUCAUUCCAUCUCCAACGAUCUCAAACUUUUGUUGAUUGAAAGGCCCAACUCCUCAAAGAACGAAGCAAGGCCAGCAGAUCAGGCUCCAGCCAAGACCGAUAGUCGCACUCCAACCAACAGGAGGACCGGAGGAAGGGAUUUUGAAAGGAAGGAUCAGAAGCCGUCCUCUGAAACAGAGAAACCGGAUCAAGAGAGGAAGAGGUGGCGUAACGACAAGUGGAAGAGCAACAAAGAGAUCGUCAAAGAACAGCGUCCCGAGCCUGAAACCUGGCGCAAACCUGUCGAAGAAGAGCCAAAGCCCGCACCAGGAGGCGGCAAACUGGUCUCUGCCCUCGAGCUCGCUCAAGCAUUCUCGAAGUCGGUCUCGGUUCCGAAAGCCAACGAUCUGCGGUCGCCCCACCAAGGACCGGUCAGGCACAGCGACAACAACGGUAGUCAGGUACCGUUUUCUCGAUUGACGGAGACUCGCGAUCUCCACCACCCGGCACCAGCGACUGCAAGGCACCGGCUGAAUGGUUACUAACUUUUUAGAUGCUUAGUCCUCUGGAGAUCGACUCAUGGUUGAUGAAUCGUUCAGAAGCGACGAAAGGUAAAAAGAUGAUCGGGGAAUCGAAAUGCAGGUGGUGGUGAAGGUCCGGGGGGAAAUAGUGUUGGGUUCUUUCAACUCUAUUUGAUUGUUGAGGGACGAUUUGAAGCACCAAAACAAUAUUAGUUAUCAGCGUAUUUGAACUGUGGGCUAUCAGCUAUUGUAGUUCUUUCAGUCUGUUUACUCAUCUCCUAAUUAAACGCCCUGAUCAGUUUUUUUGGUGUAAUUAGGGUUGUUUAUCGAUAGUAACAAUCGAUCUCUUCUCCACGAGUACUCGCACAAAGCUGUAAACAGUUAGCCACAAAGUGUACUACAUUCCCAUCAACAAAGAUCGAACUCGGAUGGGUUAUCGUCUGAUCAGUUGACUAUUAGUAUUAGUCCAUUUCAUCUUUACUCGGAUCCGAUUCCGUACAUUCUUAACCCAACCCGAUACAUGAGCCACUAAUGAAAGGCCCAAUGGUUAAGUUCUUUAUCAGUGGACCAGAAGGCCUGACGCAGUGGAGUCUUCAUGGUCAAGAGAUAGAAGUCCACAGCCCGUGGCCACAUUUGGACCGGUUCAGAUGAAACGGUUCGAAGUCAGGUAAUCGAUUAGCCUGCGCAACGUAAACAGUCGAAUUAACGCAUAACACACGCACUAAAAGGAUAAACCCUUAUACUUCUCUAUCUCUUCCUUUCGAUUUUUCUCAAUUUGCCCUUCCUUCCUUGAUCCACUCCUUUCCAUUUGAUUUAUGAGGCGAUUACGAAUAUUUUUGAAACCACAAAUUCCCGAUACCGAUCAAAUAAAGAGGUCCAAAUCAGACUAAAACGGACCCUAGUAGCUUUAAGGACUAGUUUGUUAAGGACCGUUUGAUGAAACGGUCCUGUAAUUAUAGUCUUUAAAACUCUAUUCUUCCAAAGAGUCAAGCUCGACUCGUGAGUGUACAUUGAGCUAUGUGAUCACGAGCCAAUUUGUUUAAUUUGUAGCUCGUGGGCAGGUUUGAUUAAAACAGACUCUAAUAGCUUUAGGGAGAAGCUGAUUAUUAGGGGCCGUUUUAAUGAAACAUUCCCGUAAUUACAGUCCCUAAAUUAAACUCUAUUCUCUCAAAGAGUCAAGCUGGACUCGUAAGUGCACAUUGAGCUAUGCGAUCACGAAUCAGUUUGUUUAAUUUAUAGCCAGUGAGCAGGUUUGAUUAAGACAGCUCGCGCGCCAACUCGCGAUAAGGUACUCAACUUACUAGUAGCUCAUGAGCUCGCUCGAUUUUGAAUUUUACUGAUUUCGAAAGUUUAUCCACUAUCUAGGUGCUUUUCGAAAAGGUUUAUAGAGAUGACUUCUCCGUAACAAAAAAAAAUAUAAUUACCGUAGCAUAAAAAACAGUUCACCUUUUUACCUUUGGCCAAUUUUGUUUGUCUUUUACAAUGAAGUUAAAAUAAAAUUGACGGAGACAUGACAUGGAUCGUACAAGUGAAGCUCAUGAUCCAGUACUACAUUUUUUUUAUAAGUUUGUGUUUGUAUCUUUUUCUAGAGCAUAUAAAUGAUUGUUGUACACUAAAGGUUAUGGGCAUGCAUGUGAUCGUCGGGUUGAAGUAUGAUUGUUUCGUCUAAUUUUGUAUAAAUUUUUCACUUGGAGUAGUGAGCUCAAGAAUGGCGUAUGUUAGAGAAUUGGGAGAGAGAAAACAAAAUGAAAAAAAUUAUAUAUAUUAAGAAAAAUUUAUUUUUAUCAACAAAAUGAACCUUUUUAUUAAUCACAAACCUAACAAAACUAUACAAGAUGAAUACCCAACCUAGGUAGUCCCCAAAUACAAAUAAAAGCGGUUAAAGAAAUGGCCCCCCCACUUCAUACCUAACUAAGUGGAAAUGUUCCUUUUGAAUUUAUGAUAAUCUGUCAUCAAUCGAAUGGAUGAAGCAUUAUUUAAUUUAUAAUAUGAAAUUCAAGCAAUAUAUGUGAGUUUUUUCGGUCUGAGGAAGUUCGCUAAAGUUCUCGCGAACUUAUGCCAUGAUAAAUGGGACUUGAUGGGCUAGCUUUUGGGCUGCGUCGCCUAGUUGUUUCCAUCAUACAUGUAAGAUGUAGUCAAGUCAAAAAUUUGACGUUAUAGUAAAACUUAAAAAAAAUAUUUUUAACUUUAUUUGGCUAUUGUUUGAAGGGUUUAAUAUGAAAUUUUAAUUUUUAGUCAUUCCCAAUAUGUAUAAAAAAUAUUANNNNNNNNNNNNNNNNNNNNNNNNNNNNNNNNNNNNNNNNNNNNNNNNNNNNNNNNNNNNNNNNNNNNNNNNNNNNNNNNNNNNNNNNNNNNNNNNNNNNNNNNNNNNNNNNNNNNNNNNNNNNNNNNNNNNNNNNNNNNNNNNNNNNNNNNNNNNNNNNNNNNNNNNNNNNNNNNNNNNNNNNNNNNNNNNNNNNNNNNNNNNNNNNNNNNNUUUUAUUAUGUGUUAGGUUAAUGGUGAAAAUUUUAAAUUAAAGUAAUAAUGGGUGAUUUGAGGUAUUACAAGUUAUAACCAGUGAUGUGCCUAUUUGACUUUAGAAUAAAAAAAAAUUCAAUUAUACUACUUAUAGAUUACGUUCGAUAUUGUCCCAUUUAAUCAUUGACAUAUUUUGUUCAAUUGUAAUCAUACAAAUGUUGGUAGAAAAUAUUGAGGAAUUUUAUAAGAGAAUUAAGUUGGGUUAUUUUAAAAGUAGUUAAUUAUAUGUUGGGUCCUGUUUGGAAGAGGACUGUCUUGUCUUUAGUGUUGGCUUCAUAUGAUGAAAAAUAAUCGAUUAAUUUAAGAAGAGAAAACCAUGGAAUUUGAAUUGACCACAAGGUAAUGUUUGGAUGGUUGUUUCUUACAAGGAUUCAGGCUAAUUGUUUAGGAAAUUGCUCGUUUUGUUUUGAAAAAAGUAAUCGAAAUUCGCCCAUUUCGGUAUCCUUUCCGGUCUAAGGUUCUCUCGCAAACGGUAUAUGCUACAAUGGUAAGCACUCAUUUAUUAUUAUAGAGUCGGAGACGGAUCCAAGUUUGUAAUUAGUGUCGUCGAGAUCAAACUAAUUGAAUUUGUCACCCACCGAAAAGGGAGAACAACAUGUACCCGUUGUUCUUUUUUAAUUGAAUGCUUAGCAUGUAAUUGAGGGAAUGAUUACCAUUUUGUUGGAAUUAAUGUCUGAGAUCAAAUUAAUUGAAUUUGUCAUUCUGUUCACCGAAAAGUGAGAACAACAUAUUCCAAUUAUUCUUUUUCCCUUUCAAAAAUAGGUUCCAACAUGUAACAAAUUGCAUAUCAAGUAGUUUCAAGGACACUAAUUCCAACAACAAUUCAACUAGUUACUUGAAACCUUUUUUCCAUCAUGAAAAACCGAUAAAUUAACGAUUCCAUCGAAAUUAACUCUUUAUCCAAACAUGACCCAAUAAGAGCUUUGUGUCCUUAUUUGACAUUCAAAAAGUUCUGGCAACAGUAGUAACAGAAACGACAAAAUAGCGGCCGGCUAAGACAUCUUCCUUAACCUAUGCUUCAACUCUCACUAAUUACGUACACAAUUAUCGUUAACCCGAGAGAGAUAAUGAAAGGGGGGAGGACUAAAUUAGGGUUUCGACAAUUUAGCUUAUGAAAUCAAAUUCCAAUCAUCCAAACUUUAUUUGUCCAUGCAUGCAACAAUGGAAUCCGAUGUGGGGUUCGAAACAUGGAACCUCUCUCAUCCUACCUCAUAUCACAUUUGAUUUUCGAAUAGAUAAAACGAGAAUCUUCGUUCAAUCCCAUGUGUCACGUUUUUUUAUACUUCACUUAUUGAUAAGCGAAGAUUUCGCCAAUCCCAAUAACAGUUUGUUCAUACUACAUUACUCGUUCAGUUAUAUGUAUCAAUUAUUCCGGUGACGAAUUGAAAAUGUUCGAAUUUUAUACACUCGUAGGUAUAGUACUACUACUUGGAGGCUGGAGCCGCUAGUGAGUGGUAGCAAGCAUAUGUUCAAUCAAUCUCAUGUACCAAAAUUACCAUAAGUCUUCACUUAUUGACAAACGGACAUCAGGCCAAUCCCAAUUUAUUCAGACUAAAUAACUCGAUCGAUUAUAUGUAAUAGAUAUGUAUCAAUUUUUUCAGUGACGAUCGCACACGGAAUGUUUCGAAUUUUAUAAGCUAGUUGGUAUGGUACUACUGCUUGGAGCCACUAGCUAGUACCAAGCAUAUGUUCAACUAGAAAUAGAAAAUAUAAGAAAAAUGCAUCAUCUUUCUUACACUAAACUCCAAAUCUGCAUCGUUCUGUACUUCUUCUUCUGCAUUAUUGAACCAACACAUUCUUCAGUUCUUCUGUAUAUAUAAUACACAAACAUGGCUCUCCAUCAGAUUCCCUUUCUCUGCAAACCUAAAACCCUAACAUCAUUCACAAACCCUUCGAAAAAGCUUCGAUCUUUCGCCAUGAAAACAGAGUUUAGAGCAAACCCUUCAUCCAUCUCCCUCCAAACCCCUAACAAGAACCUCUUCACUAGCCCUACUCCUCCCCAAUCGGCCGCACUGCCCUCGGCCGGAAUCUCGGGGGCUCUCAACGGGUGCAGCUUGGGCAGCCUCGACGGCGCGUGCAUAGAGAAGCUCCUCCUCCACUGUGCGAGUGCCUUGGAGAGCAAGGAAUGGACCCUUGCUCAGCAAGUCAUGUGGGUCCUCAACAAUGUUGCUUCACUGAGUGAUGACCCUAACCAACGGCUCACUUCAUGGUUUCUACGUGCCCUCAUUUCGCGGGCUGCGAAGGUGUGUCCCACUGCCAUGCAUCACUUUGACGGUGGUGGUGGCGGUGGAGGAGGAAGCUCAUCUGCCUCCUUUGGAAGCAGGAGGAGGCAGAUGACUGUCACUGAGCUGACCGGGUACGUUGACUUGAUCCCUUGGCAUACUUUCGGGUUUUGUGCUUCGAAUGGUGCUGUGUUGAAGGCUAUCCAAGGUUGUUCUAAAGUCCAUGUGCUAGACUUUAGCGUCACCCACUGCGUGCAGUGGCCGACGCUCAUUGAUGCGCUGGCUAAGCGUCCUGAAGGACCGCCGUCGUUGAGGCUCACUGUUCCAUCGGUCAGGCCCCCAGUCCCUCCCUUACUGAAUGUGUCGUGUGAAGAGGUGGGGUUGAGGUUGAGUAAUUUUGCAAAAUUUCGAGAUGUUGAGUUCGAGUUUAAUAUCAUAGAUGGGAGUUUUGACCCUUUGGCAUCUUGUAUCAAGUCUAGUUCAGAUUACUUUCAUCGGUACUGCGAGUCGUUGUUGACCACUUUGACUGAUCCUGGUCAACUGUCCUCCCUGAUUAGGGAGGACGAGGUCAUAGUAGUGAACUGCCAAAACUGGCUUCGUUAUUUGUCCGACGAUGAAUCAUCUGCAAUUGGUUCCUUGAGGGGCGAAUUUCUACGCACGAUCUUCGGACUAAAUCCGGCCAUCGUAGUUGUGGUUGACGAGGAUGCAGACCUAAACAUGUCGAGUCUAACCAUGAGGAUCACAAACUGUUUCAACUAUCUAUGGAUCCCUUUCGACGCGCUCGAGACCUUCCUCCCCAAGGAAAGCUCACAGAGAAACGAGUAUGAAUCCGACAUAGGGCACAAGAUCGAGAACGUGAUCAGCCACGAAGGCGUUCAGAGGAUAGAGAGGCUAGAGUCAGGGGCGAAGCUCUGCCAAAGGAUGAAGAACGCCGGUUUCUCGAGCAUCACGUUCUGCGAGGACACAAUCAAGGAAGUCAAGUCGUUGCUCGAUGAGCACGCCAGUGGCUGGGGGAUGAAGAAAGAGGAGGACAUGCUAGUGCUCACUUGGAAAGGUCAUAACUCCGUCUUCGCCACCACUUGGGUACCGGGCAAUGGAUUAGAUCAGGAAUGAUACGCUGUUUUUCGAUUCGAAUCGACUCGAUUGAGAUAUGAUAUGACUUAUCAUGACAUGUUGACAAGGGCGGAUAGAUAGGCAUAUGUUGUUGUUUGUGGUCUUCUUUAGGGUUUUUGGGGUUUAGUCAUAAGGCUGCAAAAAGGUGGGUAAUGGAGACAAUUGGGUGUAGGCACCUUUGGUCACAUGUAGUUUGGAUUGAUGAAGAAAAUAAUGAAACCCUAGAUAGGGUAUUUGCUAGGCUACAAUGUUGUUGUUGUUGUACAUAUGAUUUUGUCUUUUGUUGGCUGUUGUUUUAUCUUUAUUCUAUUGAGUUUGUGUCACGAAAUGUUUGAAAGUAACGGUUCAUUGAUGUCUAGCUAGAUAUAGAGCUAGCUAGUCCUUUUUUUUAUGGAUUCAUCGUUUUGCUGAGGUUAUGCAUACAUUUUAUGAAUCAUUUAUUUUACAAUUUUCGUUGAACAUGUCACGUUGAAAUAUGUCAUGUCAUCAAAUGAACGACACUCAAUAUCGUAUUUAACGUCAAUCUUUUAUCUAUCUAAUAUAUGUGAAUGUAACCCAUCAAUAUUUAGUUGUUUCACAACCUUCACCAGUCCGAUCAUUGCUAGGCAUAUGUACUUCCAAAAAUUCUUGACCGGUGAACGUUACAUAUAUAGAAACACUCAACCUCAAUCGAACUCCCAACGAAAUGGAUCCGGCCGAGGAAGAGAGAGCCACGCAAAGUUAGACGUUACAAGCUUUUUUAUUUAUGGUCCAACAAGCUAAAAAGACUAUACGAUAAACAUUAUGAACCAAAGUUUUAUUUAUGGACCACAAAUGGUGUAAUUCUUCCUUUAGAAUUGUAUAUCAUGUACGGUACGAAGUGUCACGUUCAUCUGUUGCCACAUAAUUGAAAGGGACAAUCUUUCUGACAAACUGGUAAUUAAUAACUAGUUACAACGUACAUUUCGAGUUUUUGAGUGAUUCGGUUGGGAAGAUCGAGUUCAAAGCACCCCGUAAGGAAGGGUUAUUUCGAAACAAUCUUGUUUGACCCAGAUGAUAUUUAUGUUAGAAGUGUAAGGGUUUUUGUGUAAUUAUCCUUGCUGAUGUCGUUUCAUGCCUUGUAAUUGUGUAAAAGGGGCUGGCCGAUGGGUCAAAAGGGGGAAGAUCCUUUCUGUUUUGUCGAGCCCUGCUUUGGUCUCUGGUUUGUUUUUAUAGGUCCUUGGCAGGCUGACAGGCGAUCCAAUCUCCGACUAUGUGUAAUUCUUCAUUCGUCAGCGUAGGAAGGCUCCUUUAGAGAUCCCACAGCUCGUCUUAUAAACCAAAUCAAUUGAUUCGAUCAUUUUUUUCUAGCGCACUGCUACCUGAGCAUAGUUCUUACCGAACCUAAUUGAUUAGAAAGAGCAGGAGGAGUUGAUGGGCGGAAAAGGCCGGCUCGGCUAGUCAAUAUAGCCAUAAUCAGUAGCUUCAGACCAAAGGAAUACAACAGGGGUGGGAAAAGCUUAAUCUUAUUUAUUUAAUAGAGUGGGGUCCAGCCAAGAAUCAUGGCCCGAAAUUGGGGGUAGGGAAGUCAGACUCUUUAACGGAUUCUAAUAGAAAAUAACUCUAUCGUUACGUUGGGAUAUCAUAUAAAUCUCGUUAUUGUGAAUUUUUUCUCUCGAUUCAGUGGCGUUGACAAUUUUAUAUAUGAUGGGCAAUUGGACAUGAAUCUUUGCCUACUCCAGCAAAUUUCUCGGUAUUAAAAUACUUGUCUCGGGCUUCGCUUGUCGUGACAUAAACAUGGAUAUUAAAGUAUUCGGCCGAAUUAUCAUUAUCAAUUUUUCAUCGGAAACUAUUGUAACUUAAUUUAAGAUAUAUGGACAAUGGCAAAAUUCACCGUGUUAAUAAGAUGGAUUUAAUUUUGGGAGAUGGGCUUCCAAGUGAAAGGGUUCUCUCAUUGAGUGAGCUUGGUUCCUGACUGGGCCUCGCUGGGCAUCACUGGGCCUUAAAUGUAAGUGCAUACGAACAGAAAUAAUGUACUUCAAUUGGGCCUGAGGCUUUUGGUUUGGUGCAUCCGGAAUGGGCCGGCCCUACCUCAAUAGUCACCAUUUUUUUUACAAACAAUAGUCACUAUUUUAAUUUCCUUUCUCAAAUAAUAACAGCUAUUUUAUUUUCAAAUUUUGGUAUAAUGUAAAAUUAAAAUUAUUAUAGUUACAAACAUUUUAUUUAAUAUAAGUGUUUCCAUUAAUGCAUGGACAUUUGAAGAUGAAGCUGAGUUUUUCAACAAAAACAAAGGAAUCAAAUCAUCAAUCAACCCGAGUCACUCGGAAAGAAAGAAGCUCAAACAUAUGACCUCCACUCCUCACAAAAUAUCCAAACUGCCAUUACUCGCCAAUUCAGUAGAGACGUGGAUCCCAAUAUAGUUACACGUGGACAUGGUAAAUAAAGCCACAAAACAAGGGUAGAAAAGGGCAUGUGGACAAAUUAAGGCUUGGAAAAGUACAAUGAACCUGAAGGAGUUGAAAUGAAACGGUGCCGUUGCGUACAAAACAAGUCUCAUCGGUUCACUUCUUCGUGCAAAAAGAUCCAAAUCCAUUGAUAUCUUGUUAAAUAAGUCUCCUAAAUGUUCGAGUUUUCGAUCGAAUGACGAUCGGGAGGCGAUGAAUGAACAUAAUCGACGUAUCUUUAGAGUAGAAUUGUAGUUUGUUUUGAGUGGAAAUGUUUGGAGGACAUAGUCUAUUAACACUCUAUUGUUAUGAAUCUACUAGAUUCAUGUAUCGGUUGUGACUUGAUGUAAAUUAAUUAUUAUUUAAUUCACAUAAUAUCGGUGAUUUGAAGGGUUAAAACCUUAAUUUUUAGUUAUUUCUAAUAUGAAUGUUAAAUAUUAGCCAAUUUGAAAAUUUUCAAUUUUUAUGUGAAAAUAGUCUAUUUCCAAAGGGGUUAACCUAUGAAAAUCCACCAUUUUCACGAAAAAAAUUUCAAAUUUUCAAAUCGGCUAAUAUUUGACAUACAUGUUGGAAAUAGAUAAAAAUCAAGUUUCACUAUGAUAACCCCAGUAAAUAAUGGUCAAAUGAAGUUAAAAGUCAAUUUUACUUGGUGUUAUGUUAGUGUUGAAAAUUUCCAAAUUGACUUACUUUCUGCUUGUUGAGUCGUCGUUACAAGAAUUGCGUUUUAUUCUUCGAUCAUACACAAUGAUGUGAGAACCAAAAUGUUUUACCAUACAUUUCAACACGUACAGACAAUAAUAAAACAUACGUGUCGGUACGUUCAAUCAACUCUGCAACGAAACGCGAACAAGCAACCUAAUACAUCUUAAUUCUAAACCAUUUUAUGUUAACCGCUAACCGUACAACCCUCAUCAAAUUAGUUUAGCACAUAAAACCAUCCUCCAUCCACCUUAGUUACCGCCUCGAGUUCCUGAGAAAAGAAGCAAUAUACAAGCAAACAGAUUAGAGCACAGUAGAUUCUUAACUUACAAAACAAACAAUAAUUUUGAAGAUGGGUUUCCCACCAUUGACUCCUCAUUAGUCCAUUCCAUCAACUAGACUAAAACCACCACUACCUCGUGCCAUCUUUUUCAUCUUCAUCUUUGCACAAACAUCACCUAGCUAUCUAGCUACUACUAGUGGUCCAAGUCCAACCCAAUUGUUUAAUAUUGUCACCAAAAUUUACAGAUAAAGUGGUUCAUCAUUUGUCAGAAAUUUAUUAGUAUAUGAUGUUCAUGCUUCCCCCCCCCCAAACCCCAAUUGUUUAAUAGGAAUGUCAAUACAGUUGGGAUGUUUUUUGGUUCCUUUUUCAUUUUGUGUGUACUAAAUAUAAAAUCCUCUGUACUCUUUGUCUUCACACAACUUGUUUGCGUCUUCUACCUCUCUAUUUCUCUCUCUCACUAUCUUUGUGUCUCUGAUCGAUCUCAGUGGAGAGCCAGAGACGCCUUCUGCUUUGCUUCCCUGCCAAGUUCUUCCCUUUGAUUCCGUUUCUGGGGGGUUUCGAGCAAAAAGAGUAGUGAAAAAGAUCGAAGCUUUGAGGUGGGUUCUUCAUAAGUUUGCAGCUGAGUUCAGGAAGAAGGGGGUUUCUAGCAAAAAGAUCAAAGCUUUCCAGGUGGGUUUCUCUGCAAAUUUGGUGUCUAGGUCAUGGAAGUUCGUUGUGACCUUGAAGUGGAUGUCAAUGGAGAAGAAACUUUCAUGGUGGACAAGGUAGAAACCCUACUUUAGAAUAGUACUCCUAAUUAUGAGCUCUUUGCACUUUAAUGAUUUGGUUAAUCCUUUUUCUUACCACUUUUUCCCCCCUUUGCGACUAAUUUUGAUGGAUAGUACCAUAGGCCAUAGCCAUUAAAUUCCCACACCAAACACUGUACAUUAACAGCUCUUUUUUUCUCUGUUCUGUGCGUGUCGCAAUUCAUUCCCUUUCUUCCCUUUUUCCCCACUCUCAUUUAUUGCUGUGGUCUCAUGGAACUUAAAUGUUAUCAUAUACAAUACACUCCCUUUCGUUUUCUUGUAAUCACUACUUUUGAGAAAGCACUGGAAGAAGAAGAAGAAGAAGAAGAAGGAAGAAAGAUGGAUGCUUUUAUUUUUUCCCAAUUGUGCAUUGAAUUUCUAUUCAUUGCCCUCUUUUGCUGGGGUUGUUUAGUAUCUUUCAGCUGCACACAUCUCUUUACUGUUUUGGCAUCCACCAAUUGAUUGCUCUCUAAUAACGACAUCUCACCUUUCUCGCACCCCCCUAAUCUAAGCCAUUUUGAUCAUGAAAGGCUCUCUCUUUAAGGUGCUGUAAUUUCAUAUGACAGUGAUUCGAAAUGGAAUUGGAAUUUCCUUGGUUUUCUCACAUUCAUUCUCCAGGUUUUUGUUUGUGUUUACUGUCAUUGCAUCUCAAUAACUAGUUAUUCAAUACGAAGUUUGUAAAACUUCGGUAAGUCAUGUGCGGGAGUUAUUAGGAUUAGAAAAGGAGGCCUCUUUCAGUCUUUAAAAGCUCCAAUACUAUGUUCAUGAACUAUUUCAUCCUGCUAACUCGAGUUGUUGAGAGAAGUUUCUGACUUAGUUUAUUUUUGCAGAAGAUGAUUUCUUCAUAUUCAGGCAGACUAAGCAAGCUGUUUGGGAAGUCAACUUAUGGUGCUCAGAAUCUUAAGGUGUUGUUCAAUGAUUUCCCAGGAGGAUCUGAAGGAUUCGAGCUCAUGUUAAGAUUCUGCUACAACAAUGGGCAGAUACACAUAACUCCUUCCAACCUUUCCUUGCUGCAUUCUGCUGCAAAGUUCAUGGAGUUGACCGUUGACUCAUCACCAUCUGGCCUUAACUUGCUGGAACUGACCGAGAAAUCGCUUCGAGAGCAGAUUGGUUACUGGACUUGGUCUGAUCUCUUGGUCACCUUAAAGCAUUGCCAAGACUUGGACUCAAAUAAUAAUUACUCUUCUUCCAUUAUCGAGAAGUGUAUAGAUUCACUCAUUGCAAGGAUGGCUUUGUGUAAUGAUCAUUCCAGUCCAUGCCCUUCAACUUCUUCUUCGCUUGAUAGCUCCGGUACCGUUCGAGUUUCGUGUGAUAGUAGGAGCACUGAGAGUACCCUCAAGACCAGCUUAUCUACUAGAGGAGGAGCCACUUGGUGGUUUGAGGAUCUAUCUGGUUUGACUUUGACUUUUGUUGAGAUUCUCAUCAAGUCAAUGGUACUAUCCAAGAAGUUUGACCAUGGAACUAUCAGCAGAUUCCUCUUUUACUACCAGAAAUCGAAGUCUGAUGAGAAGGAGAAGCUGAAAACGGUCGAAUCGGUCAUUGACUUGCUCCACAUACUCGACUCGAGUUCGGUUCCUUGCAAGAGCUUAUUCGGUUUGCUUCGAGUUGCUUCGAAUGCAAGCAAAUGCAGUAGAAGCAAGGUGGAAGGCAUGAUAGGCUCUCAGUUGGACCAAUCAACUCUGGAUAAUCUUCUCAUUCCAUCCCGAACUGGGUGUUCGAAAAAUUGUCUGUAUGAUGUAAAUGUUGUUCUGAGGUUGGUAAAGAUGUUUCUCCACGAGGGAAGAACGUUUCGAGCGUAUCCUAAUCGAUUGAAGAAGGUUUCGAGUUUGAUGGAUAUGUACAUUGCUGAAGUGGCCCCUGACCCUUGUCUGAAACCUUCAAAGUUUUUAGCUUUAGCCAUGGUGUUGCCUGAUUCUGCUCGAGACUCGUACGAUGACAUGUACCGUGCUAUGGAAAUGUAUCUCGAGGUAAUUUGAACUUUUUUCAAGGACUUGAAAUAAGUUCAAUCUGGAUUGAAUCUGAUAUGAUCAUGUUUUUUUCUAAUAGGUGCACAGUGGAAUCUCUGAUGAAGAAAAGAUGAAGAUAUGUUGUGCACUAAACUACGAGAAGGUUUCAAGCGAAGUAUGUAUGCAGAUUUCUCGGAACAAGAAGUUCCCAUCAAGAACAGAAAUCCAAGCUUUGAUGUCUCAACAAGUGAAGCUCAAUAACCUGUUACAAGCUCAAGAACCUGUUACAAGCUUAGUCGAAAAAAGGGAUCCUAAGGAGAAGAAGACCGAGGAGCAAAUCGUUCUGUACGCUGCCAAGCUCGAAUUCUCGAGCGAUAACGAGAGGCUUAGAGCGCAUUUGGAAGGGAUGCAGUGGAGGGUGAUGGAACUCGAGAAAGUGUGCAGGAAGAUGCAGACAGAGAUGACAAGGAUCAUGCGAUCGAAGAGUACUCCGAAUCGUGGUAAUAACUUGCGAUCUUUGCCAAAGAUGUGUUCUUGAUCAGGAAUCAUCAUGUCAAAUGGCUUUCAUUGAGCUGUAUAGCAGGGGGGGGGAAAGAGUUCUUUUUUACUAUUUGGGGUUUUGUAACCAGUUAUUUUUUCCACUUAUGUCUGAUAAAGUGAAAAAGGGGUAGUUAUCUGUAAAGCAAGAUGCUUGAGAUGUUGGUUUGUAUAGUAAAAUUAAACCACAGCAUGAAGAAAAGAGAUGAACUUUAUGACAAUGCAAUUGAAUUUCUUUCUUGGGUUUUGAAGUUGGUCCCCAGAAGGACAAGUCAGUUUCAUUGUUUAUGCAAUUUCCAGACACGACUACUGUGUAUCUGGCUGUAGUGAUAAGAACUCAUGCAUCUGUCCACAAACCAAAACCAAACUUCAUAGUUACAAGUGUAUGUAACUAGUUACAGACAUACAGAGGAUGAACCCUCUCUGCUUCAGAAAAUUCUCAUUGUCUUUGAUUCUAAAUCUCUUCCAUUCUUCCCGCCCACAUGCCAAAGAUUGUACCUUUGGAAUCCCAUGGCCAUGCUUGCAUACUGGUGUAUUGACUUUUGCAGAGCCAUUUUUGUCAGUGUUAUACGAGUAAUAGUGCCAAAAAGGAAAGAAACAAACCCCACUUAUUGGAAGGUGGAAAAGAUAAAGAGAGGGGUCUCCUCAGUGAGUGAGUCACGUGGCUAGUGCCAAAAAGGAAAGGAACAAAGCCAGUUAUUGGAAGGUGGAAAAGAUAAGAGAGGGGUCAAGUGGCUAGUUGAAUCAGAGAAAAUCCAUUAAAAAACGGGUUAGAUUCUAAGUUUUGAUAGUGGUUGGGGCAAUCCAGCUCUUUCCUUUGCUUUAAUAUACAUAAAUAGUAGAUAAUCUCGGAAGAGCAAUGAAUCUUGAAUGGUUUAACGUAAUCAAAGUUGAAAUGUGCUGGAUUUCGUACGAAUUUUAAGUUUUAUGUUGUUAAUUUUUGAUCCGUUUAAAGGUUAACUUUGUGAUUUAACUAUUUUAUGGUUCGAACUCGAAACUCUUACUAUUAACCAAUUUUCUCACUCCGUCGCCAGGUUAUAACUUAUGAGGAAGUUGUUGAAGCUGUUGAAGCUGUAGGUGACCUGUUUUCCCUUUGAGAAGCCAAUAAUUUACCUCAAUUUAUCAAUGGAGAUUCUCUUUGUGUGGAGGAGGCUAGAGGUAGAUCAUCAUCACCUGCUAAUUUGUCCAUUUUGAUCAUAUAAAAUCAAUGCCAUUGGGGAAAAAAUUUGAUGAACAACCUGUCAAAGAGUUUGCUGGUGGUGUAGGGCCAAAGUUCUAUCCUCCUACUACCAUACUAAUUUCAUACCAUCAAAUUGCUAUCUCGCAAACUCGACUCAUCCGGUCACUUUGACACAAGUGAAUCAAAGUCCCAAACUUUCAAAUUAACUUACAAUAACUGUAUACUUAGUACUGUAGAAUUUGUGAAAACACAAUUCCCAAAUGUAAAUUAUAAAGUUCGUUUUUUCGGAGACAGUGACCUAGAUUAGUCCAUCUCGAAUUCCCGACCUGACAGACCUAAAAGUGAUUUUUUUUGUUGGUGAGGAAGGUGGCGAUAAUGCUCAAAUUUUGGUGGAACUGAAGGGUAUAAUUGCCCUGGUUGUUUGCUGACUUUGAGCCAGCCCAAAUAAUUCAGCUAGCUCUAUGGAUUGAUGAAUUCUGUUAGGUGGGUUUGCAUUAAGUUUGUGAAAUUGACUAGUGAUGGUGGGGAAUAUGGGGGUGUUAAUCUUCAUUUAAGUAAAUAGUUCUAUCAUUGUAGGGUUUUUUUUCAUAUGAAAAUGAGAGCUUUGUGAAAUUGUUAUGGAGAUCAAAUCAUGAUACUAAUACUUUAUAUUUGAUUAAAUUUCGUCCAAAAAUCAAACUUAAAUCACCAACAUUCAAAAUCGUGAUAUGAUGAUAUAUGAUAGAGAAUGAAACACAAUUAUAAACGGAAAAUAAGAACCCGAAAUACAUAAAUUUGUUAACUCAAUUCCCCUUUGCGAGAAUAAUAAUAAGUCUAGAGGUUGCUGUCAAGUCAUGAAUCAAUAUCGACUAUUAAUUUCGUUAUGCAUAUUACAAUGAAAUAAGAGCAAGUUAUAAAUGAGUUAUUCUCUAUUAAAAUGGACAAAUUAAUAAGGCUCGACCCAUUGACCAAAACCAUCAAAAUAAUCCCCCAAAAAACUUCACGUUACAAUAUUAUUCGGUUAUUCAUAAGUGUUAAUUCGGUUCAUCAAACCCCUAACACUAAUAACAAUUAUGUUGUGUCUCUUUGACGUCAUCUCUUGGGGCAAGUUUUCCCUAGGAGUCCGAGGGAUUCAAUAAUAGCAUAUGAAUCCCCCUCAUCCCAUCGAAGAUUCAAUAUUUCUGUUGGCAAGUUUUCCAAGACUGCCACUGUGGGUAAUUUGCAAAGGAGAGGCUUUCAUUUGGCGUAAUUUACAAAGGAAAGUCUUUCAUUUGACGAAUAGAUGUUUUUUUUGUGAUCGUACGGUCGAAUCAAUUGAUCAUAUCUACAUUCAGUGCGAAUUUUCAUAUAAAAUUUGGAUGGUUUUUUUAAGUUACUCCUCUAAUGGUUUUUCGUAUUUUGAUUUGGAUGAUUUGGCUGGUAUUGUGCCACCAACAAACAUAUUUUCCUGUUGAUUUUUUAUUUUCCUUUACAUUUUCAUAUAAAUAGUGUACCGCUGUGAAUUAUUUUUUUUUUUAUUUUCAGAUUUUCCAUACUUUUGAUAAUCCAAAUACAAAACUCAAAAUUUAAAAUUUAAAUAUGAAAAUCUAAUAUUCUAAACCCUAAACCUAAAACCCAAACACAAAAUUUAAAAUCCAAAAUUGAAAACUCAAUACGCUAGACUCUAAAUCUAAAACUCCAAAACCUAAAAUACAAAUCCAAAAUCUAAAAUCCAAAAUUUAAAAUCAAAACCAAAAUCCUAAUACUAAACACAAAACUCAAACACUAAACUCAACUCAAACCGAAACAAAUAAUAAAUUAAAUAAUUUUUAUUAAAAAGACUUCCGUGUCCUUUUUAUACAAACCAUUAGAUCUAAAACUCAUGAAAUCUAACGAUUCAAAAUUAUCAUAAAAUCCUGAAACCAUUUUUUGCAUGAAUUCCGAACACACUCCUCGUCUCUCUGCUCUUGUUGGUGUGAUAAUAACAUUAUUAUUAAUAUUCCUUCUUCACUACUUUACUUUCGCUUAUACGCUACCCUUUCUCUUCAUGCGUGCUUGUUCCCGAGGAACCAAUUCACCAACAAGUAAGUUUCCAUUAGGAGUUGUUAAACUCUAGUCGUUCGGAGGGAACAAUAACGUAUCGGUUCGAAUGUCUCUGAACAAUAACGUAUCGGUUCGAAUGUCGUUUGGGUCGAGUCAUAGUUGCUUAGGCCGGUAUUUUGGUGUUGCUUCAUCGCAAUCACAAAUGACAAUAGUAGUGAUUAGUUUUAGCGAGACCGUAUGAACCUGAACGGGAAAUGAGAGAGAACGAGGAUAAAGAACACAUGUCGAGCAAAUUGUUCCUUCGGUUCUUUAUUCCCCAGAGGUAUUUAAAUAGAUAAGCCCAUAUAGUUGUGUGUAAUGGGCUACAUUGGGUCCGGACCGGCCCAUAAAAACGUAGAAAAGUGAGCAACUCCAGCCCAUCCAAAAGCUGCUUCUCCAUUCUCCAAAGAACACCACAAUUAACCCAUGGAUGAGUGACUAAUUACUACCGUACCAAAGUCAAUUGGUUUGGUGGUUAAGCUGUCUUGCGGUUCAAUAGUCUCCGGCUCUGGGAUGGUUAUUCAUCGUCGACUUUUUGGUGCUUGAGUCCAUCUCAAUAAGAUUGUCUAAUAAAAAUUAGAUAAUAGAAAAAAAUUAAUUAUUUAAUAUACUUAUUAGAUAUUGCUAAAGUAUAAUAAUCUAAUAAGAAGAGGUGAUUUAAAAUUGUAAAAAUGAAAUAAUUAUUAAAUUCGUGUAUGUGGCCAUAAAGUUUAUAUUAACGAUUAUUAAAUGGAUUUUGAAAUGGAGAGGCAAACUAAUUAAAAAUAAUACAAACUCCUAAAAACCUUUUUAACGGGCGCAUCACAUUCAAUAAUGUUAAAAUUGUAUAAUUGACUCUAAGACCGUCGACUUUUAAUCUGAACACUUAGUUAAACAUAUCAAACAGUCGCUAAAAAAAUAGUAAAUAUUUCAAUUCGUUUUUUCGUCAGUCUCCUUUUUCGUAGGUCGCCUUCUUUAUAAAUGCAGGUAGAGUAUGAGACAGACAUCACACUUUCAAAUUGAUGUCUACGACAGUCUAUUUUGAUUAGCCCACUCCGACUGGCCUAUUUUGUUUUCAGAUCGCCCCUUUCGCGGGUCGUUCCUUCCGCAGGUCGUCCCCUCUGCAAACGCGAAUCGGAUGUGGGACAUGCUUUGAUACCAACUGUUACAACCCUCUGGGUAGAAUUCAUCUCCAAAAGUUAGCUUACAAGAGUAGGGUGUCCAUAAUGUUAUAACCCACCCGCUAAUCCCAUAUUUAGCGAUGUGAUAUUCAAUUGGGCACCGGAUCAGAUAACAGUUAUCUGUAACUGGUCAAACCGGAUAACCGUAUCCAUUUAAGAGUAAAAUGACUAACCUUAUCCGUUUUGAAUACUAAGAACGGCUAACCGACACUAUUUUUCAAUCGAUUACGAUAUAACCGGUUAUCCAAAUAAUUACCCAAACAAAUUUUAAAUAGCGAUUACGUGAGCUAAUUAAUAUAAUCCAAUUCUUAUCUAGCGAAUACGUGAGCUAAUUGCAAUCAUCUACGCUUCCACUACCUCAUUUAAUUAUAAUCAUUCACUAUCUAACUAAUUUGAAAAGCAAACUGUUUGGAUCAUUAUCCUACAACUUGGCCACUAUCUUCUUUUUUAUUUAUUCUUAACAAUGUCAACUAUAUGCAAUUGUACCACUAAUGUUCCUCUCAUUGCCAUGACAAGUUGACACUUUACAUGUCACUACUCACUAGAUUAAUGUCAUAUUGCUAUAUUAUGUUGUUUUAUUUAUUCAUAAGAUAUGUUUUCCUUAGACAUCAUUUAAAUAUUGAGAUUUGAAUCUGAAAGGAGAUUUGACCUCAAAUAACUUAUUACAACAAGUAUUUUAUAAGUGACACGAAUAGAGCUUUUUACGAGAAUAGAGAAAGAUUUGAAAUAAAUUCGUGGCAUUUUAACAUUUUUUUAUCAUUUUUUUUUAAUAUUUGUACUUAAAAAUCACUCAUAUAUCACCAACCUAAAUAAUCUAUUUCAGAAACAUCAAAGUUUAUCUAAAUUUCUAACCUUUUUAAAUAACUUGAUUAAUUAUUUUAUUGCAACUUGUAAAUUUCCCAACUAUAUAUAACGGCUCACCUCGAACUAUUAUAGCAGUAGUACUUUUCCCCAAUUUGGUCCAUAAAGAUUACCAAAAGUACAAAACAGUCACCAUAUAAUGGUUUCGAUCAAUCUCCAUAGCAUGUCUUUAAACCCAAGUGUUGUCCUCUUUCGUCCAUAUCUUCCUACUCCAAACAACACCUUACCAAGAAUGGCAUCUUUAACCGCCGGCGGCCGGCUCAAAGUAGUAGCGGCAUCAUCGGCGGCGGAUGUUGAUCACCGGCGGCGCUCUGCCAAUUACAAACCAACAACGUGGAAUCACGAGUUUCUCCAGUCCUUCAAGGUCAACAAUGACGCCAACAAUGAAGUGAGUACCCUGUGGAAAUUUGCAUCCAUGCAACUUCUGAAUUUUUUGGUAUCGCAAAUCGCAAAUGUCAUGGGCGUCGCAUUUCAAAUAAUUUUAUACCAAUUUCUUACACACCAAUAUCAAACGAAAGCCAAUUCGCAAGAUUGAAGUUUGCACAGACUCACUAUGCCUUAUGCUUAAGUCAACGGUUAAUAUUAGGAGUCGUGCAAAUUCAAACUCACGCGCAAUCAUUUAGUCUAAAAACUUUGAUACCAUAUAAUAAACGGUUGCUUCUAAAUAAUUCGAUCAAGUUGCUCAGAGAGGGUUAAUCAUGUGAUUGACCAUUAUUGCAUCACAAUAACUCGUAAAUUUUUUCAGGAUCAACUAUAUAAGGACAAGGUGGUGGUCAUGCUGGAGAAGGAGCUUCAAGCCGGCGAGAUAAUGAAGGAGGAAGAUGUUUUGAAUAUGCUUGAACUCGUCGAUGAUAUUCAGAGGUUGGGGUUGUCACAACGAUUCGAAAAGGCUAUCCGCGGAGCUCUCGAUCGAUUCAUCUUCACCGGAGGGUGUAAUGCCAUAACAAAUAAGUCCAUCUACUAUGUAGCUCUCGGGUUCAGACUCCUUAGACAGAACGGUUAUCACGUUUCUCAAGGUAUAAACUUAACUGGAUGGACGGAAUCAGGAUUGAAAAGAUGUAAUGGGUUGGAUUUUUAAUCAAAUUUUUCGAUCAAGUAUUGAGGAAUUUGUAUGGCAGAUGUGUUGAAAGAGUUGAUGAACGACGAAGGUGUGUUCGAGGGAGAUGCAAAAGACAUGUUGAGUUUGUACGAAGCUUCGUACGUUGCUUAUGAAGGUGAAGACAUGUUGGAUAAGGCCAUGGAGCAAACGACCAACUACCUCAACAACUUUCUGUUACGGACGACGAACUCUAGUAGUACUAGUACCAGUAGUAUGCAAGAACUAGUUCGUCACUCUCUGGAGAUUCCCCUGCAUCGAAGAGCCGAGAUUCUAGAAGCUAGAUGGUACGUCGAAGCAUAUAAGAAGAGAAAAGGUGUAAAUCCUGAACUGCUUCAGCUAGCCACUCUAGAGUUCAACUCCGCUCAGUCGGUCCUCCAGAGCGACCUCAAAGACUCAUCAAGGUAACUUAUAACUUAUAAAACCAUAAGAUUUUAUGAUCGAAUUAAAGCUUCACCAAACACUUAAACGUACGUAGAAUAACUGAUUGUUAAAUACUUAACAAUAAAUUGCUAUGUCCUGGGUGACGUGGACCGAGUCUAGACAAAUAAAUGGUUCAUCUUCAAUUUUUUAUGAACAAAAGUAAUAAUAUUAAAAAGGUUCCGAAAAAAAAAACCCAAAUGUCUCACAAGUUAAAAUUAGUUAUUGAUUAUAUAACUUCCGAUCUUAAAAAAGAUUAAUAAAUUUUAUUAUAAAGUCUGAAAAUAUAUAAACUGUCAAAACAACAAACGCAAAACAUGUACAUUUCGAAAAUAAAUGAAAACCGCCCACUACAUGAUUUUUGUGAAGGUGGUGGAAUAGCUUGGGACUUGCGAAAAAGCUGAGUUUCAGCAGGGACAGAUUAGUGGAGUGUUUUCUGUGGGCGGCUGGAACGAUGUUGUUCCAGCCGCAAUCCAGCUCGUGUCGCAAGAGUUUAACAAAGGUCACCUCGUUCGUUACCACAAUCGACGACAUCUACGAUGUCUACGGCACUUUAGAGGAGUUGCAACUAUUCACCGAUGCAGUCGAGAGGUAAAUCUUCUUCCUCUGUUUUCGGAGUUACAUAUAGAAAUUGCGGGGUCCAGGUGAUUUGGACAAAAUCGCUUGUUUCGACUCGAAAAAAAUGAAAUUAAUUCAGGUGGGACAUCAAUGCUGUGGACAACUUACCAGACUACAUGAAGCUGUGUUUCUUAGCCUUCUACAACACCGUCAAUGACAUGGCUUACGAAGCUCUCCUUAUACAUGGACAUAACGUCUUACCCUGCCUUUCCAAAUCGGUAUGUAUGUUACCUCGAAACUCGAUCGAACCGGUGAGACUAAUUAAUGAGUUAACGUUUGGUUUUACAGUGGGCGGAUUUGCUCAAGGCGUUCUUGAAAGAAGCAGAGUGGACGUACCCCGACAACCCACCGACGUUCUCGGAGUACGUAGAGAAUGCAUGGAGAUCUGUCUCGGGAACGGUGAUCCUUGUCCAUGCAUAUUGUCUGAUGAAUGACGAUGUUCACGUAAGUAGCUUCUCUAAGGAGACGCUUGAUGACUUGAUGAACUACGACAGAAUCCUCCGCUGGCCGUCGGUCAUUUUCCGGCUCUGCAAUGAUCUUGCUACUUCGCCGGUAAGUUCAUAGAUUAUAACACACGCACGUCAAAUCCCAAAAAAAAAAAAAUUUAAUUUUAUUCAGCUAAAUACUUAUAUCGAUUUACAAGGGAAAGCAAGUGGAUUUACAUCUCAAACCAUGUAGGGAAUUAGUUUAGACGUGUAUUAAAACAUAUUCUCUAACUCGUAGAUGGACACUCGAUUGAUAAUAGCCUGAUGAUCUCUGCAGGAAGAGAUGGCGAGAGGAGAGACGGUGAACGCGAUGUCGUGCUACAUGAGCGAGAACGGAGUUAGUGAAGAGAAGGCAAGGAAGCACUUGAACUCCAUGAUUGACCAAGCUUGGAAGAACAUGAACCGGGAGCUAUUAGAAGAUCAUGACGAGAAAUCGGGGGCUGAGUUUGCGAAUUUGUAUCGAAGAUCGGCGAUGAAUCUGGCGAGGAUCACUUAUUAUAGUUACAGGCGUGGAGACAGCCACGGGAAUCCAGAUGCCGAGUCCAACCAGACUGUCUUCUCCCUCUUCUUCCAGCCCAUCGUUACUAAGGCUUAAUUUUUUAAUGUUACUUUAAAAUCAAUAAGACGAUGGGAAUCGAACUUCUGUUCUGUUUUUCCAAAUAAUGAUCAUCACUGCUCAGCCCAAUAGAUAAGGCCCAUUCAAUACUGGGCCUAGUGAUGGGAAUGAGAAUCUUAAUUAUUAAAAAAUAUAAUUUCAAAUUCAAAUUAAAAUCACUCGAUUUUAUUGAUUUUUUAACCGUGAAUAUAAGAUGAGAUUUGUCGCCGAAUACGGUCAUCUUUUAUCGUAAGCAUCGGUAUCGGUUUGCUUACAUGAAACAUUGUCGUGAUCAGUAGUACAACUAGUAAAUACACUUCAUAUAAAUCAUACACACAUGACGUGAUUUUAUUAUAAAUCAUAUAUACAUGACGUGAUCUCUAGAUUCUUGAAGCGUUGACGUUAAUGGCCUGAAAGAUGAGGGAGAAGACUGUCUUUUUGGACCCAACGUCUGGAUCGCCGUGGCUGUCUCCACGGUGGUAAGUAUGAUGAGCGAUCCUCGCUAGGUUGACCGCCGACUUUAGAAACGAGUUCGCAAAAGCAGGCGACGAGUUUGGUGAUGACAAUAACAAUAGCUCUUGAUUCAUGUUCUUCCAAGCUUGGUCGAUCAUGGAGUUCAAGUGCUUCCUUGCCUCCUCUUCGCUGACUCCGUUCUCGUUCAUGUAGCACGACACUGCGUUCACCGUCUCCCCUCUCGCUAUCUCGCUCUGCAUAAUCGUCGUUGAAUCGAAAACAAACUCAAUAGCGUAACAAUUAUUUAUAACCUAGAGGUAUAGAGAUUUGUGAUCAAGUGGGUAUAGAUGAAAAAUUGAAACUUUGCUACUAAUCAAACAACAAAUGACCCUGCUAUCUGACCGUUCUUAUGUGUCCGAGGAAUCAAUAUUCACGUACCGAUGAAGUUGCCAGAUCAUUGCAAAGCCGGAAGACGACGGAUGGCCAGCGAAGGAUUUUGUCGUAGCUCAUCAAGUGGCUCUCCAAACCCACCUUUGACACACAAUUAUCAUCUAAGUUGCCGUCGACAUCGUCGUUCAGGAGACAAUACGUGUGGACAAGAAUCACUGUCCCGGAGACAGAUCUCCAUGCAUUUUCCAUGUACUCUGAGAACAUCGGUGGUCCACUACUCUGCUUCUUGUUGUAGCAGCUCCACCCUGCCUCUUUCAAGAAUGCCUUGAGCAUAUCUGUCCACUGAAAAGAAACGCGAAACUCGCCGACAUAAGAUUUAUAUAUCGUAGUUGUUAAUCUCGUCGGUUCGAUCUCCGGUUUGAUGAUUAAAGCGUACCGCUUUUGUGAGGUGGGGUAAGAUGUUAUGCCCAUUUGUAUGGUAAGAUAGUUCGGUAACGGUGUUGUGGAAAGCUAGGAAACAUGGCUUCAUGUAGUCUGGCAAGGUGCCCACUGCAUUUAUAUCCCAUCUGAAAAUACAAAUGUGGCUUUAUGCUUUAGUUUGUUGGGUUGGUACAAAACCGAACCGGACAUACCGGUCGGAUUGUAAACAAAUUGUAUUUUCUUGCAGUAUAGAAUACUUGGUAAAAGAUUUAUAAGCUAACCUUUCAACUGCAUCAGUGAACAGCUCCAACUCCUCCAGAGUGCCAUAAACAUCAUAGAUAUCGUCGAUCGUCGUAAUAAACGACGUCACUUUCGUCAACUUCUUUCGACACGAGCUGAACCGUGGCUGGAACAUCAUUCCAACUGUCCAGAAAAAACACUCCACCAAUCUGUCCCUGCUGAAACUCAGCUCCUUUGCUAGCCCCAAGCUGCUCCACCACCUUAAAUAUCGGGGUUAAUUAAUCCGGGUUUUCGAUUGCUGAAAGACUUUGUAGUCUGUAUAUAGUUACCUUGACACGUCCUUUAGGUCACGUUGGAGGACCGACUGAGCCAGGUUGAACUCCAACGCGGCCAGCUCGAAUAAUGCAGGGUGCUUCGCCGCGUUGAUCUUGUUGUAUGAUUCGAUGUACCAACUCGCUUCUAGCAUCUCCAUCCUCCGAUGAAGUGGAAAUUCGAGCGAAUGGCGGACUAGUUCUUUAACGGGCGUAUAUUCAUCAUUCCAGUUGGUUUGUAGCAAAAAGUUGUGUAGAUACUUCGUCGUCCAUUCUCUAGCCUCGUCCAGGAUUUCUUCGCCUUCGUGGGCGAGGUACGAAGCUUCGUACAGACUCAACAUGUCUUUCACAUCCCAUUCGUCGUGGUUGUUUCCUUUGAGAAACUCUUUGAACACGUCUGUGAACCGAUCAUCAAACAGGUUAAUAAAUUUCUUAAUAAGGUUAUUAAUUGAGCAGACCAGCUCGAAAUUUUGAUACCUUGAGAGGUACGGUAACCACUUUGUCUGAGGAGUCUGAACCCUAGAGCUACAUCAUGGACGACAGAGGGGUGCUUGUUCGCCAACGCAUGACACCCUCCAUUGUCGAGAAGUCUGUCGAGAGCUUCUCGUAUUUCGUUUUCGAACCGGUGUGCCAAUCCUAACCUUUGUAUAUCGUCGAUCAAUUCUAACCCGUCGAUGACAUCACCAUCCUCCAUUUUCGCCGUGGCUAAUUUCAGCUUCAAGUUCCUCUCCAGCGUUGUUACCCUGCCUUGGUAGAAUUCAUCCUGAAAAUUACCCAUUCAUUAGCACAAAUAUGUACAUACAUACUCAAUUCUUGACAGAAAUAACAUCGUUUGUUACUUACAUUGUUGAUGUCAUUGACCUCGAAGGACUGGAGGAACUCGUACUCCCACGAUGUCGGUUUGUAAUUGGCGGAGCGCCUGAUUUGGGAAUCCGCCGAUGCUUGAGGAGGAGGAUCAACUUGAGCUGCUACUAUUCGAGGCCGAGUGGUGCUACGUGUGGCCGAUGCAGAAGGAAGACGACGAUGAAGGGGUACGAUGUUGCGGUUCAACGACAUGCUGUGGAUCAGACAGAGAUAACUCAUUGCAAGUCUGUGUAACGAGAGAAAUCCAACUGCCUUCGACAACUCGUCAAUGUAAGUUGUUUGAUAUGUUUUUUACAAGUUGUUUAAUAUAAGUACUUCCAAAUGAUCAGCUUUAUAUAGAGGCACGUCUUCAACCUUACAUUCUUAUCUAAGGAAGUUGGAACAUCCAUGCGUUGAUCAAUGUUGUCCACGUUCUUUGUGUGCAAAUUGGUGGACAUCUUGUCAAAGGGUCCCGACCCAACGUAUCAAUCUGACCCGGUUCAAUUUCGAUCCUGUGUGCAGGGACAUGCCCCAUACAAGAAGAUUGAACACUUCUCCAGCUCCAACUUAAUAACUUUGUUUAGAUUUGAUCCAUCACGUAAUGAGUCUGGCGACCCCCAACAAACAUAAUACACACGGGUCUAAGUCAACUCUUUACUUGGGAGAGCAAGAAGCUUACUUUAGCCUUUGUCUCAAGCUUUUUAGUUGGUUUUGCUGAAUUCAGAUCAAGGAAGGUAAGCCUACUAAGCAACUAAUGUUGGCCUUGUUUAUAUGGGUGGUGUAUGUUGCUUCGGCCACCUCCGUUAAUGUCACAUCAGCAUUUCGUCCAAAAAAUGAACGAAGUGCUAUAGAAAAAUAUGAAAAGUAUAAUUUGAUAGAAUUUGGAGAAUAUAAAUUUGUUGAAUAGUUAGUAUGACGAUACUUUGACCCCAAUCGGUUUCUGGACUUUUGAUUUAGGGGACGACUCAGGUUGAGCAACGAUUCACCUGAUCCGGUUGCAUUUUCCACAAGACAUUCGUGGGCCGGGCUUUCAAAAUUGAUCCGAUAGGCUUAUUUUUUUAAGUUGGGCUUUAAUUACGUUAAUCUAAUCAAACCUGUCUCGUCGUUAGUCUCCUCUGCCGUAGAAUUUCCCCGACUCAUUUUUCAGCUCCCGCAGAUCUCCACCGCCGGCGAACUCGAAUCGCGACCACACCCACCGGCAAUCUUCUGGUGAAGAAACCUAGCUCAUCCUGACGUAGUAAGAAUCUCGAUCAACACUCUUCCUUACUCUAGAUUAUUGAAUUCGGGGAAAUGAAAAGGAAACAUUUCUUCGUUUCUGGUGCAGAUGGGGGAGUUAGCAUUAGCAGCUGAUAAGCAUGUGAAAUACAUCCUGCAAGUAGAGAAGGUUUGUCUUUUAUUUACAUUUACGAUUUCCCACCUGAUUGAUUGGACGUUUCUGUGCUCUGAUUGGUUGGUUUUUCUGUUUUGUGCAUCUUUUAGAAGAAGGAUAGUUUUGAAUCUGCUGUAAUGGAGCACCUACGAAUGAACGGGGCGUAUUGGGGGUUGACGACAUUGGAUCUGCUAGGCAAGCUUGAUCUGGUGGAUUCGAAUGAGAUUCUUGAAUGGAUCAUGAAGUGCCAACAUGAGUCUGGUAAGUCUGAUGAACAAAAACACCCAUUUCUGCUGAUUGCUAACUUAUUGGAUGAUGAUGAUGCAACAUUGUUAUGCAGGUGGAUUUUCUGGUAAUAUUGGGCAUGACCCUCAUAUACUGUAUACCCUCAGUGCCAUACAGGUUCUGGCUCUUUUCGACAAGCUCGACGUUCUUGAUAUCGACAAAGUUUCAAAUUGUAUCCUUUUAACAAGCUUUGUGACAUUUCAAAUUGUUCAUCUUGCCUCCCUCCAUGUUUGUAUUAGAUAGAAUCACGAGUUUACCUAUUUGACCGUGUGUAUAGCAAUUGAAGGAGUAAGCUGUAAGCUAGGCAUUCCUAGAAUCCAUUGUUGUUCUGUUUAAUGUUUCAAAUUAGAUAUUGCUGGACUGCAAAAUGAGGAUGGAUCCUUUUCCGGCGAUAUUUGGGGAGAAGUCGAUACACGGUAAGGAUCCAAUCCGAUAUUUCCUUUUAGUUUUCAAGUUGUUAAAUUGCAUUCCUGACUAGCUUUACUUUCCAGGUUCUCUUACAUUGCAAUAUGUAGUCUUUCGAUAAUAAAACGCCUGGACAGGAUAAACGUGGAGAAGGCUGUGAGCUACAUCAUAAGUUGCCAAAACGUUGACGGUGGAUUCGGAUGCACUCCUGGCGGCGAGUCUCAUUCCGGACAGAGUAUGUUCUUAAUAGAUCACUAUAGAUUGGACUAUGUUUUUGUCGAAAACUUUGUGAUUCACUUAAACUCUCUUGUUUUAAGUAUUCUGCUGUGUGGCUGCACUUGCCAUUACUGGAGCUCUACACUGUGUCGACAAGGACCUCCUAGGAUGGUGGCUCUGUGAGCGACAGGUGAAAUCCGGUGGUCUUAAUGGCCGACCUGAGAAGCUUCCAGAUGUAAGAUUCCCUCUCAGGUGUGUUAAUCAAUAUCUUGCCUUUUUGCCCUUCAUGAUGGGUAACUUGUUAUAAUUUGACGUAUGUAGGUUUGCUACUCGUGGUGGGUUCUCUCUAGCUUGACGAUGAUCGAUAGAGUUGACUGGAUUAACAAAAAUAAACUGGCUAAGUUCAUUUUGAACUGUCAGGUUAGUGAUUGAAUCUAGUAAAAAUAACACUUCCAGGUUCAUGAAAGUAACGUAAUCGAGAACCUUUGAUUACAGGACACGGAAAAAGGAGGAAUUUCGGACAGGCCAGAUGACGCGGUCGACAUCUUCCAUACAUAUUUUGGAGUUGCUGGUAGAUCGAUGUUCUAUUUGCCGUAUACAUUAUUGUUUAGAUCACUUCAACGCUGUGAUCCGUGUCUAUAUCGUUCUUCUUCUAGGAUUGUCUCUGCUCGAGUAUCCAGGAGUGAAGGCAAUCGAUCCGGCUUACGCCUUGCCGGUCGACAUCGUGGAUCGACUCUUCUUUGGCAAAAAAUGAUUCAGCAUCUUCAGUAAGUUUUUAACCAUAGAAACAGUACCCAGCAUACUUGCCCACAACAAAGGAUUCUUGUACUACUCUCUAUGUUCUUGGAAUUUGCCUUUGUUAUUUCAUAUUUGUACAGAUGCUGUCUUUCAACUUGGUACUCUAAUAAAUCAAACAUUUUUGUACUCUGUUGACAUUUGGGCAAUAAUUCUUAGUGGUCUGUGAAUAAAUGUUGAAAAGUGUGCCAUUGGGAACCCACAAUGUUGCAUCUCAUCAGAAGCUUGGUUGGAAACUGUAAACCAAACACAGCCAAGUUGCCGAGUUUCGCCCGUUUCGAUAUGAUCAUCCUGACCGACAAGAUCAGGGUAAUCAAAUCACAGCCCACUAUGAAUUUGUUGGUAGGAGUGAAACGAGACAGAUCCAACUUGAAGUAUCAAAGUAGUAAACCCAGGUACUCUAUUUACAAGUUGUUUUGAGACUUUGACGAUACGAAGGUUCACCUCGAGAUAGACUCUCUCGCCGCGAUCCAAGUGAUCGGACUCUAGCCACUGUUCAAAUGGUGUAAAGUAAGUGGAGGAUGCCAUUAAAGGGAGGGGGGAUAACAUGGAUGGAUCUAACAAUGGAGAAUCAAAAUUUUGAAAAUUGAUAGAAAGAAGAAAGCAAACAGAAAAGUCCCAAAUAUUCCCAGUUCUUGCUACUACUAGUGGGUUUUUGGUUGUUUCCAGGUUGUCAAUAUGAAAGCAGAAAAAAGAAAGGGAAAGCAUCACCAUUCACCAAAACCUAGAUUCAGCAAAACUAUGUCGCCAACACGUGUGGGUUGGUGUUGUGUUACCAAUACUGUAUUCCUCAACCCCGGGGUAGAUCGGCAGCCCUCGUUGGAAUGUAUGUUCGAUACAUCGGACUCCGUAACUAGACACAAAUGUUUGAAAAAACGGGUUACUAUGGCUUGGAGCAAUAACUAGGCCACAACCACUCAUCCUCUUUGUCUAGUUUUCUAUAAUGAGUUAAAUUUUUCAUAUAGUUUUGACAUCUUUUCAAUUUGGCCCAGUAAUAUUUUAAAAAUGUGUCCAUCAUGAAACCGUUUUUAUAUAAUUCGGUAAUAUUCGAUCCCUUCGAAUUGGAUGAUCGCAAUAACCCCUCUCGGGGGCCCAAGGUGUGGAUAAUCUACUCUCUACAAAGACCAGCCGACAUCACUUGCAAAUUUUGAAAAACCCCACAACCACCAACUUCACUUAUUACAGUGAAUUUAUCACAUCAAUCACCACCAGCAAUAUAACCUAGUUCCUCGGGAAUCCAUCCCAUUAAAACGACAGCGUGUAGGGUUCUUAAAUUCUAUGUCUAUCAAGUCCCCAAUUUAUAAUUAAUUGUCGAAAAGGUCUAGUAUUUUUAGCUUUUCAUAACUCAUUCCCCUUAAACUCCUUGAUUAUGAUUACAAGUAUUUAUUAUACUAUUUUAGUGAUAUAAUUUGGAAAAGUGGUAGGUUGCAACUUGCAAGAGAAAUGUUAAGAGUUAUAAGUUUAAAUUUGAACAACGAGGAGUUUCAAUUUAGUUAAAAUCAAUUGUAAAUCUUAAUGUAAAAUUACGAUUUGAUUUAGGGAGAUAGAGAGAAAUGCAAAUAGACGCCAUCUCCGGCCACUCUCUCAGAAACCAUCCCUCGGCAUCUCUUUGGUGUUCCUCUAAUGUGCCUGCCUAGUGUUGUAAGGCUCGCAUCGUCGAGGAUCCACCAAUUUUAGGAUCAUUCUUUUUAUGAAGUAGCUCAUUCUUUUUAUACCAUUUUCAGCAAUUAUUUAUGGAUUGGCUCAUUCUUUUUAUUUAUACAAGCUAGUACUAGGUAAGGGCUAAUAUUUACAUGUUGUGAUAUAUUUUUAUUUUUUGAAAAAUGUAAAUAUUUUAUUUUACAUUUCAGUAGGAAAAAUGUGUACUUGUCAAGUACAUACCAAGAUAUUUUUAUAAUCUUGGCUUGGAUAAGGAAAUAUCUCAUGCCACGUGGAAUUAUAUAUUAGAGUUGUGCUCCAAUUAUUUUGUUUUGGGGUGGGUAAAUUGUUACAGAAAAUAAAAUGAUUCACUGUUACUGGAUUGGCGUGACUCUUUCACCUUUCUCUGCCACAGCAUGGUUAAAUACUUGCAGUUGCAGAGAGUGAAAGUGGAAAAAAGAAAAAUGAUACCCCAAUUUUACCUUAUUUAAACAAAUAGACAUCAAGCUUUUUCUUUUUAAUUUGUCGAUACCUAACAUACAAGAUAAGGAAAUGAUACGUGUGGUAAACAGUUGUUGAAGUUUGAUUAUCGAAAUUUCUCUUAAUCAAAGCGGACGGGUCAGUCAAGUUCGUUUGUUCGGAUCGAUUGUUUGGACAAACUGGUCAUAGGACAGCUAGUACGAACCAGUUCUACUUUAUACCACCAGUUUAACAUAUUACAAAUACAUAUUGUUUAUUCAUGUGUGAUAUUUGAUUAGUUAUAAACUCUUGUAAGUUUGUAAUCAUUUUGUGAGAUAUCCAUUAUAUUCUGCAACAUCUAUUAUGAGGUUUAUCUGCGAAAAUAUAUGUAAAAAAUGUUUAAUAACAAAAACAUCGUACCAUUUUUCUUAUGAACGAAUCGAUUGAGUACCAAAUAAGAUAUUAACCAUUUAAAAAAGGAAAGUGAGCAGUACAAUAAUUACUCUCUGUGGAUCCGUCCAAAACUUUUCCCCUUUUCCUGUUUCAGUACCUAAUCUAUAAUUAUUGAUUUUAGUCUUUCAAUGAAGAAAAGGGAAAUUUAUUUUAAUUUUUAACACACAAAUUUACAAUUUCUAAAAAAUAAAGUGUCUUUAAUUUUUAAUCGUGUACAUUAAAUCGUUAAGAAAUAUGAUACAUUGAUAAUCUAAUUAUGAGAUGUUUAAAGGAAAAUAGAAUAUGCAACCAAUGAAUGGACUACAGUAAAGCUACCAUAUUGUGUCACCCUAAAUACAAUAAUAUUUUUUCAGCAAAAACAUUCCAACCAACCAUAGUCUAUAGUAAAAGAAUUAUCAGUUUGUCACACAUAAUAUCAAUUAAAUUAUAGAUUAUCAUUUAAUUAAUCCUCAAAUUAACUAUAAUUGUUAUUAAUUAAUUGCCACUGUCCUACUAUCCCCAACUUGCAUUGCAUGUCAGGUCUUUGGAUUCUCCAACUGGCCACUUAUAUCCAUUGAAUUGGGGGCUUCAUGGGUUCCCAAUCCACUCCACACUUCUUUAAAUGUCACAAAUUUCAUAUAUCGGUGAUUUUGGUAAGUGUUUAUUUUCGAAAGAUGCAUGGUCUUGAAUAUGAGCUAAUAGACUAUUAUCUAGCACCUUAUGGGAUGAAUGGUUAAGUAACUAGUAAGAAGUUAGUUUUGGUAUUCAUGGUCCGACAUCUACCAGAGACAAACUCCAAAAAUGUAUAGUGUGUUUUGAGAGCUGAUGGUUCGAAAAGAGAACACUAGAAUGUAGUAAAAAUGGGUCGUUUAAUGGUGACUGAACUUUCAUCUUGGUUUAACCAAGAGUACUAUACAUUAGUAAUAGGUUAUUGUCGGUCAUGAUCAUGAAUACAACCCUCUUUCACAUUAAACAUAAUCAAAAUUAUAACAUAUAAAUAGUGAGAAAACUUGAAAAACGAUAUAUUAUUGUAAGCCUUCUUAAAACAAAUCAUUCAAAAGUGCGAAAUUCUAUCUACCCAUUUGAGCUACUAAUGUGACAAUGCUUAGUGUGUAUUGGACUCAUACAAUAAAAGUUAAUCACACCAUAUUAAAUCAAAUCAAGUGUCGCACCAAAACAAUAGGCACACAUAUCCAAGUAAAAAAAACAAAGGAUUGAUUAACACAUAAUAAGUGGGAUAUGUUUCUGAAAUUAACAUGAAUUAAUGUCCAGCUGGCAGCUGCCAUCAUCCUCCAGUAGCCAAUUAAAACAUUCAAAAGCCAGUGAUAGCUGUAACACAGGCAAAGGUUAAAAGCGGUACAGCUGUAUUAUUCCAUCGUGGCGACACCUCAUUGGCUCAGAUCUGGAAUCGCUCUGACAUGUCGUACCACCACAUCCAUCUUUCAUGACAGCUCAUUGGCGAAGAUUGAAGAAAAGGCUUCAGUGGGCACAGCCACACUGUAACGGCUACAUUUUUCUAAUAUCUCCAUCCCUCCCUAUAAUUAAAUUAUCCGACGUGGAAUAUGAGCUGGUAAAAUUAUAUGACGUGGCAUCCCUUACUCAGGAAGCCACCAGGAUUCCCUUUCAUUUCCCCUCCCCGCCUAUAAAAAGAAGCUCAAGAUGAAAUUCUUUUCACUCACUCUCACUCUCACUACUUCAUCAUUCUUCCCCUUUGCUCCAACAAUGGCGGUCUCAAUCUCCAGAGCUUCUCUUCUGAUAGCACUUUUCAUGGGAUUCGCUGCUCUAGCUAUAGUCAGCUCAGCUCCCGCCAAGUUUGAUGACCUCUUCCAGCCGAGCUGGGCUUUUGAUCACUUCGUCUAUGAAGGAGAGCAGCUUAAGCUCAAACUUGAUAACUAUUCCGGUACUUCACAUUCUAGAUUCCCCCUGUUUUUGGGUAUUAAAAAACAGAGCCUAAUGAUUCCAAUUCUUACCGUGUUGGUUUUUUUCUUACAGGUUCUGGGUUUCAAUCGAAGAGCAAGUACCUAUUCGGAAAGGUGACGGUUCAGAUUAAGCUUGUGGAAGGCGACUCCGCCGGAACUGUUACAGCCUUCUACGUAAGUAAAUAAAAAAACGGAGGUCCCGUUUAUUUUGUAAUUGGAUGGAAAACCCGUGUCCAAUAAUUGAUUUCGGUCCGUGCGAUGAUGUAUGAUUUCAAUUCCUGGGUCCCUUGACGUUUCUUGGACGCUUCUGUAUUUUUGGUUCAAAGUUUUGAUUUUUUGGUUGUUGAUUGCAGAUGUCGUCGGAGGGACUGACUCACAACGAGUUCGAUUUCGAGUUCCUGGGUAACAAAACAGGGGAGCCGUACGUUGUCCAGACGAAUGUGUUCGUCAAUGGCGUCGGCAACAGAGAGCAAAGGUUGAACCUUUGGUUCGAUCCCACCAAGGAUUUCCACCGCUACUCCAUCUUCUGGAACCCCAGCCAAGUCAUGUAAGCAAGCAAAUCAUCCCUAGUUGUUUGUUCUUCCCUCUGAUUCCUUGUUAUUUGUGCGAAAACUAAUGGUUAUUUUCUGGUUUGUUGGCAGAUUUCUGGUGGACGACACUCCGAUAAGGCAGCACACGAACUUGGAGCACAAGGGGAUCCCAUUCCCGAAAGACCAACCAAUGGGGGUCUACAGCUCGAUCUGGAACGCGGACGACUGGGCGACCCAGGGCGGUUUGGUCAAGACCGACUGGAGCCACGCGCCGUUUGUCGCUUCGUACAAAGGGUUUGAAAUCGAUGCUUGUGAAAGUCCGGCGACGGCGAUGUCGGCGGCUGAUCUGACCAAGAAGUGCACCAGCAGUGGCGAGAAGAAGUUUUGGUGGGAUGAGCCGACGUUGAGUGGGAUGAAUGUUCAUCAGAGUCAUCAGUUGCUUUGGGUUAAGGCCAAUCAUAUGAUUUAUGAUUACUGUAGUGAUAACUCGAGGUUCCCUGUUACGCCUGAGGAGUGUCGGCAUCACCGCCAUUGAUGAUCGAUUUGGGAAGUGUGGAAAAGCAAUGAUAUUUGGAAGGGAAUGGAUGAACUCUGUAAAAAAGGGAAGAACAUGUAGCUCCAUGUUUUGCUUUGUUGCUUGCUUCAUUUUGAUGGGUUUGAUUUAGGUGUUUGUAAUAUAAUUUGUGUUUGUUGAAAUGAAGUGAAGCAAAGUUGCAGACUGUUCUGUUCUUGAUUUGGAAGAGGAUGGAUAGAAUGCGAAAUCGAAAACAAAAACGCAUAAUAUGGUUUCAUUAAACAAGUUCACUCUCGCCAAAAAAAGUACGUUUGGAGGUGAUAUAAAGUCGGUGAUAUCUUUGAUGAAGAAGAAGAGUUAGCCUAGCUACUCGAUUAAUCCUUUUUUACUUAGAUUGGCAAAAUUAAUGAGAUCGGUUCACUAACCAAAUCGAUCAAUUAGCCUAAAAACAGUUACGGUCACUAAUCUGAAAUGCUGCGUUAUAAUAAGGCUCUCGGAGGAUUCUGAGGUACACACGGCUUCGAUAAAUCUUGCGUAACAAAUUAGUUGUUACCAAGAUUCGAAACUGAGAUUUCGGUGAUAAGUCUUGUGUAAGGGAUAAGGUUGAUCCUUGUUAUCUCACAUUCUUCUGCUAUGGAGCAGAAUAUGGGAGAUGGCUAAUAAUGUUCACGAUGAUGAUGAUGAUGAUGAAAUACUUUCAAAUGAAAAAAAAAACAAAGGUGGACCAUGGUUAGGCUUUGAGGAAUUCAUUGUAGUAUGGCCAGUUCAUUUCAGUGGCCUGUAGUGUACUACCACAGAGCUCUCAAUUGUCUUUUGUAAAAGGGGAUGGGAGGAAAACUAUGGAUGGAUUUUGUAAGAGAAUGAGUGGCUCUCUCUUUGUGGUGUGUGGGUGGAGAACAUGAUGAUGGAGUGUGUGUUUCGGUUAGGUUAUCUGGACCGAAACGGUUGGAUAUGGGGAGGAAGUUGACCGGUCUAUAUGCUGACAUUCUACUUAAAGUCAAUAGAACUUGAAAGUUUUGUCGUUGCUUCAUUGGUCGGCUCGACGGUUGGAGCAGAAUUAGGGUUAUAAGUGAUCUUUCUUUAUAGUACUAGUGGAAUCACUAACAUUUAACAGUUGCCAUAUAUUACGUAUUGAUUGUGUCAAUUCAUUUUGUACAAAUAUGGUUUCCGAAACCUCGUAAUGUACAUACUUGUUAUUACACACAACUUCUUUCUCUCCCGACAAUUCUUCCACACUUCUUUCUCUGCGCUUUGUCUCUCUACUAUCGAGUUGAAUUCGGGUUUACCCAUAUGGAGGCCUUGAACCUCCAUUGGCUGAGAGAGCAUGUACCUACAAUUACAAAUCACUUAGGCUCAACUACCACAAUUAUUGGACUAGACUACUUGUGUCCAAAACCUCUUACCAUUCUUCUGAAUUUCAACACACGACACAGCCAAUUCAUGAAGAAGUUAAACGUGUAAACAUCACACAACCAAAGCAAAAGAAACAAGGCAAUCUUUUCUACCUGUGGGGCGAGAUUCUGACUCGGAUAUCAUACACACUCAAAACAAAGUAGAGCAUUAAGAAUCAGAGCUCGUGAAAGGUGGGUGGAGCCAAGCCAAAAGCUGUAGGGUUAUGGAACUUGAUGGACCGAACAGGGCCGAUAGCGGACAACACUGCUAUUGACCCGAGAGUCCUUUCUGUCGGAUCAAUCCCACAGAUUAUGACCGUUGGACCAGAACACUUUUGGACCAAUUUUCAUCCAACAGCUAAAAGUGAUGGAGUAAUUUCGAAAAAAAUGCAUCAAUGGACCAUAACAGUCUUCUUUUUUCUUCAUUAUCUAUCUACAUUGUUUAACAACCAACAAUUGUUAUUUGUCUUGUUUUAUCCUUGUAAUCAAUGUCAAUAAUUUCAUUGGCGGUGGUGGCCACAGAUCGCCAUUUUGUGUUUAGUGGAGGUGAUGGAUAUCUACUUCACUUCACUUCUCAUUGAUGCAGGAAAAACAGAGGAAUUCAAUUCAAUGAUGGCCAAGAACAGAGCAAGAGAUAGAGACAAUUUGAAACCCCAUAUCAGAAUUUUCAAUGACUGGGUCCACGUUUGUAUAUUAAUGAUCGAGUCAUAAUUGUGGGAUCAAUCAGGUUACGAUUAUAUGCUACGAGUUAUGGAUCAAUCGGGUUACAAUUAUAUAUCACGAGUUAUGGAUCAAUCAGGUUAUAAGGUUAGUUAAUAUACAGAUUACGGAAUACUUGGAUCGCGGAUUUGACGAACCAUGUAAUUUUGAGUUCUGACUAAAAAAUAAUAAUCUCUCUAAAAAAGAAAACGGCUCAUUGAGUUCUGACUUACAAAGUAAAAAUAUGUGAAUAAGAAGAGCUACAGGUUGGGCUGGGCCUCAUUAGUUAAAUAGUUUAGGCCUUAAAAUUUAUGGAAUGGGCUUUUAUUUGGGUCCACAGUUACUAUUCAACACCCAGACCAUUAAAACUAGAGAGUUGGCCUGCAGUUUGUAGACCCGUCACCUUGAUCGGAUUGGUCUGCUAGCAACGUCACGCCGUCCGCUCACAACGCGGAAAGGUUACGAGUUCUAUGAUCGUCCAUCAUCAACGAUCCAGAUCUAGCACGGCCUUACUCGGCACUCAUGUGGAAAGCUGAGUUUGAUCACUAAAGCUCUAUGUAAAAACUCCUAACCAAAACAUCAAAGAAGGGAGACGGUAUAUCAAUAAACUUAAUUAAUACACUGAGGUUGUCCGCUCAUAGGAGCUAUACACUCAAUCAUACAAUGAGCCUCAAGUCGAUUUUACUCACAAAAUUGGGAACACGCCCGCGAUAUUUGUUUGUCUUAUUCUCUCACACUCUCCAUACGCUUACACCACCGAUGCACACUCUCACUAUCCUCCGUGACCCACCUUGCAAGAUAGCAGAAAACAAUCUACUCAACUCGACCCUCUAGACGAAUCACAACCUCCUGUCUCGAACAACAUCAUGCCGAGAAUUUCUGCUCAUUCUGGUUCGACACUAAACCCGACUCGACGUAGUCCGACUAUGUUGUCUGUAGGGGUUCGCCGUGAAAUCUCGGGUGUCAUGGCGGAAGCAGAAUCCAAGUGGCAUGGUUUCCUAGAUUUAUUGUGAAAAUUGAUUGGGUGAAUAUGUUUGACAAACUUUCUAAAGAGUGUUACGAGGUUGGAUUUGUGAUGGCUAAAUGUUUAUAGGAAAAUUAGAAAAAAGAUAAUUACAUAUAAAUAGGAGGAAUGUCACUAAAACGAUAUUUUUAUGAGUGGUUGGUUGUGCUUAGUGAUCUCUUGAACAGAGAAUCGGGCUUCUUUACAGGUGCAUCGAGUUUAACCUCAUUGUUUUAAAGUUUCCGAAAUUGUUUUUUUGGCGGUUGGUUGAGAGUUUCGAUUGAUAGUGGACUCUCGCUAUAUGUAUUUGGGCACCUAUUUGAUCUCAUUUAGGGCUCAUAAUUUAUUUUCGUACGAGGCAUGUUUCAACGGAUGGAUUUAGGGGAGUAUCUUUCAAACCACAACUGGACCCAUUUACGUAUCUAAGGCUUCAAUGUAUAUUACAUAAUUUUCCUUAUAUUUUAAGAAGAAUUUCAUAUACGGCCGUGUGUAUUUCAAAUUGUAUACAUUUCGGCUUAGUACACUAAACCUUUUGGAUUCGCCACUCAUUUUCCUGAACUACCGGUUGGCAUUGGGUCGAACCGGUUGGCGAGAUACUGCAAAUCAUGUGGACUGGGGGAGCUCAACGAUCGCAGUCAAUCUGCUAUGCAACCACUGGAAACGAUACCAGAACUAGCAGAGCAGGCAUUAAUUGUAUCACUCGGACGAUACAAUAUAAUUGUCGUCAACUGUUGCUCCAAAUAGACCGAGUCCCAAUAGUUUGGAUGAUUUUAUAAUAUAGUUUGCGGUACGUAUUAGAGUUUGUACGUUAUUUUAAUAUAGUAGUAUGUUUAUAAAAUUAUUAUUGGGUUGAAAUAUUAAAAAUUAUAAUUUAAAAAAGAUAGUAUGAGUUAAAAGUUAUUAGAAUGUCAAUAUCUAAAAAUACAUAUAAUUUGUGUUUUUAUACAUGUUUUUAUAACAUAGUAUUCAUAAUCCAAAAGGAAAUGCACGAAGCUAGAAAGCCAAGCUCAAUAUAUACUCUUCUUUUGGUGUUAUGAGUCGGGUGAUAUUUAUUUUUCGACGACUCACUUACUCGUGUGACGUGUUACAUCGAAUAUUAUACGUGGUGGAAAUCGAUUAUGAAAUGAAAUUACGCGUUACAUCGAAUAUUGUACUGUGGUCUAUAUUAUACCGGACUAUCACUUCAAAACUGUUCUUGGAAUAAAAGAUUGAAGGGUGUUGCCAGCUUUCGGUGAGGAGAUGGGCAAGCCUAGACAUCAAAGGAGGAGCCAAAUACGCAUUUAAUUACACAGCAGAUUUUUGUCCUCUGCCUGAGUCCUCCCGCAGCAUCGUUUUCCACACACGGUUGCCCAUUACUACGCAAAUACUGAUAAUAAAAGGAAACCAGACCAUCCAUUCUCUCCACUGUGGUCAUCAAACUAUACGAUUUGUAACAGUAUGGUCAUCAACCUUUUAGGAAAGCAAGCUACAUAUGUAACAAACACGGUCGAUUUGUAAUAAAAUUGACUUACUUUCUGUAGGCAUGUGAUGAGAAAUCGUUAGAAAUUUAAGUUAAAUUUUUAUAGGCCAACACACAUAACAUCAACAAUUAAAACCCUUCAAAAAUAUUUUUUUUUUCAUUGGCUAUUAUUUGAAUGGUUUAAAAUGGUGUAAGUUCAAUUUUUAAGCAUUCCCAACAUGCAUGUCAAAUAUUAAUCACUUUGAAAAUUUCCAGUCAAAUUUGGUCAAUUUCCAAAGGGGUCAAUCUAUGGAAAUGAACCAUUUUGACAAGAAAAUUUAAAAAUGUUUAAAACGACUAAUAUUUGACAUGCGUGUUGAAAAUGAUUAAAAAAGUGACAUUGUUGUAACCCUUGUAAUAAUGGUCAAAGGAAGUUAAAAAUGUUAUUAACUUCACUUGACUAUUAUUUGAAGGAUUUAAUAUGGUAAAACCUCAUUUAGUAGUCAUUCCCAACAUGCAUGUCAAAUAUUAGUCGGUUUAAUAUUUUUAAAUUUUCAUGUCAAAUUUGAUCAAUUUCCAAAGGGGUUAACCUAUGAAAAUGGACCAUUUUGACAAAAAAAUUUAAAAUUUUCAAAUCGACUAAUAUUUGACAUAAAUGUUUGAAAUGGCUAAAAAUCAAGUGUCAUUAUGGUAACCCAUAUAAACAAUGGCUAAACGAAGUUAAAAAUCAUUUUUAAUCGGUGUUAUUUUAACAUGUUGAAACAUAUUUUUUAACUUCAUUUGGUUAUUACUUGAAGGGUUUAAUAUGAUGAAACCUCAUUUUUGUAUCAUUCCCAACAUGCAUGUCAAAUAUUAGCUAAUUUGAGAAUUUUCAAUUUUCAUGUCAAAUUUGAUCAAUUUCCAAAGGGGUUAACCUAUGAAAAUGGACCAUUUUGACAAGAAAAUUUCAAAAUUUCAAAUCGGCUUAUAUUUUGCAUGGAUGUCAAAGAUGGCUAAAAAAUCGAGUGUCUAUAUGGUAACCCCUGUCAACAAUGGCCGAACGAAGUUAAAAAUCAUUUUUACUCGUUGUUAUUUUAGCAUGUUGGAAAAUAUGUUAAACUACAUUUGGUUAUUACUUGAAGGGUUUAAUAUGGUAAAACCUCAUUUUUAACAUGGUGAAACCUCAAUUUGUAGCUAUUACCUACACGUGAAAUAUUUGGCCAUUUAAAAAGUUCUAAUUUCCACCUCAAAAUUUGUCAAUUUCCAGAGGGAACACCUAUGGAAAUGAACCAUUUUGACAAGAAAAUUUCAAAAUUUCAAAUCGGCUUAUAUUUGGCAUGGAUGUCGUAGAUGGCUGAAAAAUUGAGUGCCAUUAUGGUAACCCCCGUAAACAAUGGCCAAACGAAGUUAAAAAUCAUUUUUACUCGGUGUUAGUUUAGCAUGUUGGAAAAUGUUUUUAACUCCAUUUGGUUAUUACUUGAAGGAUUUAAUAUGAUGGAACCUCAUUUUUGUAUCAUUCCCAACAUGCAUGUCAAAUAUUAGCUAAUUUGAGAAUUUUCACAUUUAAAAAGUUCUAAUUUCCACCUCAAAAUUUGUCAAUUUCCAGAGGGAACACCUAUGGAAAUGAACCAUUUUGACAUGAAAAUUUCAAAAUUUCAAAUCGGCUUAUAUUUUGCAUGGAUGUCAAAGAUGGCUAAAAAAUCGAGUGUCUAUAUGGUAACCCCUGUCAACAAUGGCCGAACGAAGUUAAAAAUCAUUUUUACUCGUUGUUAUUUUAGCAUGUUGGAAAAUAUGUUAAACUACAUUUGGUUAUUACUUGAAGGGUUUAAUAUGGUAAAACCUCAUUUUUAUAUCAUUCCCAACAUGCAUGUCAAAUAUUAGCCAAUUUGAGAAUUUUCAAGUCUAAUUUGAUCAAUUUCGAAAGGGGGUUAACCGAUGAAAAUGGACCAUUUUAACAAGAGAAUUUCAAAAUUUGAAAUUGGCUUAUAUUUGGCAUGCAUGUCGUAGAUGGCUAAAAAUCGAGUGCCAUUAUGGUAACCCGUGUAAACAAUGGCCAAACGAAGUUAAAAAUCAUUUUUACUUGGUGUUAUUUUAGCAUGUUGAAAAAUAUUUUAAAAAAAUUUGGUUAUUAGUUGAAGGAUUUAAUAUGAUGAAAACUCAUUUUUGUAUCAUUUCCAACAUGCAUGUCAAAUAUUAGCCAAUUUGAGAACUCUCAGUUUUCAUGUCAAAUUUGAUCAAUUUUCAAAGGGGGUUAACCGAUGAAAAUGGACCAUUUUAACAAGAGAAUUUCAAAAUUUGAAAUUGGCUUAUAUUUGGCAUGCAUGUCGUAGAUGGCUAAAAAAGUGAGUGUCAUUAUGGUAACCCUUGUAAACAAUGGCCAAACAAAGUUAAAAAUCAUAUUUGCUUGGUGUUAUUUUAGCAUGUUGGAAAACAUUUUUAACUUCAUUUGGUUAUUACUUGAAGGGUUUAAUAUGAUGAAACCUCAUUUUUUAGUCAUCCCCAACAUGCAUGUUAAAUAUGAACUUAUAAAAAUUGACCAUUUUUACAAGUAAAUUUCAAAAUUUUCAAAUCGAUUAAUAUUGGACAUGCAUGUUGGAAGUAGCUAAAACCUCAAAUUUCAUCACGAUAACCCCUGUAAAUAAUGAUCAAAUGUUCAAAAUUUCAAAUUGGUUUAUUUUCUGCAUGUUGAGGUGUGUUGCACGAAUUGCAUUAUGUUAACCUUGACCAUAUACAAUUUUGCGGAAACCAAAAUGUUUUACCAUACAUUUCAACAUGUACAUACAAUAAUAAAGCAGACGAGUCAAUAUGUUCAAUCAGCUCCUGAAGAGAGUCCGAAGAAACAACCUAGUAUAAAUAUAAGCUAAUUCGGACAUAACACCAACCAAUUGUACGGUUGUAACAACACGAUCAUUUCAUUCACCAUCUCUUCGUCCAAAAACACUUCUGAGUUGACAUAGCAUCCAUUAUGGCCUAUACACUACAAGAAAACGGUUGGGUCACGAAAAUUAGAACUGGACCCAGCUAUUCAGAAUUUCGUAAAUAGAUAUCUUAUAUUUAUCUUAAAUCCAACUCAUUCAACCAAUUAAGCAUGCAAUUUGCUUGACUCGAGCCAUAUUAAACUGAANNNNNNNNNNNNNNNNNNNNNNNNNNAAAAAAACAUGAAAUUCAUAAUAUGUAAAUGAGUUUGGUCUAUGAUAGAAUAGGUGACAUGAUUGAGGGUGAAGUGAUUAUAAAUAAUGAGUUCACAUAGUGAUUUGUCUAUUUAACAAAGUUUAAUUUCGGAAUGAGAGUUUACAGUAUGACCACACCUUUAUGAUUGAAACCGGUUGGUAGAUGUUAGUUACUUUUUAAAGGUUGAUGAUGCAAUUAUACAAAACCCAAUAGUUCGAUGACCACAAUGGAUAUUAAGUCACCAUUCACUCCAUGUAUAAAUACAAGCUAAUCCCAGUUCCCUGUGUUUCAACAUCUUCUUACUCCACACUUUGAAUGAAGAAGAAGGUCAGAGCAACACUCAAAACACUUAACCAAAUCUUCCCAUUUCACCAUUCACUAAUCUUUACAGAUCAUUGCUUCCUAAUUUAAUCUCAUCUUCCCACCAACAAUGGCCUUUAAAGCCAUCCUUCUUCUCCUCCUUCCCCUGAUCUUCCCGUUAACCCAAACCACCGCCGAUUCCGUACCCACCAAGAAAAUCAUCCACCAUUCAGAUCCGCCGUAUCCAACACCGGGGAGAGCCCCUACUUCUCAGAAACCAUCGGAAGCAGCUGCAGUAGCGGCAGCCGAGGCGCCCAAAGAAGCGGCGGCGGAGGCAGAGGAGGCGAAGGAGCAGAGGAAGCGGCACAUUGACAAAUCAGUGGCCGGCGGCGGAGUCAUACUCGGCGGACUUAUCACCGCCGUCUGUAUGGCGGUCUUCUGCUACAUCCGGGUCACUAGAAAGAGAGACGACGAGCUACUACCCAUUGUCAUCCCGAAUCGGCAGUCGACCGAUGCGCUGGUUGUGACCAAGCUGCAGCAGCAAUCCGUUGUCGUUUCAUCGUCAUCUGCGCCGCCGCCGGCUUCUGUUUCUCACUAAUUAGUUAAAUUAAUUACUUGUGUCGUCAUAGGUUAUGAUUUAGUAGCUUCAGUUAGGUGGGUUAACAGUCAUGAUCAUUCUUUGAUUAGUGUGUAAUUCGUGUGAAUGCAUAAACAGCUCAAUACCAUUCUACUCUGUUCUCAAAUCCUCAAUUUUGUGUUCUUAAUUGGAAGAAGAUGAUCUACUUGCACUUUGAUAAUUCGUCGUUUUAUGAAAUACCAAUGAACUGAGAAGUUUGAUGGGAUUGGAUCUCUGGACUCUGGUAAAGCUGUUGUUACCCAAUUUGUUGCCAAUUUGAGAGUAAUAUUCAUAUACAAUGCACCUAGGUUUGUAGAAGAGAUCAAUCACAAAUUUGAGACAAAGCCUAAAAUGCCAACCAAGCAGUAGUGCGGCUUAAGCCCAGUAACUUUAGCCCGAAUAUUAGGCCCAGUGGCCCAACUCAGCCGCACAAAUGAUCCAGUUACUCUCUAUCAUUUUCUUUCCCUCUUGAAAUCCCAGAUCAGUUUCAACAAUUCGUCAUCUUCCUCAACGAUCUUUCUCAAGAACUAAAGAACCAACUCAAAGCUCACUCCUCGCCGUAACAAUGGAUUCCUUCUACCAGAGAUGGAAAGCAACGAUCUACUUCGCAAUCUCUACAGUCCUAGCCUUCACCGCCUUCUCCAUAGCUCUACACUCCACCGUCACCCCACUCCACCCGUCACCUCCUUCCUCUGCUCCUUCCCUCCCACCGCCGGCGACGAAUCUUCGCCGCCUCUCCACCAACGCCACGCUCUACCUCCGAUAUUCUGGAUUCUCCUUCUCUGCAUCCUCCCUACUGGCAUACCCUGAGACAUUCUUCUCCUCCGCAAACUCCACCGUCUUCGUUGUCAAAGACUCCGUCUUGCCCCCCGCCGUCGCCGCAUCUCCGUCCUCUGGCGCCUCCGGCGAAGCUCCUCGGUUGAUUCUGAAGCAGCUCCUUCUCUACCAUACGUCUCCUCUCAGCCUCCCCAUGUCGGAGAUUCUCAAACUCCCUCCUGGAACGUGCCUCCCGACUCUCGUCGACGGAAAGACACUAGUCGUCACCAAGAUCGACGUGGAGAACCGAGCCGCGGAGAUCAAUGGCGUCAAGAUUUCCAAUCCCGACGUCGUCAUCGAAGGUUCGGUUGUCAUCCACGGCGUCAGCGAGCAAUUCUCGUCCAUGGACACCGGCGAUGGCAGCGGUCUUAUCUCUCCAACCACCUGCGACGCCGCCGCCGGGAGGAACUCGAGCUUACUCACGGACUCCGUCGACUUCAGGAAUAUCGUCCACUGGUCCAAGAUCGUGCGGUCACUCAGCUUAAAGGGGUUCGUCUCAUUCGCCGUCGGAUUGAACUCUGUACUCGACGGGAUUCGCAAAGACUACAAGGACUUGAAAUCAGUGACCGUAUUCAGUCCACCGGAUUUCUCCGUCAGUUCUUCUUCCGCUCCGAUGAUGGACAGAGUCGUCAGAAUUCACAUCGUGCCACGGAGGAUUUCCUACGAAGAGCUCAUGACCUUGACUAACACGACGUCGUCUCUAAAGACUCUGUUGCCUGGUCAUAAUCUGGAGGUGAAACUUGAGGCACUGAAGAAUAAUGCUACAGCAGGACGAUUGACCGUCAAUGGAGUCGAGAUUCUCAGGCCUGAGAUUUUCAAGUCCGAUAAGUACAUCGUCCAUGCAAUCUCGAAACCUCUCCGGAUCGGUAAGGUUUCGAAGAAGAAAUCUAGUAGUUAGUACCUACGAAGGAAUAACAUCUGUUGUAGAAACUAAAGUAGUCCCAUUUUCUGAACUAAUCUCAGUGUUAUAGCUGCUAAUCUUCUUCUAUUAUGAACAUGACUGUAAGUUUUGCUUACUAGUAUGAUCAGAUUCUUUGCAAAUUCUGAACGAGAUCCUUCUUCCCUUCUGAUGUUGUUUCAGUUUGUUAGCUACCAAUUCCAAAUUUCCGAUCGGGGACAGUCUUUACAAGUCGAACUAAUUCGACGAAAACACGAAAGACCUUCAAACAGCAAGUACUCACAACAGCAUCAGUCAUGGCUGCACAUAGCCAUCUCAGCUGACAUUUCUUAAAUUCAAUCAGGAUAAACACUCUGAAUCCAACUUUUUCUGAUCAGUAUAUCUACAAUGCAGCAGUAUCACAUGAUCAAUUCUUUCUUCAUUCUGCAUACAUAAGGAACAUACACUUCGCCAAACACCAUCCUGUACGUUUUUAAAACUAACAAUGCUGAGUAUGCUUCAAUAACUAGUUACACUAAAGGAUAUGCAUCUGCUGCAUCAUAUGGAUACAGAGCUGUAGUUCUUUUGCUAGCAGGUUCAGUCAUCAGCUAAGAGUAGUUAAACUUAAUCAUGAACAUUCAGUAAGCUCGAUCAGAAGAAACCAAUUUCACAAUUAUCCUAGCUGUUCAUAAAAACUCAUGCUAUACAAACAAACAUACAUGGAAGAAGCUGAGCAAUAACCAGCAGAGGAAAAGGACUUUAGGAAGAAGAAGAAUUGUUGAUAACUCUCAAGCGAAUCCUGGUCAUCUUCUUUCCAAUCAGUGUAACAUUCUUCGCAUCGACGAACUUGGACCUCUGAAACAGUCGAACAACUUCAUCCACAGUCUCCUUCCCACACUCUUCCACGGCGACAACGCAGUACCCACGGGUAACCACAGUCCUCUCCAUCUCGGAAACGAAUCUCCUCGGAAACAACGCCUCCGCCAAACGAGCAGUGAAGGCAAUGUCGAAAACGUCGUCGAAGAACGGCAAGUUCAUUGGAUCGGCCUUUCUCACCAACGGCAGGGACUCGACGAGCUCGACUCCGAUCACGUCCUCAACUCUGAUUUGUUGCAGCGCCAUGACCUCGUGGCCGGCGCCGGCGGAGACGCAGAGGACGCGGGUGUGGUUGUGUAGGAGCCCCGAGGAUCGAAGAUCGGAGAAGAAGUUUGUGAAGGAAGUGAGCUGAGAGGUCCAGGCUUUGGAGGACCAUAGUCGGAGAUUCUUCUUCUCCCUGGAGAGGUACGGACGGUGGAGGGAGGAGUCGCAGGUGGAGGAAGGGAAUCUCUGGUGAGGCUUGGUGAUUGGGGUUUCCGGUGGAAUGCAGGUUUCGGGGAUUUGGAGGUAGGUGAUGAGGAGGGUCAGGGUUGCGAUUGCAAUGCUGGCGAUUGAGACCCUGUUGAGCAAAUUCUCUAUGCGUCUCUCCAUGGAAUGUUUGGAGGGGUUGGAUCGGAGAGGUUGUUUAUUCCGCCAUCGAUGACAUUUGAGGAGAACCAAUGAUAAGGUGGCAAUGAAUUGGGAUAAACGCAGCAACCCAUUGAUGACAUUUGAGGAGGACCAAUGAUAGGUGGCCAUGAAUUGGGAAAAAAACAGAAACUCAUCGAAGCACAGCGAAACGUUGCGGAUUUGAGGGACGAAACUCGAAACGUCACGGCGACGGGUGGGCUGAGUCAGAAAUCCUCGGAAAGAAAACAAAAUGGAAAACGCGAAAACGUUUCGUAUUCACCAAACUAAAUAGGAAACGCGAUAAAUUGACGAAAACGACAUAUUGGCGAUACGUAUCGCAUGACAGUAUUUCGCGGUAUUUAAGUGAUAUAUUGAGUUUUCUUACGAUACUUUGACCCGGGCUAUAUUUUCCUAUAAUACAUUAAUUUUUAAAUCGGGGAUUAUUAUUUAUCUGUGGGCUGUACGGGCCUGGCCCAAACCUUUGCGGCCGAAUCUAAGUUGGGUCCGCCGAAAUUUCGAAGAGCCUCAAAACGCGGCUCGGAGCUGAGUCCAACCCAAACAACCUUUUAAAAGAAAACGACUUUUAAAACGACACAGUUUAAAGAGACAGAGAGAGGGAGACAUACGGCGGUGGUGCCGGCGAGCUGGAGCUGAACGGAGGAGAUUAUCUGAGGAAGCUAGCUGGCGGCCUUGUGCUUGAACAUGUUGGGAUGCUGCAGAAGCUCCCUACCCUUGAAUUACCUUGGACGAUUAUAUCCGUCGCCGGCGGAAGCGGGCUGCAUGUCGGUCGGCAGCAAAGGCCCCAGAGAGACCCUUUGCUAAAUCGAGCUUGGCUGGGUUUUUGGUGGGCUGUCAGAUUGACGGAAGAGGAUUUACAGAGAGAAAUUGAUGGAAGUGCAUUGCAGCUCCCUUUAGACGCAAAGGAGAUAAUUGGGAGAUUUGGAAAUCCAGUCGAGAAAUACUCUGCAGAAGCAGAACAAGGAUUGGAAAUCGGAAUAAAAGGGACGAUGGCUCUGUUUCUCCUCCUCCGGCGCCGAGAGGGACGAAGAAGAGUAAGUAGAUCGAUCUGUUUGAAGAAGAAGAAGAAGAAGAAAGGAAAUUUCCGUCGAGGAAAUUGGUCGGUGAGUUUGAGAAGGUUGUCGAAUCUAAAUCUGAAUCGGUUCGAAGGAGGACGAGGAGCAACAAUCUGAUCAGUGAAUCUGAAUAACUUGUAAGAACAGAAAACAAUGAAUGAAAAGCCAUUUUAACAGUGUAAAUCUUUCAAGCAAGAACAGUACACUGAACCGAAUCGGAUUGUGAUUCUUCGUCGGAGUCGGUCCGAUCGAUAAAAACACGGUUAAGCAAGUGUGCAACUCUUAACAUGGUUAAUCCAAUCCCACCAUUAUCAUUGCAGGAAACCAUUAUACAGUGAGGAUCUGUAGUUUUUAUUUGCAGCAUUGUUACGACUAACUUUUGGUCUAAGCUACGAUAUAAUUCGAGAUAAAUUGCAUAGCUUCAAAGUAGUGUUCACUGUUUCAGAAGUCACAACUCUUUCAGAUUAUGGUUCUCUUCAAUGGCGCCUCACAAUUUCCCCAACUUGCCGGAUUUCUCGGUGAUCAGCUUGUACGUCGAGGCUCUUUCCCACGGUACGCUGCCGAAAUCGUCGUUGCUGUCUUCCAUGCGUCGACAAAGACCUGCCACAUCAAGGCACCGGCACCGGAGUGCUUUCUCUUUGCGGAUUUGUAUAUGAUGUCGUAGACCGCCUUGUAGAGCCAGUCGCGCUGGGACGGCUGGAAGUCCUUGUUCAUGUUGGAGAGCCCGAAUUCAGUGAAGAGAACCGGCUUGUUUAGCUUUUUGUGGCCGUCUUCGAUGUGCGACCGCAUCCACAUGGAGACGAAUGUCAGUUUGUCUUCGAAUGAUUGGUGAGCAACCCUUAUAAAAGCCAGAAAGUUCAAAUAAGCAUUACGUGUGUGACAAGUUAAUAAGUUAUGACAGCAUAUACAGCUAUUUUGGCUCAUCCUUCCCACUUGCAUUGCCACCUAACUGUAUCAGUUCCUGAGUAUCAUGCAUGGCAUGUAUUUGUGCCAGUUUCUCUUCAUCCAGGUGGCAAUGGCACAUUUCAUAACCGGAGCAUCAUCAGCUAGCAAAUACACAGUUUUCAUACAUACCAGGGAAUGCUAAACAGUAAACUCACUUUUAUACUCAUCUUCUAACAGUAAUGCCGUAUAAAUAGCCUUUUAUCAUCAUCAUCAGAAGAAAACAGAGCAAAACAGAAACAGAGAGACUAAUAAUGGCGAACAGCCACCAGCUGAAACUCCUCCACAGUUUCCAAGUUCCCCCAGCACCUGCAACUUCCGCCGUCGUCCUCCCGCUGACAUGUCUCGACUACCCAUGGCUAUUCUGCAAGCCGAUGCAGCGACUCUUCCUGUACGAUUUCCCUCACCCAACUCAUCACUUCACUCAAAACAUCCUCCCGGAGCUUCAACGAUCACUCUCCGUCGCGCUUCACCACUUCUUUCCUCUUUCCGGAAAGCUCGUCUCCCCUACGCCGCCUUGCCUCCCUUACCUUUCCUUCUCCGACGGAGACUCUGUUCCUCUCACCGUCGCAGAGUCGACGGCUGAUUUUGACCGGAUAGUCGGGAACCAUCCGAUAAAUGCAGGUGGAUUGAGUCAUCUGGUUCCUAAAUUACCCAAUUCGGUUUUGCAAACUGAUGGGAGUCGAUUGGUUCCGCUACUGGCGAUUCAGAUCACUCUGUUUCCGGGGCGAGGGAUCUCCGUCGGCGCUCAAUUCGCCCAUAUUGUUUCCGACGGCGUGUCGUUUCACCACUUUUUGAAAAUGUGGGCUUAUCUUUGCAAGAAAACAUCACUCGAGGAGGAUUUGGAUGAGGCUCUUCCGUUGCCGUCUCACGAAAGGGAAAGGGAAAUCAUCCGGCGAGCUUAUCCAGGUCUUGAAGCGGCGCUGGCCAGCCAGUGGUUCGGACUCGGGUCGGGCUGGGACUUCGAUUCCGGGCGAGCCGAUUUAACCGGAAGCGAUAAGGUUCGGUUGACUCUCGUGAUAACCCGGCCGAUGAUAGAACGGAUUAAACUGUGGAUCCGGGGAACCAAUCCGACGCCAUUUCAUUUAUCUGCUUUCGUGGUGACGUCAGCUUUGCUCUGGACUCCAAUGAUCAAAUCCUUUGCGAUCGGAGAGGAAUCCGACGAUUCGGAAACGCUCUACCACCUCAAUUUCGUCGCCGAUUGCCGGCACCGGUUAGGACUCGACGGAUUAUCAGCAUCCUACUUCGGGAACUGCCUAGCACACUAUUACGUGUCGAUGAAAAGAGGGGAGGCGGCGGAUGUGGCGGCAACGGCGGAAGCGAUUGGGAAGAAGGUGGAAGAGCUGACCGAUGGCAGAGGGGGUUUGUUGUUGAAGGGGGCGGAGAGGUGGGUGCCGGAGUGGAAUGAGCUGGCGGAAGGAGGGAGGAUGGUUACGAUAGCUGGGUCGCCGAAGUUGAGAGCUUACGAUACAGAUUUUGGGUGGGGGAAGCCGAGGAAGAGCGAGGUGGUUCAUUUGGCCGACGGCAAGGGGAUUAUAGCGCUGUGCGAUAGCGGAGAUGGAAGCGGCGGCGUUGAGGUCGGGUUGGCUAUGGAGAGGAGUAAGAUGGAGGUUUUCAGCGGGUUAUUUCAAGAGUUUCUCGGCCAAGUUUGAACGAUUCGCCGUCGUUUAAUUGUUUGUCUGGUCAAAAAAGCGUUGACUAAUAAGUAAUAAGUACUAGUUAGAAAUUUGAAAAAUAUCAUGAGCGGUUGGAUCGGGACUCGUGAAUUAAAGUUAAGUAUAUUAUCAAGAAGGUAAUCUGAUCGCCGAUUACUUAGCUGAUUUUAGUUCGAGGUGUUUAUCUUAUAUUGUUUUUGCAUUUGUUAUAUGACUUUUUUAGAAUUUCCUAAACUCGUUUGAUUAUAAAUGAAAUUUUAUGCGUCUGGAUUUACGAAAAAUACACAAACUCAUUCAAUCAUUCUCGAUUCCCAAUUGAGCCGAACUUCAUUAUAUUUAAAUUUUGUUGAUUAUUUUUAAAAUCAAACGAAACCAAAAUCAAAUCGGUAUAAAUCACCUACAAACCUUUCUCACACCAAACGAUGAGCUGAUCACGAACGGCUUGACUCGGCCUUAAUAGCCAUUAUCCAAACAUCAAAUGGUAAAACAAUUUAUUAGUGAUGAAUUAGUUACUUAAUCAAGUCGCAAUAUAAGGACUAAACCGAGAUAAUACAAAAUACUGUUGAUGAUUACUUGGGGUUACGGAAUCUUUGGGUAGUAAACUAAUGCAAAAGAAACUUCGAUGCUCAAUAUGUAAAUAUUGAAGACUUUUUUUGAAAUUUUUUUUAAUUGAAAGCUCUAAACCCUACAGCCUCGCUGUCCAGAGUUGGAGAAGAGACGAAACGAUUCAGAGAUGGGCAAUGGAAGAAGAUUCAGCGGAGGCGGCGGUAGUGGCCGACGGAGGAACCAAUCACAGCUCAGGCAAGACGUGGAAGCGUGCCGGAAGAAAGACUCCACCGCCGACGAUAUCGUCCAACUUCUCCGCCCGCAGUCCCCCAUCUACGGCCGGAUGAAACACCAAGUCCUAGCUAGAAACGUCCGCCAAAUCAUCGAACCUCCACCGUCACAGUUCUGUAAGAAACUCCGGAGACCUUGGGAAGAAGAAGAGGAGGAAGAAUACGAUUAUGACGAAGUAUGAUCUUCCGUCCGUCUUAAAAAGAAGAAGAGGACCCGUGAGAGCGAGGAAGAGUUGCAGCUGCAGGACAAGGAGAAUAAGUGUUUGAGAAAAUAUAGCGCCAAUCGAUCUUCGGAGUCGGACUCGUCAGAAUCUGAUUCGAAUUCGGAGUCGGAUUCUCAAUCGACGCCGUCUUCCACGUCGGAGGAUGGAGAGCCUGUGUUCGACGUGACUAAGUCGUUGCUGCGACAAAGUUACACGCCGGAGAAGAACGUUGAGGUGGAGCUAGCCAGUAGUUCCAAGGACAAGGUUGCGAUGAUGAAUGGAAGCAAUGGAGGUAAAGGUAAAGGAGGGGAAAGGGUUAGGAAAUCGGAAGGUAAAGCCUUGAGCAGCGAUAGCAUUGAGGUUAAGGGUGGUAAAGAAGGGCCGAGGUUCAAGGAUUUUGGAGGGUUGAAGACAGUGCUGCACGAAUUGGAGACUGAAGUGUUCUGUCUGGUAUGGAUUCCCAGCUUGUCCUUUUUGGUUCCUUUGUAUUUGAUGGUAUUGAAUUUCUGAUAGAACUACAGGUGAAGCAAUGUACUGUGUGAUUAGCCGAUCAAGGGAGUAAUUAGAAAAUAUCAUAUGCUUUUGGUGACGCUAGUUGAAUUGUGAAUUGUCAGGUGCGUCGGAGGAGUAUAUUCCAGAGCUUUUCUCUAAAGCAUAUAGGACAGCACCGUCGAUCAUUUUCAUUGAUGAGAUCGAUGCCAUUGGUUCCAAGAGAGAAAAUCUACAGAGAGAGAUGGAGCGAAGAAUCGUGACGCAGUUGAUCACUUGCAUGGACGAAUACCAUAAACUUGUGGAACCAGCUGGUGAUAAUUCUAAGCAAGACAGCUCCGAACAAAGAAGUGGCUAUGUUCUAGUCAUUGCAGCUACUAACAGGGCUGAUGCCAUUGAUUCUGCACUAAGAAGGCCCGGAAGAUUUGACAGGGAGAUUAUGUUGGGUGUCCCGGACAAGGAGGCUAGGGUUCACAUUCUUUCAGUGCUUACAAGCAAAUGCACGCUCGAGGGUUCAUUGGAUCUUUCGGUAAUAGCUAGGCUUACCCCUGGAUUUGUCGGUGCUGAUUUAGGCGCCCUAUGUAGGAAAGCAGGCAACCUCGCUGUGAGGAGGAUUGCUGCUUCGAGGAGAUCCACGUUAUUAUCUGAAGAACUUUCAUUACCUGCAGAACUUAGGGAGGACCAAAGUAUGGACUGGUGGAAAACACAUUGGUUAGCUGAGGAGAUUGAAAAACUUCCCAUCACAAUGGAUGAUUUUGAGGUAUGGAUAUUGUGGAGCUAGAUGUUAUUUAUUCUUUCCUUGUGAACUUUUAGUGUAUCCUCUUGGCUUUCUGCUGCCUAUCUUUACCGGCUUUCUCUCCUCUACAGCAAGCAGCGAAGUUGGUUCAACCGUCAUUAACAAGAGAAGGAUUCUCUUCUGUUCCCAAUAUAACAUGGGAAGAUGUUGGAGGACUUCAAAGCAUUCGGAAUGAGUUGGAGAGUUAUGUAGUCCAAGUGCAUAAAAAAUCCAAAAGUCUACCAGGUAUAUUUGACAGUGGCACAGUUAUAACUUCUUAUAACUGCUAGUUAAUAUUAGGUUUUGAUGUCAAACCUUUGUAAUGUUUACUUUCACUUCAAAGAAUCGCUAUCUCAAAUGGCUCACUGACAUCAUGGUAUGAUGAUCAUAGCAUUUUGGAGUGUCCUCGAAGACCGGGAUUUUGCUUUCCAGGCCCUCCUGGCUGUGGCAAGACACUGAUUGCCAAGGCUGCUGCUAAUGAAGCAGGUGCUAACUUUAUUCACGUCAAGGUUAGUAAUAGCUCCGUAGCUGUUUCAGCUCACUUGGUAGCAUAGUUUUUGUUCAAUUAGAAUAGUUGAAACUUACUGCUUACUAUUUCGAUGUAUAGGGUCCUGAGCUACUUAAUAAGUAUGUUGGAGAAAGUGAACUGUUUAUUAUCUUUGUUAAGUUUCGAAAGAAUCUUGGUCUUGUUUUCUCUGCAUCGUUCCAAUUUUAUCGGAUGUCUCAGAGGACAAGAAUAUCGGUCUUGUGGAAAGUUGUGAUUGCUAUUAAUCGUAAAUACAUCCCAAGUUCAAAAAAUAUGGGUCGAGAUUGGUUAGAAUACCGAUCGUAAAUGUGUUGAUAUGGCCUAUUUCGUAAUGAAUUGGAUCAUAUCCAACCUAGCACUGUCAAUUUUCAAAAUCGUAAGUUCAAAGUGUUCUUUUAAGAACAUCUGAUAAAAUUGAAGCGAUACAAAGAACAUGGUAUGUGCACAAGGAUAACAUAUAUAGAUCAUGAGUUGAGCAUUUAAUUCGAACAUCCGAAUUGGACUACAAACCGAUUACCAUAACCAAUUUCGAAUUUGAUUCGGACGGGCAGACCGACUACCAACGAACUUCCCGCCACAUAUUUCUCCUAAACACUAUAUUUUAGUUUUUAAAAUUUUCAUAUCUUAUUAGUCUCCUCCUCCGAUAAAGAUUCAUAGUCGCAAUUUUUUCCAAUUUAGUAUUCGUUUUCCCGAUCCGUCUCCAUGCAAAAUACGGUAAUGAAGCAGAAAACUCGACAACAAACUCGAGAGAAAUCCUCGUUGAAUCUUUCAAACAACCCAACAAAACAAAAGAAAUCACAAUCAAUGGAUCGAAUUCCCACAAAAGAAUCCAUCUUUCUUCCCCUCCGAUGGAAACCCGAUCAGCAAAACGGAAAAGGCAGCGACUUUGCUUCGCCGCCGACGAAACCCUGCGCAUCGACAUGAUCACCGACCUCCCUGACGCCAUCCUCCACCAUAUCUUGUCUUACCUCCCGAUCAAGUCCAUCGCCCAAACCUCCACUCUCUCCAAACGCUGGAGGACAAUCUGGUACUCCUUCCCGGAUCUCGAUUUCACCACCGCCUCCGCCGCCGGGACGGUGGCGGCGGCGUCAAUCGCCACCGUCCUCUCUCACCGUCGGAACAAGAACACCACCGAAAACAACCUCCGAUCACUCCGCUUCUCUGCCUCCCGGCUUGCAUUCUCAGCCCUCAACUCCAUCAUCCGUCUCGCAGUCCGCCACCGCGUCCAGAACCUCGACGUCGAGGUAUCGACAAACGACUUCUUCAACUUCCCGAGAUCCCUGAUCUCAAGCGAGACGUUAAGAAAAUUCAAAUUGAAAUCGACCUCCCCUGGAUUCCGCCUCCUCCCUUCUUCAAUCAUGUCCCGCGGAUUCCAAUCCCUAAUUUCGCUUUCCCUAUCGCUUAUCAAAUUCACCGAACAUCCUUAUUUAACAGAUCUAUUCACUGGGAAUUCCUUUCCGUGUCUGAAAACGCUGGAUCUGGACAAGUGUCACGAAUUGAAGCGAUUGAAAGUCUCCUGCCAGGGGAUUGAACGAUUCUCGUUGAGUGAGUGUUACCAUCUGCGUGAGCUGGAGAUUUGCUGCAGGGGAUUGGAGACGCUGAGAGUUGUGAGCUGCUUCGACGCUUACUCCGGCGGAGAUAAGGAGUCGACGUCGGUGAGGAUUCGUAAUGGGGGACGGAUUAAGGCGGUGGAGUGGGAGGUGAACGCCGUUACGGGGAGAUGUGAGGUGGAUGAGCUGACGGCGGUGAAGGAAGCGGCGAUUGGGUUCUUUAUGGAGUAUUACGAGGAGAUUAGUGCGGUGAAAAUUGAGAGCGUUUGCAGCUUCUUGUGUGGAUUCUCGCGCGCCGAUGCUUUGACUCUCGGAAGUCAAUGUAUUGAGGUAUAAUUUACAAUUAACCUUUAUUUGGGAUGAAUUAUACAUGAAUUCGAACAUUCAUGGGGUAACUAAAUCUAAUUCAUAUGUUUUUUACAUGUUGGGCUGUCUAGAGUUUUAUUCCAUAGCUUCUUCAUAGCUUGUUUUUCAUUUCUAUAUGUACCAAUUCGGUGAUGAAAUUUUCAAGAUAUUUUCAAAUUUUUUGAUUAGGGUUCCCAUAGUUCGAAACUAUAAAACCUAGUUAGAAUUUGAGAUAUGAUUUAGAUUUUUGUCUAUCCUAAGUCCCAAUUUAUAUUAUUACGACACAUAAUGUGUAUUCCUUUCGUAGGGAACCGAGUUAGUAAAUCUGUGUCAAUAAAUUCCCAACUUGACAAUGACACCUAAAUUUAGUCUUCUUAUAAAGAAAAACCCAGUUAAUUAAUUACUGCAUUUCAUGGCAUUUUUUUACUUCAUUUACCCUCUGGCUUACGUAAAUUGAACGUGAUUUUACUGUUUUUUGCAUGCAUGCAGAUACUAUCGAACAGGAAGGAUUCAGCGCAUUACAGCAAGAACCCAUUAUUCAGCAACGUUCAACUACUGGAGCUGCACACAGGCUUCAACAAGAAGAACGUUUCAGGGCUUGCAUUCCUCUUCAAAAGCUCGCCCAAUUUGCAGACCCUCGUACUCAAGAUCCACAACGACAACAAGAUCGAAAGACGGGUUAGUAACCAAUCGUGUUUUCCCCUUCGAUAUAAGCUUUGUUAAUCAGGGCAUGUUUUAGGAUGAAAAAAUCGGGUUUAGGUGGAGGGUGUGACAGAUAACUGUCUUGUUUGAUAUGUAUAUUUGAUAGACGAAAAAUAUGUGAAAGACAAACUAUACCUAAUAGGCGGAACCAAGAUGGUUAGGUUAGAGAAAUUUGAAGCAUAAAUUUUGCAUAUAUAUAGGUUUUUUGUCCAAUUGGACUCAAGAAAACUCGACAGACGUAGGCCCCACCCCAAUUCCGCCAUUGGUUAAUUAGACUUUCAUUGUUUUCUUCUUGGAAUUAAGUCAGAAUUUUUAGUGAAAUUAGCUAGUCGGAAUUUAAGGGGUCGUUCGGUACAGGGGAAACUCUAUUGAGCUUGUCGAAAACUAUGUAUUUUGAGAUAUCUUGAUUUGUUCGAAACAAGAUAAUCUGACAUUAUCCAACUUCGAAACGCUUUUCAACCGUCCUUUUAUUAUGAUCACGUAUCCCCAACAUCAUUCGUUAGCAAACAGACAUUGAUAUCUCAUAAUACAAAAUUCUCCGCAAUCUCACUCUGUUUUCCUGUACGAUCAGCAAUGGAACAGGGACUUGUGGGACGCGUCGUCGAGCUCGGAGCAAGAGCAGUACUGGGAGUCUCAGGUCGAAAACCUGAAGCCAUUCCUGAACAGUCUGAAAGCAGUGAAGAUCAAUGGCUUCUUGGAGUACGAGAACGAAGUUAGCUUAGCCAAGUUCUUGCUCAAGCAUUGCAAGCACUUGCAAGAGAUGACACUCUCGACUCCUCGCCAUUGCAACUAUAGGGAUAGCUUGAGGAGACAGAAAGUUAGGUCUCAGAUGAUGGGCUUCUCCUGGGCUUCCUCUAACGCCAAGUUCUCCUUCCUAUGAAGUAGCGGAUUUAGCGGGAGUCUCUCCUCAAGUUAUAAGUUCAUGAGUCUAGAACUUCGAGAUUACAUUAUCUUUCUCUAUAUUUAGAGACGAAUUAGUAUAUUUUUUUUACAUGUAUAUGUUGCGUAAUGCAUAUUAGAUUUUGUAGGGUCUGAUCUAGUUUAUUGAAUUAUUAUAAAUCUGCCAUUGUUGAUGAUUUUUGUUUUGACACGAGUUUAAAUUUGAGCUAAAAAUUGAAACUUAUGUAGGGCUCGAGCAUGUUAGCUACCUUUAAUGUGACAAGCUCAGACUGAUCAAUUAUUCGAGUUCUACUCGUUGAAAACAUCUUUCUAGUAUGAUAUUAAAGCAACUUCAAAUUUGUACACUAAAAAAUUAGUUUAUAGUCAUUAUGAUGAGCUUUUAUAAGAGAUGGACACAUCAACCUAGAAUUAUUCGUGAAUCCACCGUAUAUUAUUAUAAUUUAAGGCGGAAGCUUCGGUAUAUACGUACCUACAUCACAUAUUAAUAUUUUUUUGGUGGUAGAAAUUUGAUUUUAAAAAAUGUUGAGAUAACACUCUAACUUCACAAAAAAUACAAUAUGGUCAUCUAACAAAUAUAACAAUGGAUAUUCACAUAGUUUCUAUUAUAUGCUCUGACCAAUUUCUAUAUGUUUCCACAGAAACGUUCAAUUCACAAAACCAACACCAAUUACUGUUUUAGGUUCUUAAUUAAUUAGCAGUUAACCUAAACCAAAAUUUCCCAUGUUCUGUGUACAUGUUCCCAGCCGAGACGUGCGGUCCGCGUCAAGCGAGCACAGGAACCUCGUUAUAUCAAUAACUCGAUUCUCGAAAACCACCGGAGACGGAGAUCGAACUUGUUGGUGAUGGAAAAUUAUACCUAAUUGAGUCUUGAACUCGAGUAAAAACAAUCUGCAUGAUUAGCCGACGAAGGGAUUUUUUUUUUAAAAUUUCCAGAAGCAAUAUGAGGUUACAUUUAAUUGACUCGUGGAUGUGGUCAGACGGGAAUUCUGUUGGUCGCCGGAGAUGGGAAGGUGAAGAAGAUGAUCAGUCCGGUCGUCGCCGGAGAUGAGAGGGUGAGGAAGACAACAAAUCAAUAAAAUGGAGAUUUGUAUGACUGUGAAUAAAAUAUGAUGUAGCGGUGGGCGGCAUUUAAAGGAAUUGUUACGUACUUUUCGGUGACCCUAUUGUAUAACAUUUAAAGUUAAAAUGUGUACACGGCAUUUUGUGUAAUAAAUAUUCAACAACCAUUUACAUAUCGACAUGUGGCGGGGUAUCCGAUAUCCAUAUAUAUCGAAAUCUUUUCCUAUAAUUUAAAUAUAUGAUUUAGAUAGAAGUUUAGAAUUUACUUUUGAACAUGGUAUAAAGGCUACUGUUCACCACACAUAUGGAAUUUAAUUUUUGGGAUUUUUUAUUUAAUUAUAUGGAUUUAAGCAAUUAUUUUGGUAAUAUGAAGUAAAAUUGAAAUUUAACUUCAUUUUGAAUUAUUUGUAAGGUUAUUAUGGUGAAAUUUGAUAUUUUAGCUAUUUUCAACAUUCAUGUCAAAUGGUAACCCUUCAAAUAAUAGACAAAUGAAAUUAAAAAUAUUUUUUAUUAUUGUUAGGAGUAUGUAUGUGAUUUCCAUCACAAAACAUUUUAAAUAUAAAUUGAUAGAGCCCUCAAACAAAAUAUUAUAAAUUCAAAUUCUAAAUCUUACUCGUAACUCUAAUUUUUGGACCCUCUACAUUUAAUUUUAACUACGGAGGCGAUCAUCUAAUAUGUUAUACUACUAUAUAUUUAAUUCUAACUUUAAAACAAUGUAUCAUAAAUUCGAACUCUAAAUUAUACUCCGAACUUUUAAUUUUUGACAAUAUUGAGGUUCGGUCUGAUAAUAUCUUGCUCCGAUAGAUAAGAUACAAAAAAUUUCUUCCAAUCCAAACGAAAAACAUUUAUCAACUUUUCAUUCGCUUUUAUCUUUCAAGCUGAUAUGAACCAAGCGACACGCGAUAUUGUACCAAAGUUGCACAUACAGUAACGACGUCAUCGGGUAGAGAGGAAAUUCAUCGGACUUCAAACUCGCUAAAAGUCUCGUAUUUCAGAUCGUAACGAUAAAAGUCUGGCUUGCUUUACAUUCCUCCAACCCAUGUAGGGAUGAGAACCCACAUCUUGGGUGUCAGGGCCAUAGAUUUCCAGGAUGAGCUGGUCUUUCCCAAGUAAACAUUCUUCGGGAAGUGAGCCCCAACUGUAGUUAGUACUGUAAGUUUCUUCCUAUAAUUAUAAAAACACACCCUUAAUUAGUAGACGAUGACAAACACUCAUCGUUAAGGAUACCCAAGGUCAAAUCUCGAAGAUGGCAGAGAUUUUGUAAUACGAUUUUGAGUUUGAGUUUAUGAUGUCGUUUUUUAGGGUUAGGAUUUAGUGUUUAGAGUGUUAGCAUUAUUCAUUAGUGUUUAUGGUUUAUUAUAAGAACUUUAGGAUUUAUUUUUGAAUUUUAAAUAUUAAGAAGUAUGAAAUUUUUAGUCUAGAGGGUACCGAUACCUCCAGGAUAUCGAUAUUUGCAUUUUUUACUCUACUUAUGAGCCCGUAUGUUUGAGUUAGUAUUCGAGUUUGAGGUCGAACCAACUUGCAAUCCUAUCGACCCGAGCAUACUCUGACUCAUUUAAAAAUCAAACCGAACUACGAACGAAUUUUUUUUGAACCGAACGCCUAGCGAGCUGCUAGCCUUGUCCGAGACUUCCGUUGGUGUGAUUGGUUCCUUGCCUCUGUCUGGAAUAUCUGGAAGUGGAGGAAUUCAAGACUAGGAUGGCAUGGCGGCACAAUCGUUUGUUUGUGGGUAAUUAUUAUCAUUAGGCAGUACUAGGAUGUCAGCUUUAGUGUUCUCUCUUGUUGGUUAGAUACUCUAGAGUCUGGAGUGUAAAUAUGACCGAGGUCGUCGGAUGUGUAAAUAUGACCGAGAUCGUCGGAUGACAGUGAUAAGUGACAGUGGUGUGUAUGGUAUCGAUGCUAUCAGCGAGAUUUGGAUGGCAGCUGAAAUGGCAUGGUAGCAUUAAUCGCAAUUAUCACCAUUAAACAAUAAUAAUGAUAUGGUGACAUUAAUCGUAAUUAGUAGCACGUAAUUAUUGACAUGUGACUUGAAACCAAUAAUAAUUUGUUUAUGUUUAAAUUUUUUUUUUUGAGGCCGGUGUUAGUGAGCGCGGCUAGGACUGGGGGAUGACAUGGUGGCACUAUGUGGAGAACACUCGCGAGAAAACAAAACAUAUGGGCUUACACUAUCUGGGCCCAACUCAAUAUUAUCUCAUAAUUGGGCUAGCUCGUUCUUUAAUCAGUGGACCAUUGUUUGAGACCAGGGGCCCAUUUGGGUAACUUGGGACUGAAGGAACUUGACACAACCCUAGAAUUCAGCAGCUCAACCAAUGGUCCAUGCUGCUUCACACACCUUGGAGUCUUGUACUGAUUAAUGGAAGCACCUAAUUGGCUGAUUGCAUAGUCCAUGACUUUGUCAAACGUUCCAUUCUCGACCACCCUUAUCUCUAGCGGACCGAUCGAGUUGUCUGAAACUCGUCCCUGCCUGUAAACACUGUUGAGCGAUUCCUCAACUGUGAGGCAACAUUCCUCGAUAACUGAAUCCCGAGGAGCUUCAUGUGUCGUUAACUCGUUGUUGUUGUUGAUCUCCCAGUACAGGACGUAAUGUCCCGGAAUCGACGAUGUCUCGGCGUAGCUUGUGUAUUCCACGAGCGAUGCGUUUAGCGGCGAGAGGUGUUUCGUCGCAGCUUUUGUCACCGCUUCUUGCAGCUCGACUUCGUCUGUCUUGUCGGACUCGAUGCUUAGAACGACGUUCUUUCUGCAUACGAAUGUGAAUUGUGGCGCCUUGUUUUUGAACCCCGAGACUCUGAGAAUGUCUCCCACUCUGUAUCGAUACAGACCUUUUUCAAAAAAAUAAAAAAGUACAUAUGUCACAGCAGUAUAUCAACCAGUUUCAUUUCAAUAACUCGAGUAUUCACAAAAAAAUGUGCAAUUAACUCCUCUAUUACCUGCAUAAGUCGUGACAACGAGUUCAUACUCUUUACCUAGCUGAACAUCGACUAGAUCAACCAACCGGUCUUGUGUCUCGUCGUUGCCAUCAUCGCCAUUCAUGAUUAACGAACCGGUACUAAAUCCGACGGUUCGGUCAACGGGCAAGAACUCGAAAUAAGCCAUGGUCGGAACAAGUGUGUAGGAGACUUCACUAGGCUUACACAAAGGAUUCAAGUUAAGCCCAAAGUAACACUCAGAUGAAGCAUACAUGGAGCAAACAAGUGGCAAACCAUUCCCAUAAUGAUCAAGUGUAGGAAUGUAUUGUGACAUUGCUCCAGUCACAAUCACAUCAAUGUACUUAGCAUUAGGCCAAACCCUAGCAAUAAUCCCUCUCCAAGACACAUCCCUCCUGCAUUCCCCUUCCACGAAAUCGGCCAGUCCAGGGUUCGGCCCCACUAGAACCCUUGACACCGACGAUCUAACUCGAGAAUCAGUAAUAACCCUGGAGUCAACCGUCCCGCUCCUAAUGUCAUUGCACAAAACCUGCCAAUUCUUUUCGAAAAACUUGAUUGCCCGGAUAAACCCGGAUGCAAAAACCGACCCGACUCGAACAACUUCCGUGUUUCGAGCCAGACCACAGAGUAAUUGGGAGUACAUGCUCUGGUGAGAGUCCGGGCAGAGGAUUGAUUCCGUCGGACUGGUGUAGUUGGUGUAGGAAUCCUCCGAAGAGUGAAUCGAGUUGGCAAAAUGCUGGCUCUUGUAGUAGCUGGUUAGAACCGGGCGAGCCAGUAAACCGGCUGGAGUUAUGGAUUCUGAUUUGACGAAGAGGAAGUACAUUCCUUUACCGGCGGUGGAUAAACCAGGGAGAAAAUGGUUCAUGACCGGCAUUAGUAAGCUGUAGAGCUGUGACUUCCUCUCCAUCUCUUCGUUGAUCGUCGGCAUCAGCUUCCUCUCCCCCGCCGACGUCCCUGAACUGCAAGAUUUAAUAAAUGAUUGACCAUUUAAUAUUUGAUAGAAUUUUUUUUCAUUCAAGUUCGUCUCGAUGCAUGUUUAAAUCUUUGUUACGCCUAUGUAUAUACCUGGUCAAGAAUUCGGAGAUGGGUUGGGAGCAGAGGAUGGGGGAAGUGUCGCCAUUGGCGAUUCGGUUGAUAUCCGGCUUGAUAUCCUCGUACGUGACCAGAGGGAUUACCUUCUUGAAACUGGCCUUAUCGAUGAUGCUUCCAUGCCUUUGAAGGUACUCGACGCCAGAGUUUCUGGCGAGGAUUUCGGCGAGGACUCGAGUCUGGACUUCGUCGGCAUUGUUCGUGACUUGCUGGAUGAACUCUAGAGCUCUUUUGUUCUUGUCAUCUUGGUUUGUUUUAUUACUUGAUGAACCUUCAGCCAUGGCUGCUGGUUCGAGAAAGUAGAAAGUGGCGGAAAUGAUUUAUGUUUGGGAUGCAGAGGACAGAAAGCAGAGGACCCUGAAUGUUGGUAUAUAUAGAGACAAUUUUGUUAUCAUAUAUAUAUUUAAUUAAUUGGUUCGGUUAUAUCAAAAUUCAAACUGAAAAUUCACCAUGAACAACCCGAAUUGAUUUGUAAAAUCGAACAUGAAUUCUCUUCCAACAACUUAAGUUAUUGAGAUGUAUACAACGAGCAUUUAUUUUGACAAAAUGUUACAAUCUCAAAUUUUGGUAGUCGCAAUCUGUUGCACAAUAUUUACUACAUGUCAACCUCAGAUUUUUUUAAAUUUUUUUUAUAGGUACCUGUUAAUAAAUAAUAUAAAAUCUAAACUCUCACAAUAAUUAAAUUUUUUUUUUGAUAAUUCAAUUGAAUUAUCAUAACACAAUGAUUUAUGAUAAUUGACAGAUUGACGUAUACAUAAUUUGAUUUAUCGAGUCGAACCAUUUUGAAUUCUAAUCUACUCGACCCACUACAAAAUUAUUUAUUAUUUUUNNNNAAGCUCUAGAAAAUUACAAAUAUAUAAUCGGGGGACCUUUUUGCAAUUUUUAAAUAGUUAUAGUUCAAACUCUCAUAAAUCAUGAUUCAAAAAAAUAGUGUUACUAAAUUUCUGUGACUAGUUUCAACAUUCAUGUUAGGGAAAUCACGUCAAUAUGGUCUUUUCGUAAUUAUGUAUAUGUGUUUUUGACAACAUCUCCUAAAAAAAUUAUAUGUUAUAAGUAUUUCGGGGUUUGAGUUCGCGGUCCUAGAGUUUCAGGGUUUCCUUCAAAAAAUUGUAUACGGUUUAGAUUUCCGGACAACUAAUUAAACGGAGGCGCAAACAUGUCUCACAACUCAUUUGUCUUAGAUGAUUAAACUCAUGUAAAUGCGGGAUUGUGUUUAAUAAAGUUGUUUCUUAAUUAAAUGGUGUGAUUUGGAUAAUAAUUAUUGAAAAAAAGUAGGGAAACUUUGCAGUGUUCCCACUCCAAUCAUCGCCUAGCCGUUGACUGAAUGUCGCACUAAACUCAUAAAGAUAUGACUUUCAUUUAUUUGUUACCCUCCGGACACCGGAUUCGGUACUAAUGACCUUCUUUCAGCUCUCAAGAAGGAGGAGUUGAAUCGACUGAUUGUUUAUUUAUGCAAUAUCGAGGCAUGAUUUUGUCCAAAUCGAUCCUAAUUCGUGAUAGACUUCCAUUCCUUAAUUUCAUGACUCGUAUCUUCUUGAUCAGACCGAAUCGGACUAAAAAAUUUAGUAUAGAGACUAAGAGACACAUAUAUAAAUUGAAAAGAGCUACUAGCUAGACCACUUUCCUUGUAACAAGUUGCAUGGAAAAAGGGGAUCACGUUUCUUGAACGGGAGAAAUGCAAAUUAGAGUUCUUGUGCUUGAAGAAGCAAUUUUUAAUUAAAUGGUCCCAAGCAACUUCAAUUUGAAAAAAAAAAAGAAAUACCCACUUGAACCUUGAGAAUUACAAUAAAAAGGGCUACUUUUACUUUUCAAAAAAAAAAAAUUUAAUCAAAAAGACGAUUAGGGUUCUGCUUUCUUUUUUCGUUGAAAAAUCAGUGAUGAUGAUAGUUUCGUCAGGACGAGAGGAUAUUGUGGUAGAAAGGAGAGUGGAUGGACUAAUAUCGUGCUGNNNNNNNNNNNNNNNNNNNNNNGAGAAAGAACAACCGGCGACUUUCGAGGGUAUCCAAGAACAUCCAAAAAAUCUGGCCUGGACAAUAGGUCCUGCUACGAGCAGUGAUUCCUCGGCAAAACUCACUCGAAAUAUCGACCUCUUCGAGUGUUUCAUAUUUUGGGUGUCCCCAAUUUGGGCUCCACCGGUCGUUUACUACUUUUUUAGUUUCAGAUGUUUCUUUCUGUUUGAAAAAUUAUUUUUUUCUUAUUUCUCUAGUCGGGUAGUUCUUAAUGCAUGAGUUGUAAACUUCCGUUUUUUAUUUGGGAUGACUGGUACCAUGAAUGAGUUCACUUGUACUAACUCUUUGUACCGUCAUGCUUUGCCUAUUAUGAGUGAUAGUCCUUCUAAAAGUUCGUUUGACAAGAUGAACAUUCUUGGCUAAGUACUAAUAAUAUUAGUAGCCUCUUUUUGAAAAAAAUUAUAAUAAAAAAAUUANNNNNNNNNNNNNNNNNNNNNNNNNNNNNNNNNNNNNNNNNNNNNNNNNNNNNNNNNNNNNNNNNNNNNNNNNNNNNNNNNNNNNNNNNNNNNNNNNNNNNNNNNNNNNNNNNNNNNNNNNNNNNNNNNNNNNNNNNNNNNNNNNNNNNNNNNNNNNNNNNNNNNNNNNNNNNNNNNNNNNNNNNNNNNNNNNNNNNNNNNNNNNNNNNNNNNNNNNNNNNNNNNNNNNNNNNNNNNNNNNNNNNNNNNNNNNNNNNNNNNNNNNNNNNNNNNNNNNNNNNNNNNNNNNNNNNNNNNNNNNNNNNNNNNNNNNNNNNNNNNNNNNNNNNNNNNNNNNNNNNNNNNNNNNNNNNNNNNNNNNNNNNNNNNNNNNNNNNNNNNNNNNNNNNNNNNNNNNNNNNNNNNNNNNNNNNNNNNNNNNNNNNNNNNNNNNNNNNNNNNNNNNNNNNNNNNNNNNNNNNNNNNNNNNNNNNNNNNNNNNNNNNNNNNNNNNNNNNNNNNNNNNNNNNNNNNNNNNNNNNNNNNNNNNNNNNNNNNNNNNNNNNNNNNNNNNNNNNNNNNNNNNNNNNNNNNNNNNNNNNNNNNNNNNNNNNNNNNNNNNNNNNNNNNNNNNNNNNNNNNNNNNNNNNNNNNNNNNNNNNNNNNNNNNNNNNNNNNNNNNNNNNNNNNNNNNNNNNNNNNNNNNNNNNNNNNNNNNNNNNNNNNNNNNNNNNNNNNNNNNNNNNNNNNNNNNNNNNNNNNNNNNNNNNNNNNNNNNNNNNNNNNNNNNNNNNNNNNNNNNNNNNNNNNNNNNNNNNNNNNNNNNNNNNNNNNNNNNNNNNNNNNNNNNNNNNNNNNNNNNNNNNNNNNNNNNNNNNNNNNNNNNNNNNNNNNNNNNNNNNNNNNNNNNNNNNNNNNNNNNNNNNNNNNNNNNNNNNNNNNNNNNNNNNNNNNNNNNNNNNNNNNNNNNNNNNNNNNNNNNNNNNNNNNNNNNNNNNNNNNNNNNNNNNNNNNNNNNNNNNNNNNNNNNNNNNNNNNNNNNNNNNNNNNNNNNNNNNNNNNNNNNNNNNNNNNNNNNNNNNNNNNNNNNNNNNNNNNNNNNNNNNNNNNNNNNNNNNNNNNNNNNNNNNNNNNNNNNNNNNNNNNNNNNNNNNNNNNNNNNNNNNNNNNNNNNNNNNNNNNNNNNNNNNNNNNNNNNNNNNNNNNNNNNNNNNNNNNNNNNNNNNNNNNNNNNNNNNNNNNNNNNNNNNNNNNNNNNNNNNNNNNNNNNNNNNNNNNNNNNNNNNNNNNNNNNNNNNNNNNNNNNNNNNNNNNNNNNNNNNNNNNNNNNNNNNNNNNNNNNNNNNNNNNNNNNNNNNNNNNNNNNNNNNNNNNNNNNNNNNNNNNNNNNNNNNNNNNNNNNNNNNNNNNNNNNNNNNNNNNNNNNNNNNNNNNNNNNNNNNNNNNNNNNNNNNNNNNNNNNNNNNNNNNNNNNNNNNNNNNNNNNNNNNNNNNNNNNNNNNNNNNNNNNNNNNNNNNNNNNNNNNNNNNNNNNNNNNNNNNNNNNNNNNNNNNNNNNNNNNNNNNNNNNNNNNNNNNNNNNNNNNNNNNNNNNNNNNNNNNNNNNNNNNNNNNNNNNNNNNNNNNNNNNNNNNNNNNNNNNNNNNNNNNNNNNNNNNNNNNNNNNNNNNNNNNNNNNNNNNNNNNNNNNNNNNNNNNNNNNNNNNNNNNNNNNNNNNNNNNNNNNNNNNNNNNNNNNNNNNNNNNNNNNNNNNNNNNNNNNNNNNNNNNNNNNNNNNNNNNNNNNNNNNNNNNNAGCAACUGAAAUUUAAAAAAAAAAAAGAAAUCCCCACUUGAACCUUGAGAAUUACAAUAAAAAGGGCUACUUUUACUUUUCAAAAAAAAAAAAUUUAAUCAAAAAGACGAUUAGGGUUCUGCUUUCUUUUUUCGUUGAAAAAUCAGUGAUGAUGAUAGUUUCGUCAGGACGAGAGGAUAUUGUGGUAGAACGAAGAGUGGAUGCACUACUACCGGUCGAGGAAGAACAACCNNNNNNNNNNNNNNNNNNNNNNNNNNNNNNNNNNNNNNNNNNNNNNNNNNNNNNNNNNNNNNNNNNNNNNNNNNNNNNNNNNNNNNNNNNNNNNNNNNNNNNNNNNNNNNNNNNNNNNNNNNNNNNNNNNNNNNNNNNNNNNNNNNNNNNNNNNNNNNNNNNNNNNNNNNNNNNNNNNNNNNNNNNNNNNNNNNNNNNNNNNNNNNNNNNNNNNNNNNNNNNNNNNNNNNNNNNNNNNNNNNNNNUGACUAUUUUUUGGAAGUUACUCAUCUCUAUAUUCGCAUUGCACACAAAAUGUUAACAAGAAUGUGAUGUUAUUGAUUAGCUCUUUUGUACUUUGUUGAUAUAAGAAUUGCUGUUGAGAUUAGUAUAGAGAAUAAAAAACAGUUAACUGAUCAAGAGAAGAGAGUGUGUAAAGACGUUGCAUGUAUAGUUAAAUCGGGGAUAUCGAAUACUAUGUUGUGAUAAUACAUUAUGAGAAAAGCUAUGAAUAUACUGAAAAAUGAGGAAACAUGCAUACAUCUUAUCAUAAUGUGAAAAUUGUUCUCGAUUACCUUUUCUGUACUUCGCUAGCAUAAAUUUACAGCCGGUCUCGGUGUAGAAAAUAAAACAUAAUCACGAAUAGAACACAUAACAAAGAAAUUAAUUUGUUAGCUAACAAGUUUUCCUUCAUGAGAAAAGUACUUCUGGAAGCGUUACACGAUGAUACAUAUUACAAUCCGGAAAAAGCUAUGAAUAUGCUAACAGAUUUAAUAACCCUAAUUAUCGAAACAUGUAAAGCUGAUAAGGCCGAUUCAUACACCAAACCAAUCAACAUAUUCGAAAACGUCGAGGGACCCUCUCGAUACAUACAAUGUGUGAAUGAGAUGAGAUACAAAGCAACAAACUGUAGAGAAGAGAGAAAAGAAAAACAGAGCAAUACAUUAUACAUCUCAUCUUGUUGUUUACACUCGUGGGGAGCAAAGACAAGACAUUUGAAACCUCACUUUGUCCAAUUUGCAGCUUCUUCUCUAAUCUCUAUCUGUGUAUGUAUACAUGUCCGCCAAUAUUUAUGGCGGAUCAUGCUCGGAAGAUAUUUAAGAAAAUGUUUUUCGUUCUUAGACCGAAUUUAGAUUCGAAUUCGUAACCUUGAUCAUCUUUGAAGGUGGAAGGAAUGCAUAAACUUACAAACGAAAAAUACAUCAUAGUGUCAUCUGCAAACAGAACAUGAUCGGCCAACUAGGGGUUCUGGUAGCAGCCGACUGUUCGCCAAUCACAAUGAUAAAUGAAGGUUAGGCAUGUUCUUGGAAAAGGGUCGGACCGAAUUUUAAUUAACCCUGGACGUGGAAGAUAGCUAGAAGAGCGCGCCUCGUGAACGUUGCUACCGGUGAAUGGCCACUCUGCAGAUAUACGUGAUUAUAAUGUUAAUGUAUAUUUGGUUAGACCCGUUAUGAUUUAAUCGAAACCCUUAUGUAUAUAUAGAGUGUUAGUUUCGUUUUUGGUAAUAGUCCUCUUCCUCUCUGUGGACUAGUCGAUUGUCGAUAUAACUCCGUUGUUAUUCCUCCUUUAUUCAACUUUUAUCACAUAAAAUAACUAGUAAGUAAUAACAUGUGAAAUAAGAAGCGAUAUAAAUGCAAGUAACACAAUG
This 97642-nucleotide long non-coding RNA is filed under the name Linum usitatissimum (flax). Its description in RNAcentral is "long non-coding RNA (LUSI_LNC002979)". Lineage: Eukaryota; Viridiplantae; Streptophyta; Magnoliopsida; Malpighiales; Linaceae. The record is from RNAcentral.